RNAcentral lists this long non-coding RNA (107706 nucleotides) under Medicago truncatula (barrel medic). RNAcentral's name for it is "long non-coding RNA (MTRU_LNC000310)". The stretch from base 26182 to 26341 matches the Rfam family "MIR2606 microRNA precursor family". Lineage: Eukaryota; Viridiplantae; Streptophyta; Magnoliopsida; Fabales; Fabaceae. The record is from RNAcentral.
UCCUCGAGCCUCCAAUAUCUUGAGAUCAGAUCCCAUGAUUCAAUUGAAUUGUUUAAAGUCAAGCUUCAGAUGAACUCGCUCACCGCCCUUGAGAAGUUGUUUCUGAAAUGUCGAGGAGUGUUGUCAUUUUGUGAAGGAGUUUGUCUACCUCCCAAAUUACAAAAGAUUGUUAUUUUUUCCAAAAAAAUAACACCGCCGGUUACGGAAUGGGGUCUCCAAGAUCUAACCACUCUUUCCGAAUUGAUGAUUAAAGAGGCAGGUGAUAUAGUUAACAACUUGGUGACGGAGUCGUUGCUACCCAUCUCCCUUGUGUCUCUGGAUCUCUAUAAGAUGAAGUCCUUUGAUGGAAAUGGGCUUCGACACCUCUCCUCUCUCCAACGUCUCGAUUUCUGUCAAUGUCGACAGCUUCAGUCAUUGCCAGAAAACUGCCUCCCUUCCUCGCUGAAAACACUUCGAUUUGUGGAUUGUUAUGAGCUUGAGUCAUUGCCAGAAAACUGUCUCCCUUCCUCGCUGGAAAGCCUUGACUUUCAAAGUUGUAAUCAUCUGGAGUCAUUACCAGAAAACUGCCUCCCUUUGUCGCUGAAAUCACUUCGAUUUGCGAAUUGUGAAAAGCUUGAGUCAUUUCCAGACAACUGCCUCCCGUCCUCGCUGAAAUCACUUAGAUUGAGUGAUUGUAAAAUGCUUGAUUCAUUACCAGAAGACAGCCUCCCUUCAUCUCUUAUCACUCUGUACAUUAUGGGAUGCCCAUUGUUAGAAGAAAGGUAUAAAAGGAAGGAACAUUGGUCCAAAAUUUCUCACAUCCCUGUCAUCACAAUAAACAACCAACGCACAAUAUGAUAGACAAGCUGUGCUCCUGUUUCAGGUACGUUUUCAAAUCAUUUCAUGGGUCAAUAAUUCAAUAUUAAAAUGCAAUAAUCAACACAAAGCCAAUAAUCAAUCUCUGUUAUUGAUUGUGAUAACAAUCCAAAGAUAUCUCAAAAUAUUUUCAUAUUGGCAACUAAUUAAUCUCUGCUAUGUAUGUAGUUUUGAAGGACAAAUUCUCAUUGGUCCAAAAUUACUCACCAUAUGAGGACAAGUUGUGUUACCGUUUUCAGGUAUGUUUUCCUUUUACCUUCCAAAACAAUGUUAUCUUUCGUAAAAGUUCAAAUUGUAUCCUCUGUAUGAGAUUUGAUGAUCACUCAUUUCAAUGUUAUUUUCAAAAAUUGAAUUAUUUGUUUUAAGGACUGUUCUUUGGUUACCCUUUAGUCUCUAAUUACCUUUCUGACAAACAAUACCUCCAAAAAUCUUACAAUCUUUGCUUCAUUAAAUUCAAGCUUAAAUCAUAAAAAAAUUGUAUUUUCAUAAAGAUCAAAGGAUUUCUACAAGAGGUACAAUUUUGAGAAUGUUAGCUAUUGAGAACGGUUUGAUUUCAAGUAACUUAGUCCUUCGAUAGAAAAAGUAUCUUUUUUGAGAUAUGAUUACUCACCUGUAAUAACUCAUUAUAUUUUUCGUGUACAUAACAAGAUUAUUUUUUUUCUUCUUCUGUAAACUGGAGUCUAAAUGGAAUUAUCUGAAGACCAUUUUCUUUAACAAUAAAAAUUUGAUAUUAAGGUCAUCUGAGAUAAUGAAAUAAAAAUGCUUAUUUUCUUUACAGGUGAUGAUGGCCUAAGUGGAUGGAACUCAGUUCAUUUGAUAAAUUGAAGACAAAAGUGGGAUAUGUGGUUAUUGUUCUCAUGAUUCAUCUUGUAUAAAUCUUUGAGUGGAGAAAAAAUGGUUGCCAUUGAUUGCCACAAGUCUCUUUGUAUUUUAUUAUCUUUUGGUUGUAUCUUGGUAUGUUUUGUAAUAACCUGCUUGGUCCAGUCAUACAGAGUACAAUGCAGUAGGGUUUGUAAUAUUCUUGCUUUGUAGCUUUAAGCAAAUGCUCAUAUGAUUCAGAAUGUUGGAUACUGUUUGAAAUAUUCUGUUCCACUGCUUUGUUAGUAUGUGGAAACAUGAAGCAUAAAUAAAUGGAACAAGUAGAAGAAUCCAUGUUAUUGGUUCUAAAUAUUCUAUUCAUAUAAACAUUUUGUUGAAUUAAUGUGGUUGUUACAUAUAGUAUCUCCUUUGAUAAAACCUGUGCAUAAACAGCAAUGGAAGUAAUGGAUGCUACAAAUAAAUGGAACAAAUUCCUUUAGUUACCUGUCUAUCUGGAUUUUGAAUCCUACUCUCAUUGUUUGUGUUUUAGCCAUUAAUUAAUUUAAAUGGUCCGAAAAUUAAAAUGUGAAAAAGUUUGCCGACACAUAUUGAAUUUGAACUCACUACUUACUGGAUAGUAGCAGGUGCGUUGUAAAUCCUUCUUAAUUUGCAUAAGCAAGAGUAGAAUGCAGCAGGCAUUGUAAUAUUCUCAAUUCAUAUAUGUAAGUGAACACUCAUAUGGCCCAAAAUAUUGAUGUUGAUACCGUCGGAUGGACAUUCCGCUCAUACCGCUCGUAUAUAUGUAAGUGAACACUCAUGUUUAGAGGAAUGUAGUUUGGAAGCAACAGCAGAGCAGAAAAUAGAAACUGGUCUAACAUGCAUAUUUAUUUUCACACAAUUGAACUUUAAUAUGUUUUAAGCUAUAGAAAGAAUGUUGUGAAUUCGUUGAGAAAACCACACCAAUAAAAACUUGAUGCAUGGAGCAAAUUAAUACCAAGUAAUCAAAUCAAGCGGGUAGCAAAUAAUCCAAACAAAAACAGCAAGAGAUAAAAGAGAGAGAGAGAGAGAGAAAAACACAAGAUAUUUGUUUACCCAGUUCGGUCUAAUGAUGACCUAGUCUGGGGGAGAGAGCAGCUCUCCGAUCCACUAUAAUGAAUGAGUUUCUUUACAAAGAGAUAAUGAGUUUCAAGAAUCAGUCUUCAAACCUAAUUCUACCCAAGUCCCAGCCUCUUCCCGUGACCAAGAGACUCAAUCCUAAUAGUGUUUUGUUCAAGGUGAAUCAAAACAAUCCCAACCCUAGAGUUGUUGCCAAGAGAGAUUCUCUAUAAACCCUAGUUUGUUUGUUGGUCUAAACCUUGUUUUUCUACACACUUUUAUCAUCUGAUACAAGGCUGUAUUUAUAGUGGAAAGUAAACCCUUAAAAAACUGAAACAAAUCUAACUGAAAAAUACGUUUUAUUUUUAUAGCGACCAUCGUGGCACGAUGAGUCUUCAUCGUGGCACGAAAUUUCCAGUGUCUUCCCAGGAAUCUUGCUUCAACCAUCGUGACGCGAUGCUUCUCCAUCGUGGAACGAUACUCCAGAUUUCUGAUUUUAAGUUAACUCUCACAAUUCUCCACCUUGACUUCAAAUCAGUGAUGAUGCCAGUUUAACCAUCAAUCACCUUGCUGCUCUCUCCAGUCCUUCAUCUAUGCUUCAAUGAAGUUUAUCAAGUCCAAGCAAUGCUUGAAUCUUGAUCUUGGUAAUGAUUUGGUGAACAUGUCUGCUGGAUUGUCUUCCGAUGCCACUUUCUCUACCAUGAUCUCCUUAGUCUCAAUCAUGUCUCUGACGAAGUGCAAACGAAUGUCAAUGUGCUUUGUCCUUUCAUGAUACACCUGAUGAUUUGUCAAAUGAAUGGCACUUUGGCUAUCACAAUGUAUCUUCAUACAUCCUUGACUAAUCCCCAUUUCUCCAAUCAUACCUUUCAACCAUAUGGCUUCCUUGACCCCUUCAACAAGGGCUAUGUAUUCUGCUUGAGUUGUUGAAAGGGCUACAACUGAUUGUUGAUUUGCCUUCCAAGUUACCGCUGUACCGAACAUUGUAAACACAAAACCUGACAAAGAUUUUCUGGUGUCUACGUUACCUGCAUAGUCCGCAUCCACAUAUCCCUCCAAAGCAUCCCUACCUGGUUGUGACCUUGUAUACUUUAGACCACCUCUCAAAGAUCCAUUCAAAUAUCUCAGAACCCACUUCAAAGCUUGCCAGUGUACUUGACCCGGAUUUGCCAUAAACCGACUUAUCACACUGAUUGCGUAGGAUAAGUCCGGUCUACUACAAACCAUACCAUACAUGAUGCUUCCAACCCCACUUGCAUAGGGAGUACCCUCCACCUUGCUUUUUUCUUCAUCGGAUUGAGGACAUUGCUUUAUAGAUAGCUUAGUGUGGUGACCAAGAGGAGUGCUAACGACUUUAGAAUCUUUCAUUCUGAACCGCUCCACCACUUUCCUCAAGUACCCCUGCUGAGAUAAGAACAACUCACCUUUGUUCCGGUCUCUUAUGAUAUCCAUUCCAAGUAUCUUCUUUGCAUUACCAAGAUCCUUCAUCUCAAAUUCAUCAUUCAAUCUUUCCUUGAGCUUCUGAAUCUCUUGUAUGUCAGAACUUGCCAUAAGAAUAUCAUCUACAUAAAGGAGAAGAUAGAGAAUGACUUUCUCAUUCCUUCUCAUCAUGUAAACACAACUAUCAUAGUUGCUUCUCACAAAACCAGCCUUUACUAGGAACUCAUCAAACCGACGAUACCACUGCCUUGGACUUUGCUUCAACCCGUACAAAGAUUUCUUGAACAAACACACUUUUGUAUUGUCUUCUACAAAACCUUCUGGUUGUUGCAUAUAGAUAGUUUCUUCCAACUCUCCAUGUAGAAAUGCGGUCUUCACAUCCAUUUGUUCUAACUCAAGAUCAUACAUGUUAACAAUCGCCAUAAGUACCCUUAUAGAACAAUGUUUUACCACCGGUGAAAAGAUUUCAUUGUAAUCAAUCCCUUCCACCUGAGUAAAACCCUUUGCUACAAGUCUUGCCUUAUACCUUGGUGCUUCGACCCCUGGUAUACCUUCUUUCAUCUUGAACACCCACUUGCUUCCCACUACCCUUUGAUUCUCAGGUAAUGAAACAAGUUUCCAAGUCUGGUUCUUCUCCAAUGAAAGCAUUUCCUCAUUCAUUGCCUUCAGUCAGUCCUUGUUUUCAUUGCUUUCUAAUGCUUCCCUGAAGUUCUUUGGUUCCGAGUCUUGCAAUUCUUCAGCCGCAUUCAAAGCAUAAUAAAUAAGGUCAGCAUAACCGUAUCUGUUAGGUGGAUUGAUAUGUCUCCUCUCCCUAUCUCUUGCUAGCUGAUAGUCAGGAUUCACUAUCUCUUGGCCUUCACCCUCAUCAGGUACUGGAGUUUGAUCCUCCUCUUCCCUUUCAUCAGUGAUAGGCUCCACCUCAAACUGAAGUUUCUCUGUCCCCGUUUCUGAGCUUGUAUCCAGGUCUUUGCACUUCAUCCCCAUGCGGGUCUCAUCAAAAGUAACAUCCCUGCUUAUAAUAAAUUUUGAUUCUCCAGGUUCCAUCUUCCACAGUCUAUAACCUUUCACACCUUCAGGAUAACCCAUGAAAAUACACUUCACAGCUCUAGCAUCAAGUUUGUCUUGCCUGACAUGGGCAAACGCUAAAGCUCCGAAGACUUUCAAGUUAGAGUAGUCUGCCGGUGUCCCACUCCAAACCUCCAUAGGUGUCUUGAGAUCUAUCCCUAUUGAUGGACAUCUGUUAAUCAAAUAUGCUGCAGUACUAACAGCCUCUCCCCAGAAACUCUUGGACAAUCCAGCUCCCAACAGCAUACAUCUCACACGCUCCAACAGAGUCCUAUUCAUUCUUUCAGCAAGACCAUUCUGUUGAGGUGUGUAUGCCACGGUUCUAUGCCUCUUUAUACCUUUCUUCCUGCAAAACUCAUUAAACUGUUCUGAAACAAACUCCAAGCCAUUGUCAGUUCUCAACACUUUCAGUUUGGUACCAAUCUGAUUUUCUAUAAGUAUAUCCCAUUCCUUGAAUUUUUCAAAAGCAUCACUUUUCUUCUUCAGAAUGAAAACCCAUACUCUUCUAGAAUAAUCAUCAAUGAUAGACAUGAAAUAUGAACCUCCCCCAUGAUUCUUCGUCGAUGCUGGACCCCAAAGAUCCGAAUGAACAUACUCAAAAGGCCUACUAGAUUUAUGCACCCCCACUCCAAACUUCACCUUGUGUUGUUUGCCUAAUGUGCAGUUAUCACAAAAAUCUAGCUUGUUCAAUUUUUCAUUCCCUAGCAAACCUUGUUUAGCUAGCUCCACCAAACCCCUCUCACUGACAUGACCUAACCUCAAAUGCCAAAGUUUAGUUAUGUCCAGAGUGUCAACACUAGCAACCGAUGCAUUUGCUAUUACGGUAGAACCUUCUAAAAUAUAUAGACCUUGUAUUUUAGACCCUUUAGCCAUAACCAAUGCACCAUGAGAAAUUCUCAUCACACCACGUUCAAUUCUAGUGCAAUAGCCUAGACCAUCAAACAUGCUUAUGGAUAUUAAAUUUCUCCUAAGUUCAGGAAUAUACCUCACAUUCUUCAAAAGGAAAUCACGAUCAUCAAACAUUUUGAGUCGGAUAGUACCCAUACCUUGAAUUUUACAAGCCUUAUUAUUACCAAGGCGAACUACUCCACCUUCUUUCAGCUCUAACGUUUCAAAGUACUCCUUUCUUGGACAAAUGUGAUAAGAGCACCCAGAGUCCAAGACCCAGCUCUUUUCAGGUUACCAACUUGUCACAGUUAGUGCUCCAGCACUCUCAUAACCUUCAUCUUUGCUUGCAAUCUGAACGGAUGAAUUUCCACCUCCAUUGUCCUUUCUCUCCGGACAAUCCUUCUUGAAGUGACCUGGAUUAUGACAAAUAAAACAUUUGUACUGUGUUUUAUUGCCAUCACCCUUCGACCUAGACUUUGACCUGGAAUUCUUGCCUUUCCCUUUUCCUCUGUUCUGACUUCACCCCCUUGAGACAUUCAAGCCUUCUCCACUAUCAUCAAAGCUGCUUGGUUAACUCUUUGGUUCUCAAAGCUGCUUGAACUUCCUCCAAAGUGAUAGUGCCCUCUUUGCCAUAAAGCAUAGUAUCCUUGAAAUUCUCAAAGGACCUGGGUAAAGCACACAGUAGGUGUAAGGCUUUAUCCUCGUCUUCCAGAUUAACAUCUAUGUUCGCCAAAUCAUUAAUAAUCUUAUUGAACUCCGUCAAUUGCUCCAUUAUAGGUUUUGACUCCACCAUACGGUAAAAGUAGAGUUGUUGUUUCAGACACUGUCUAUGUGCCAAAGACUUGGUCAUGUAUAAUGAAUCAAGCUUAUUCCACAUAGACACAGCAGUAGCCCCCCUUGAUACUUCUCUCAACACCUUAUCCCCAAGACACAAAAUGAUAGCGCUGACCGCCUUAUCAUUCAUCUCCGUCUUCUCAGCAGGUGUUAGAUGUGCAUGAAGGUGAAAAACACAAGAGGGGGGGGGGGUUGAAUUGUGUUUUCUUUUUCUCUUAAAAAAUACUUCUUCUGAUAAAACUUCAGAAGCAGUUUGAUUGCUUCUGAUGAAAUGAUCAGAGUCAGAUUGCAGCGGAAAAGAACAGAGCAGAGAAAAGAAAGACAAAGACACAAGCAGUUAUCCUGGUUCCUUCCACAACACGGAAGUAGUCCAGUCCCCCUUGCACUUCCAAGGAGAUUUCACUAUAAUCACAAGAUUACAACUGCUCAAUACUUUCUAAGUAUGAGACUUCACAAAACUAUGCUCAAGCACACACGCAAGAGUCUUCCAAUGCUCAAGCACUAAGCAAGAGACUUCUAAUGCUCAAGCACGCAGGCAAGAGACUUCUAAUCAAACAAAAAUACAGAGAAUUGAGUUUGAAUUGAACACUUGAUAUACAAUCAGUGGUGUUCACAAUACAAUACAGAAAAGACUCUAGACUUUGAAUUUCUAAGAUGUAUCAAAUCAGUGCAGAAAUUCAGUGUGCUUUGUAGAAUCAAAUUGACAGAGUUUUGGCGCUUUUGAACUUAUGUAUCUAUGUCUGCAAUCUUCAAGUCUUCACUCCUUUAUAUAGAGGCGUGAAAGAGACGUUGAGAUAAUCAGCACGUCUAAAGAGUCGUUUGAAAUCCUUUGAAUAUCCACCAGUGAUCCUUUGCCUGAUUUGGGUGUAGUCCUUUGAAGAAUAAACUUCAAAUUCAUUCCCAUCUUGAGUGUACAAUUCUGCAGGCAUGGCUGUUGUUUUGUCUUGUAGCGUAGACAGAAAACAGAGUAGUGGAGGUAGUGGUUGUACACUUGUACUUUGUCAACUCUAUUAAUGAGAGGCAAGUGCUCAGUGCUAUCCAUAUAUCCGUUGAUACCUCCCUUUCAAUUCUUCGUUCUUCUUUGAUAAGACUGAAUUGAGAAUCAGCUACUUUGAAUUUUUCAGUUUGAUUAAAAGAUCAAAUGUAGCUUCUGGUGCCAACUUUUGCUUCUGAUGAAAUCUUUUGCUUCUGAUGACUUUCUGCUUCUGAUGACGUCAUCUCUUCAGGAGCAGUUUAGCUUCAGGAGCAGUUUUCUUCAGAUGCUCAGAAUUUCUUUUUCUUUCCAUUGUUCUUCCAAGACCUAUUGAAAUAACUUGAGUAGCCUUUGGUCCUGUACACUUGAACAAUUAUUAGUAAUAACCAAUUGACAAUUUUUAAUACCUUGUUAUCAUCAAAACUUAAUAAGGUUCAUUGUGAAACACAUUUUGUUCCAACAGUGCAGACAUCUGUACUUCUCCCUUUAGUGCUUCAACGCACUUUUGUUGAAUUAAGAUUGCCUUCAUCUUCACCUUCCACAACCCGAAGUCGUUACUACCGGUGAACUUUUCAAUAUCCCACUUCGAACCCAUUAUACUUGGUUAUUGACUUGACCUUUGCCCCACGGUGGGCGCCAAUUGUUGUGAAUUCGUUGAGAAAACCACACCAAUAAAAACUUGAUGCGUGGAGCAAAUUAAUACCAAGUAAUCAAAUCAAGCGGGUAGCAAAUAAUCCAAACAAAAACAGCAAGAGAUAAAAGAGAGAGAGAGAGAGAGAGAGAGAGAGAGAGAGAAAAACACAAGAUAUUUGUUUACCCAGUUCGGUCUAAUGAUGACCUAGUCUGGGGGAGAGAGCAGCUCUCCGAUCCACUAUAAUGAAUGAGUUUCUUUACAAAGAGAUAAUGAGUUUCAAGAAUCAGUCUUCAAACCUAAUUUUACCCAAGUCCCAGCCUCUUCCCGUGACCAAGAGACUCAAUCCUAAUAGUGUUUUGUUCAAGGUGAAUCAAAACAAUCCCAACCCUAGAGUUGUUGCCAAGAGAGAUUCUCUAUAAACCCUAGUUUGUUUGUUGGUCUAAACCUUGUUUUUCUACACACUUUUAUCAUCUGAUACAAGGCUGAAUUUAUCGUGGAAAGUAAACCCUUAAAAAACUGAAACAAAUCUAACUGAAAAAUACGUUUUAUUUUUAUCUUCAGCGCGAUCAUCGUGGCGCGAUGAGUCUUCAUCGUGGCACGAAAUUUCCAGUGUCUUCCCAGAAAUCUUGCUUCAACCAUCGUGGCGCGAUGCUUCUCCAUCGUGGCACGAUACUCUAGAUUUCUGAUUUUAAGUUAACUCUCACAAAGAAUUUGCCAAAAAUAUUUUUGAUUGGGAAAAAUACAAAACCUGAUACAAAAAUCUACAAAUUAAGGAGCAACACUUUUGCGAAGUCACGUUCUUUCAAAAGGAAUGUUGUUAUGCGCCAAUUGGUUUGUGAUAGAUUUUCCACAGUAGGGGUAGCGGCAUUGACAUCAAACACCACAACUUGUUAGCGCAUGUAGUUCAUAGAGCCUCUUCAAUUUCAUCCAAAGAUCUUUCUAACAUUCUUUGUUUGACUAGGAACUCACAUGUUGGCAAAUUUUCAAAAACUAUAUGUGAAAUACAUGUAAGAAAGAGUAUUGCUUAUAAACUAUAUGAACUGACAUUAUAAAUUAAUUACCUGAUCAUUUUUUUUUUGUAGAAUAGAUCAUAAUUCUAUUCAUUGAAGUUUUCUUGAUCAGGACUCCAGUCAUCAAAAAUUUCUUUUCCCUUAUUCAAAUUCAUAUUUAUGUCUUGUUCUGUCUACAAGUUCAUUCAAUCAAACAAAUGACUUACAUGCUUAGACACAAAGUUUCAAUACAAUAGUUUAUAUUAAUACUUAAAUUUUUUCUUUUUGAGGUAGUAUCUAACAAAUUGAAAACUGUUAUACUUCAUUACUCCUCCUUGUUCUGUAGACCUUUGGAGAAACUGAAGGAUUGGUUGCUAUGUGAAAAUCUAUAAGCAGAGUGAGUUUACUGAAAUAUACAACAGUUAGCUGUACACAUUUGACUUUAACUUCUGUAAGUUAUUCAAGAACAGAGCUUUUCUUAACAGCAAAAGGUACUAUACAAAUAUUUCCACAAAAAAUUUAUUUGUUACCAUAUCCAAAUUUUUAAUAAAAGACUUUAUGCCAAUUGAGUUCAUAGUGAUCAAAGUAUUUUCAAGUUAUUUCUAUAAGCUCUCUAAGAGGGCUUAUGAAAACAACUUUUAUCUUAUAUGAAAACAAUUUAACUUUAUUUUAUCUUUUGUUAUAGAAAUAACUUAUUCUGUAAGCACUUAAUUAUGGUUUUAACAAAACAGAUAGCAAACCCAUUUUGUUUGUCUGUACUCUAUAGUCGGAAGUUUUGUAUUGCAUUUGCAUGUUACUGAUUCCACAACUCUAAUGGUCCAAAUGUUACUUCACAUGGAAAAUUUCGUAGUUACAUGAGAGUGACAAUUUAAAACAAAAUUUUCAAGUGAAAAGGUAAUGUAAAAUUUUAACAUGAGAGCAUUCAUUCCCUCUUUUGCAUAGUUAUAAUUUUACUUUUGAUUAAGAAUGUUUUCUGAUAAGUAUUGGUGAAAUAAUAGAGCUAGUGUCAUAUUAAUAAACUUAUUCAUGUCAUGAAUAAGCCUACAUAUAUUUGACUAAAUAUAUAUAUCAUUUUAGGGCUGUGUUCUAAGCAUACAAAGUCUAUUGGUCAAGCUGUGUCAAAGGAGUUCACUCCGGAAAGAUGGUUCUGCCUCAGGUCGACGCAAUUGGUAAGAAUAUUAUUAUCCACCAUCACGAGAAAGAACAUUCUAGAUUAUAUCUGACCUGCAUGUUUCCAAACAAAGAACAUGAAAAUAGCUUUUUUCUUUUUCUGUUUUCAUUUGGAAGUUUUAACUUUACUUCGGUUUCUGUCUAAAUUUCUGAUAAGCUUUAGUUUUUACUUACAUUUAGCCUUCUUUAUGACAAUAAAAUAAAUGAAUCUUGCUGCUGCAGAUGUUUAUUUGGAAUGCGUAUAUAUGUAUGGAUUGUUUAUCAGCAACGCGCCUCAUGACAUGUCACCUUCUGUGGACCGUUCUCUUUUUGGAAUGUUUGCUUUGGGGUAUGGUCGUGAUCCUCCACUCACUCUAUGAGUAACUCUCGUCGGUUAAUCCGUUUCAUAGCUCUUUAGAUUUUAAUUUUAUCGAUUCAACUGUUGAAUUAUCUUAACGAAAAUGUAUAUAUUGUUUGAAAAGUAUAUUCAAGCAAUAAUGAAUACCUACAUUCAGCAAGCUUCCAAAAUGCAAUCAGUACCUCCUCAAGAAAUGCCUUUCCCUAAUUUUUUCUUUAGAUGAUUGAAACAAAAAUUGAAAUUUCAAGAGCAAAUUACACAUCAAAAUAUUAAUAUCUUUUCCGCAGCAGAAUUUCAUGUUCUUUUCUUAUGUGAACAUCUGCACAGUUAAUCAAUUAUUUGUUACAUGUACUAACAUGUUUUAAACUUUUUGUAAAAAUGUCGUCGUGCGCUUGGCUUAGUUGGUAGGGACAAUGCAUAAUACAUGCAAAAUCCAGGGUUCAAACCCCGGCCACCACAAACAAAAAACUUUUUAUAAAAAAUAUUGUUCUAAACUUUUUCAAUUUUCAAAAUAUGAUCAUAUAAAGAUAUUAACCGCAAAUGAUUGAAAGAAGUGGCCCUGCUCAAAUAACUAUGCACAAAAUUAUUAUUAUUGGACACCAUAUUUUACUAUGUCAUUUUAUUGUUGUUCAAUAGGUCCUUGGAUCGCAUAAAGGCCUCUCAACGGAUUAGGUUGUAACCUCUGGUAGUCUUUUUUUUUUUUUUUUUGCAUGUGUAAAGUUCGAUCGAGUCGUAGCUUCCGAUUGGUUUAUUUUCUCUUUAAAAAAUGUAAAUAGUUGAAGAGUUUAUUCAACAAUCAUCUUAUUAUUUGUGGUGGUUGUGUCAAGUCUUUAAAAUAUAGUGAAGAUAAGAGGAAUUGUACUUAGUUCAGAAAAAAUCUAUGGAAAUGGUACAUCGUUGAAACUUCAAAGAUGCAGCAAGUUGCAAUUUAAGUGUGCAACUAUUACUAUUCAGCAACAAUUGUGACUCUUAACUAUAUGCACAAGCUAAGUCUUCUUGAGUCUUCAUUACUCUUAACUUUCUUUCCUCCUUUCAUGCAAUUUCAUUUACAUAUUCUUUUUUUACUUUCCCUGCUUUACUUUACAAAUCAUUACUUAUCUGUUACUUGUGGUAACAUAUUAAUUUUCCAAUAUCUUCAAAAAAUAUAAUAAAAAAAAAUAUUUAAGGGAUAUUAUAGGAAAUAAUUGAAAGAAGUGGCCACAAAUAACAACAAUUCACAACAUUAUUUUUCUCUGAAACUUAUUUGACUGAGUAUGUGUCAUGUCUUCUUUUGGGCCCAUACAAUAAUAUCAUACUUUCUUAGAAAGUGUGUGUUUUGAAAUAUCAUUUACAUUCAAACCUUCAUUUAGUAAAUGCUAUAUUUUUCAGCAAUGAUAUACUCAUCAGUUAUCACAUUUAGAAAGGUUAUCAACGUAAUCUCUAGUAAAUUAUUUUUAAAUUUUAACACAGGUGAUAAGAAAAAUGACAAUAUGAUACAUUUAUUUUUAGUAUAUGAGAGGAAUUUAACUAGAAAUUGCAUAUUUGACUCACUUUCCUAAAGUAAAAAUGUAUAUACAGGAUCUGCUAUUUAAAGAUUUCGAUGCUUUUAAUUGAGUGUGUCCACCAAUCUUUUCCUUUUUUCUUUUGGCCUCAAUUAUUUUGUGGGAUGUGUCCAAUAUUAACACUGCUGAGCUUUGCUUUCCAGCUUUCAAAUUUUGUUUCUUUCCAAUAUUAACUUUUCCUAUAUGCACUCCCAACCAUUCACAAGCAAGAAAUCUGCAUCCUUCUUCAUCGACAAAACCUUUACAAGCUAAAAUAUUUGAGGGAUAUUAUAGGAAAAUUUUUUGAAGCCAUCUUACAUAUUAAAAAUGGUUUUAGACACAGAGUCAUCCUAAAAGAAAAUUAGUUUGAAACAGAACUAAUAAAUUGAACAAAUAGCUAAAAUUUUACGAGAAUGAAAGUUAAUACGUCCAACAUUGAAGCAGUCUUGCAUUUUUUUUCCCUUCCAUAAUAACAAUGAUUUGGUUGAAAAAGUAUAGUGAUUUAAAAAUGACCGUCCUUUCAAAACAAAACAAAAAAAAUUCAAGACUGCUUCAAAGUUUAUAAGCCUUGCAAUCCACCAACAUUAUUUCGGUGAAGGUAGCUCAAACUAUAUUGACCGAAAGUUUUCUACACCCAAAAUAAUGUUCACCUGGAAUAAUGUUCUAUGCAUCUUGAAACUAAUGGGAAAAUGAAUCUCGGUGGACAGCAAGGAUAAGAAAAUUGUGAGUCUCACAAAUUUGUGACAUUGUUUGUUGAAUGAGCAUUUUGUUCACAUUUUUAAUCAAGAAGUCUCACAAAAUCCAUCCCAUAAAGAAUUAAUCGAAGUCUAUCAAUUUUUGAAUACCCAAAGACAUUUUAUAAGUUGUGAGAAAUCCUAAUUGAAUACCAAUGGAUUUCGUUGCAUUGAAAAAAAAGUCUUGAUUGUCUUAAUUGAAUACUACAAGAUUUAUUUAUAUUUUAUAAAAGUUUUGAUUGAAUACCACAAGACUUUUUUAUAAUCAAAAAGUUUUUUAAAAUUCCUUGAAAUUUCAAUCCAAAACACCAUCCUUAAUUGAAUACCACAAGAUUUAUUUAUAUUUUAUAAAAGUCUUGAUUGAAUACCACAAGAUUUUUUUAUAAUAAAAAAGUCUUUUAAAAUCCCUUGAAAUCUCAAAUAGUUUCAGACUUGGUACAACUCAAAUAGUUCUUCUGAAUUUCGAAUAGUUCUCAAGAUUCUCUGUUUUCUUUUAUCUAAUAAAACUUUUGAUUAGACUGUUAUCCCAUUAUUUAAUAUUUAAGAUUUAAGUGUCAUUCUCAAUCUAAGAAGAAUCACGCUCUGUAGGAUUUGAACCUACGACAUCGGGUUUUGGAGACCCGUUCUACCGAACUGAACUAAGAGCGCUUUCUUUUCAUAAACUAUUUUUUACAACAAGUACUUAUUUUAUUUAUAUUAUGCUUUUAAUCCAGGCUUCAGACCAACCAUAAUUCAUUUGUUCCGAGGAAAUGGACAAAAGAAUAAAAAAAAGAAUAAAUGGAGAAUUGCUCUAUCUAACUGGUGACUGGUUUCAUUCAUCUACCACCAUGAACAAUACUCUUUCGCGAAUGUAAGUACAAUAUUUCUUUUUCGCAAUUUACAUUUCAAUGAAGAACUCUGACUAUGAUAUCAACAUUCUGAGCGAUACAAAAUUAAUAAAUUUCUUUAGACAAAUACAUCCAAACUCAUAUCGAGGAUGAAAAAAGUAGCGCGGAAAACUCAUAGCAGAAUCACUUGUUAAACAUUAACAGACAAUCUAUACAGAUUGAAACGUCCCUGUUUGGAUAAACAACUUAUUUUGCACCUUAUCUCAUAAGCGCUUACCAUAUAAGUGCUUAUGAAUAAGUUGAACAUGUCAUAUAAGUGCUUAUGAAUAAGUUGAACAUGUCAUAAGCGCUUACCAUAUAAGUGCUUAUGAAAAAAGUAGCGUGGAAAACUCAUAGCCAAAUACAAUUGACAUUAAUGGUUGAACCUUCCGCUCACAUCACUUGGCAUUAAUACAUAAGUUUUUAAAUAUCAUAUAGAAUCCUUAGCGAAGACUUUUCUUAAUAUUUUUUUAUUUAGAUUUGUGAAACUAAACUGAAAUUUGAAGGGCAGAGAAACACAUCAAAAUAUUAAAAUCUUGUCUCCACACCAAUAUUUCAUUUUGUCUUUCUUUUGUUAUUUGUACAUUGGAACCAUUCAUCAAUGGCUUGUUACUGAUGAUAACAUAUUGUUCUAAAUAUCCUUAAAUGAUACUCCCUCCGUCCCUUAAUACUUGACACAGUUGACUUUAUUACGCAUGUCAAUGCAUAACUUUGAACUUAAAUAUCUUGAAUAAUAUAUUAGGAAAAAUUAUGAAAAUUUGAUAUUUUGAAAAUACUCAUCGAGACGAAUCUAACGACAACUUAUAUGAUGUUAUUUAUUGAUAGAUUUUUUUAGCAAGUGUACUAAAUACUAUCGAAGUAGUAAAAAUAUCGUUCCCACGAGGACUGUGUUAAUCUCAAUCUCAAUUUAGCAAUUUAGUAAAUAUUUAGGAUGUAUAAAUUAUUUUGUUUAUAGAUUUGAUUUGAUUGCAUAAAAUUAAAUAAACAGAAAAUAAAGAUAGUUUUGGAAAAUAUAUAUGAGAGAUGAGACUAGGUCUUUUGAAUCAUCUAUGUUUCCUAAUUGGUAUACUGCACCUAUUCUUAUGAAUGAUUUUCUAGUUUCACGAUAGUUAACAAAAUAGUCCUAAUCAAUCCCUUGACUUAGAACCCUCUUCUCAAACUACAGCCCCUAAUUCCUUAGGUGGUCUAAUAAUAUUUGAAGGUGUAAGCACGUUAACCUAAUAUCACUAACAAAUGAUUAUCCAUUCCUAGACUAACCCUGUUUAUUAGAACAAUUCAAUUAUGUCUAAGUAGAAAGUUAUGGUCAGUAGUCAUUCAUUCUCACUAAAUCAUGCUUAUAUUUGAUCAGGAUAUAAAAAGCAUUAAGAACAAUUGAAUUGAAUAAAAACUAGAUUAUCAUUCACAAUAAAUAGAGUUUCAUAGCAACAUGGUUCAAUUAGGGUUACAAGGAAUAUCUCAGAUCUAAUCAAAGGAAAUUAGCUAGACAUAAUCAAAGAAUUAAACAACAUAGUAAAGAAAAUAAACCAAUAGGAUUCCGUCGUUGCCGGCUUAGCUUCUAAUUUUCUUUCAAUCGAUGUUGUUCUUUUUUUGUUUCCAUAUGCAAGCUUUUUCUUUUUCUCUCGUGCUGCGUGAAUGCCUAAUUCCUCUCUUCCAAAACGUGGCUUCUCUGUACCAAGCGUCCUCCUUUUUUUUGCUGCUCUCCUCAUAUAUAUAUAUGCCAAUAAGUAAAGAAACCUAAUUCUUCAUUUGUUUCUUUCCGUUAGUAACAACACAUAGAAGCCCAAUUCUUUUUUUAUGCUAGCGACACCUCCUGUUUUGCGAUCUUUUUGAUCAUUUUCUCUUGCUUUCAUUUCUUUCCUUGUGCCAUAUGUCCCUAAAAUCGUGUCACGAAAUAACCAUCGUAACGCGUUUUAACCAAUGUCAAAUUAACUUCAUUCUGUGCUCCAAACCGUGACACGUGACACGAUUUUGCUUUCUUCAAAAUCUUCUAUUUUUCUUGUUUUCUUUGUUGUUUAAGCUUGCUUGUGAACUCAAAAUAUCAUGAAAAUGACACUAAAAACAGUGAAUGACUGACUGUCAUCAUUUAUAUUUGUAUAUUAGUUGAAAAAUACGGUCAAAGUCAUUUAGGUUAAAAUUAAAAAAAUUUAAAUAGGUCAAGUAUUAAGGGACGGAGGGAGUAUAUUAAUAGGAAAGAGGUGGCCCUCAAUUAUUAUCAUUGGGUCCAGCAGUUCAGCUUCAUUUUGAAUAGCCAAGGGGAAAAUAAAUUUAAGGACUAAUUUAAUUCUCUUUUUUGUUUGAGUUUAUAUCGAUCAAGUCAUUAUCUCAGCAGUAAAGACAAAGAGAAUCGUAAACUUUUAUUUCUAAAACCCAAUAACUAUGGUCAUUAGAGUUUCGAACAAUUUUAAAAUACUAGUCGAUCCACAGUCAGACUAUAUAUUGAAAUGUUCCACAAUAAAAUUUAUCAUUCAAGUGUUAGCCGACCCUAGUUUUCUAGUGGGAGAAACUCCAACUUCUCUCUAAACUUUCUUUCUCCUUUGUUCAUCGAGGAGGGGUGGUUUUAGGUCAUUUUGACCUAGAAUCACCCCUCUACAUCUUUUUUCCCCUUUUCUUUCAAUCUAAAUAAGUGGUUUUCACGUCUAUCAAGUUUUUCCUUUUGUGUUUUUGUGAUUUCGUCGUCUAAGUGCGGCGUUGUGUUGUUCGUCGUCUUGUGCGGCGUUUGAUUUCGCGUUUUGUCGCGGUGUUUGCUCAGUUCCUCUUGAAAGAUCUACAUCAGUCAAUUACAAAUUCAACCAAUGAUUUGAACGAUAACGUUGCAGAUCCAGAUGCAUGAGUAUUUCGGCGACUUAAGUUUUAUCAUAUUAUUUGUAGGCAUUUUGCCGUUGUAUGCUAUUAACUUGGGUGCUGUGAGUUUGUUCGUAGAUUCACCCUUUACGUUUUUAGCUAUGUUUGUAUUUGAUGUACUCUAUCGAUUUGAAUGAAUGAAUAUCGUUUUAUUUUUGUCAAAAUUUUUUUUAUCAUUCAAACUUCAAAGAUGCCAAUUGCUUUUAAAGUGUGCAACUAUUCUUUGUAUAUCUAUUAUUUUGUCUGAUGUGGGUCCAUUAACAAGCAUUAUUUCAUUCACAUAUGAGUCUUUACUAUAUGCACAUGCUAAUAUCCUCUCGAGUCUUAACUCCUUAAUUGCAUUCACAUAGCUCUUACUUCCAAUCAUUUCUAUAACUAGUAUAUAGUGACCCGUGCCAGCACAGGGAAAUAAAAAACUUUUUUGAUCAAAUGUAUAGAUUUUAAAUUCGAUAUGAAAAAAAUAUCAUCUUAAUUUUGUAUAUAUUUUGAAAUAUCUAAACAUUGCAUAUAACGAUAAAAAUAUUUGGAUUAUUAUACUUGUACUAAUUAUUUGUAGUAUAAGAUGCACUCAUUUUUAAACUUAGCAUAUGUAAUUUUAUUGCAAAAAUACGUCGACGUACUGUGUAAUAAUAUUUGUUGACAAAAUGUAUUUUAUUAAUCAUAAAAACUAAAAAAUAUGUUUUUUUUUUUUUUAUAUAAUAGUCAUUGUCACAUGCAUACACGUAGUCGGUAAAUGCAAACGUUUAAUUUUUUACGGGUGUGUAUAAAUAUAGUUUGGGCUACAGAAACACCGAUUGUUAUUUGUUUUUAAUUUUUACAAAACAAAUGGUGUAAUGUAAAUAAUGUAUUUUAGGGUAACAAUGAUGUAAAAAAAAAAUGUUCCGCGGAUUGUUAAACCUGAAAAGUGCAUGAAUUAAUAGUCAAUGACAGGAGGAUCUGCUUAUAUAGAAAUUGCAUGUCUAUAAUGACCCGUGCCAAGCACGGGAAAUAAAAAACUUUUUUGAUCAAAUGUAUAGAUUUUAUACUAUGUUAUCUUAAAGUUAUAAGUGUUGUUAUAAUUUACAUUUGAUAUGGAAAAAAAAUAUCAUCUUAAUUUUGUUAAUUUUGUAUAUAUUUUGAAAUAUCUAAACAUUGCACAUAGCGAUUAAAGUAUUUGGAUUUAUUAUAUUUAUACUAAUUAUUUGUAGUAUAAGAUGUACUCAUUGUUAAACUUAGCAUAUGUAAUAUUUUUGCAAAAAUACGCCGAUGUACUGUAUAUUAUUAUUUGUUGACAUAAUGUAUAUUAAUCAUAAAAACUAAAAAAAAUGUAUUUUUUUUUUAUAUAAUAGUGAGUGUCAGAUGUAUACAUCUAGUCUGUGAAUGCAAACGUUAAAUUUUUUUACGGGUGUAUAUAAAUAUAGUUUGGGCUACAUAAACGUCGAUUGUUAUUUAUUUUUAUAUUUUACAAAACCAAUGGUCUAAGUUAAAUAUUGUAUUAACGAUGUAAAAAAAAAGUUCCGCGUAUUGUUAUACCUGAAAAGUGCAUCAAUUAAAAGUCAAAAGCAAGAAGAUCUGCUUAUAUAGAAUUUGCAUGUCCUGUAAUGACCAGUACGUCUUACAAAGAAAUUAAAAAAAAAAAAAAAACUUUCAAUCAAUACGCAACUUUAGUUUUCUAAAUUAUAGCAACAACAAUUCUAAAACAUAACCAAUGAUCAUACUUUUUAAAAAACUUCACGAUACACAACAUUUGUGGUCUCCUUGAAAACAUUAUUAUCUUCAUCCAAGAUGAGCAGUUUCAAACCUUUUCUAGAAGUAACUCGAGAGACAACGACAUAGAGUUGCUCAUGCGUGAACACGGGCUUAGGAAGAUAAACUCCCACUCGAGAUAAAGAUUGACCCUGACUUUUAUUUAUUGUCAUUGCAAAAUAAAACGUCAAUGGAAAUUGUCUGCGCAUGAAUUUGAAGGGUAGUCCUGGAUCACUCGGAAUAAGAUUCAUCCUGGGAAUGAAUACGUUGGUACCUGCCCUUUUUCCUGUAAUUACGGUAGCAGCUAUCAUGCUCUUCCCUAGAUGUGUAACUGUCAGCCUCAUACCAUUACACAGUCCAUUGGCCCGAUCGAUGUUUCUCAUCAGCAUAACUGGACAUCCCACCUUUAGUUUCAACCGGUGAUUUGGAAUUCCAGAGCUCUUAAUAUCAUUAAGGAAUUCCGUUGUGAACCACUUGAUUUGGACAUCAGAAUUUUCACCCGAUCAACAAACAUAAUCAAAGCUUAAAUACUCUUUCUCUUCACCUGGAAUCAGUGACAUCAUAUAUUCGUUAACAUGCUCAACUGAAUCAAGCGUUGGUGCGAGUAUUCCCCUUUCUUGGAAAAAUAGCGGGUCACCAAGGUUAUCAUUCAAAUCGAGAUACACAAAGUCUGUAAGUGACAUCAACAGAUUUGUUGCGUCUGAUAUGAGCAAAUCUUCAGGAAUUUCUACCUUCAUUUCACCAUUCUCCUCCGAAGCGUUGUUGCCGUCUCCAAUUCAUAGUAUCCACUUGCCAAAAUUAGCAAUUUCUUUCUGCUCUGUAGGUACCAAAGAUGCACCCAAUCUCAUAUUAACAGUAAGCAUUAACACAUUAAAAUAAGCUCAUAUCUUUGAUGAAUUGAUUGAUGCAUCAACAAUAUCCUGCCUCGUUCCUUUUCGGACAACAGGCAAUAUCUGCCUGAAAUCACCACCUAAAACUAUUGUCAUUCCAUCAAAUGGUUUAAACUCGUUUAGGGAAUCAUUCUUGGACAUGAUACCACACAUUGAUCGGUCAACUGCCUCAAAACACCAUCAGUGCAUCAUUAGAGCCUCAUCCCAAAUUAUCAACUUUGCAGCACGCACCAAGUCUGCCCUAGGACUAUCCUUUUCCAUCGUAAGAGAUGAUGCCUCAUAAUCUCAAUAGGGACUGUCAGCGUCAGGUGUGCGGUUCUUCCUCCUGCUAAUAGAAGAGUCACUAUACCGCUAGAUGCAACAUUCAAUACAAUUAACCCCUUCGAUCUAACAGCAGUCGACAAUGUUUUCAUAUAAAGGUUUUUCCAAUACCACUGUAACCAUAUAAGAAAAAGAAACCAUCGUCGUUAGAACCAACGGACUCCAUGAUCUUUUCAUGCACAUAUCUUUGUUCAUCAAUCAGCAUCAGUAACAUAUCAGCAUGUGUCUUUUCCAGUUCAUCUUUGUUGUAAUUUAGCUCAUCAACGAUAAGCUUGUUUGUGAAAGUUGGCAUGUCUGCUGCGUUUUGUAUGGGUAUGGAUUUGAUGUCAGUAAGCGACUGUUCGUUUUCCUGAAGCAACAUUUCAAUUUCAAUCAAACAAAGGUUCUUCAAGUCAUCGUCACCGAUACGCAGAUCUGUAUAUUAAAUGUAAAGUCACGAAAUUAAUAUUAACACCUUUGCAUGCAUUUGUGUGCACGUUGAAGAGAAAGAAAAAAUAUUAGCUUUAUAUGAGAAUCCUUUAUAUUUAAACUUAUCAGCCUAAAAAAUGUAGAAAAUGUUGAAUGGUAUCGUAGAGUUAUUAACUCUUAGUUUUUUCUUUACUAUAUCCUAAAAAAAGUACCUUUUAACUACUUAAACUACUCUAAUCAGCCUUUACUAUAUCCUAAAAAACACACCUCUCGAAAACAACCCUGUCAUCAAGGUUGGAAUGUGUUAAAUUUCUUAAUGUGUAAUAGUCUUCAUAUGUAUCACCCUUAUCCCUAAUUUUUAUUAGUGAAGUACUGUUUUGAUUCUCACUUUAAUUUGAACUAUUUGGUUCCACCAAGAUAUUUUACUCCUAGCUAGGUCCAAAACCUAUUAAUUCUUCUAGUGUCUCUUUUGCUACUUUUCUAAUCUCAUAUGUCAUCUUGUUCCACGUAUCAUUUUCACUUAUAUGUAGCUUCACACAACCUUCCUUCAAAAUCUUUUGCAGGAAAACACUUUGGUUUUGAUCCUUUAAAUGUCACCACUUGAUCCUUGUUUCUCAAUCAUGGCCUCUCAUCUUCGCUCUUAUCUUAACCCUUACAUCCAUAACCAAUACUAUAUGUUGGAUGAUCAAACUCUCCAUGUAAAACUUUAAAUUCAAACAAAUAUUUAUGUCAUAAUUCCUAAUAAGAAAUAAAUCUAUUUGAGAACAUGAAAUCCCACUCUUGUAUGUAAUAAAUUUCCUUUUUAUUUUCCUAAAGUAAGAUUAAAAGACAACAAAAAAAUCUAGGACGAAUUUACCCAAUGCAUUUAUCUCCCCUAGGCUAUACCCUCAUUCAAGCCUUUAUAACUUAUCAAGCACUUCUUACAUGCCCAUUUAGAUCCCCUCCUAGAAAAACAUUUUCUCCUUGUGGUAUAUCUUGAAUUUAACCUUUCAAAAUUUAACUUUAGAAUAUUCUUCCAAAUCCACCUAAGAUGGAUAAACACUCAUAACAUUAAAGAUGUCUUAUUUCCUUUAAAAAAUAAAAAAUAAAGAUGUCUUAUUAAACUUAAAAUUUGUAGGAUACAAUCAAAUCUCACAUCCUCUUUACAUCCACAAUAUCCUUUUUCAAUUCCUUAUCCACAAUAAUGCCUACAUCAUUUCUCGAUCUAACUUUUCCAGUUUAUCAAUUUGAACUAUCUAAUUCUUUCGUCUUUUCACCUACCCACAUAGUUUUUUGCUGGCACAUAAAAUUAAUCUUCAUUUUAGUCAUAGCGUCAACUAUUUCCAUAUAUGUGAUCUCAAAAAAAAAAAAAAAACUAUUUUCAUAUAUGUUCAAGUAAGAGUACCUUUAUUCCAUGUUCUAAAACGGAUUAUACUCUCAUUAACUAACUUCUUUACCCACACUCGUUCACAAAGAUGUGGAGACUCUUGCUUAUUUUUUACUGCAUUCAGGCAGCGAUGUACCCAUCCUUGCUCAUUUAACUUUGUAUUUGAGCUAUACAACGUGUUUCUUCUACGCAUUGACCCAGUUUCACACUAUUAUAUACUUGGUUCAUAUAUGCCUCAUUAAUAUCAAUAGGGACUGUUAGUGUCGAGUGCGCGGUUCUUCGACCUGGUAAUAGAAGAGCCGUUAUACCGCUGAAUGCAGCAUUCAAUAUAAUUAAUCGAUUAAAGAACAGAAAAUGUGAACAAAUUAAUCUCGGGAGCGUAAAGUAGCCGCUGCUCCCCCCAAUAUUUUUUUUCUUCUUUCGUAUACUACUACAAAUGCAGCACUCAACCGCUCACCCUUUGCGACUGUGAACAUGUUAUCUCUCAUUAAGCCUACUUCUCAAGUCACUACGUAAUUGUAGCAUAAUCUCCAUCACGUGAAACGAUCACGUCGUAGUGACACUUUUUUAUUUCAAUGUAUUUUAUAUGACAUGAACACUAUAUAAAUAUUUAAAUAUUUUAUGUAUGUAUAAUACUGAGAUUUGGUUAAUCCAUUUUUAAAUUUUCGCUGCUCAUGAGCAAGAUCCGCCACUGGUUGUUAGAAUAUUAUUCUGUUUCAUCCAAAAAGACAGGUCAUAUAACCUUUUUGACAAAUAUUCAUCUAAAUUUGUUUAAGAAAUCUUCAGGGUUAAUUGUUGUCAUGUAACAUUUUUAAGAAAGCUUCAUUUUAUGUUAGAUCAUUAAAACAGAUGAUUGAUGUAUAAAGUGAAAGAUUUACUCGCAACGUCUCAACAAAAUCAAUUCCUUAACUCAGAUUUUCUUGUUUGGAAUAAACAGGGACAUAGAUGAAAACUCGGAAUACAAAACAAUUGAGAUGAAUGAAUAGCUUUGGGAAAGAUUAAUGUAGGCAAUUUUCUUGUUUAAAUUCACAUAUGGCAAUUUCUCUUCGGGAAAGAUUGGCGCACAUAAACUAAUUUAUUGAAUAGCUUUUUCUGUGUAAAUAGUUAAGAAUGAAAUCUCUUUUGAAUUGCAAUCUCCCAAUUAUAUUGUAAAUGUUUAAUGUCACGGUAUAAAACAAUAUGAAAUUUAUUGACACAAUAUUUCAAGUACUACCAGAAAAUUCCCCCCUUUUUUUUUCUUUCUUUUUCUAGACCACAAAAAGGCCUUGUAUUUUUUCGGUACAUCAAUCAAUACUUCACUAAAUAUGAUAAAACCAAAAAUAUUCUAUUUAUGAAAACUUAAUAGAGAAUUUCAUAUCUGAUAUAACUUGACAUUGCAAAUAAAUUACACAUCAUCAAUGAAUCUUAGGCCUAAUACGAAAAGGUAUCCUUAUUGUGAACGCUUCGAGACGAUGACAAACCCUUUUUGCAAAAGGUUGAAGAUUAGUACAUCACCCUUUUCGAGACGUAAGCUUUUCAGGAUAUAUUAACCUCACAAGAACGGUACAACUUGAGGGUCCACAAAGUUUGAGAUAUGUAAGACAUGUUUCUUUCAGGAAUUCUCCAAAAAUAAAAUCAUAUAGAAUCUUCUAAGACAAUAAAAGAGAAUAUAUUAGUAAUUCAGGUGGGUCGAUAAAUCAACUAUUACGAAGAAACCAAUUAAAAAAUGUACUCCCUCCGUCCUAAAUUAUAAGCAAAAAAAAUUCAUUUUCUUUGUCUCAAAUUAUAAGCAAAAAAUACAACUUUUAUCAUAUUUAAUUAUGUUUUUUCAACAGAUUAUCUUUUCCAAAGGAAAAUUAAAAGCAAAGUGCAUUCAAUUUGCUCUAUUUUUCAUUUUCUCUAUAAUCAACUACCAAUGAAAAUUGUUUUUACAUCUUCCUAUAAAACUUAUUUCAAAGAUAAUACAAAAAAUUAUGUUACAAACUACUAUGUUUUAGUUUUCUUAAUAAGUGUGAUUUUUAUUUUUCUUAUAAUAUGGGACGGAGAGAGUAUUAAAAUAAAAAAUCUUAACCAUGGGUGAUGAAGUUGCAUUACGACCAGUAAGAUGGCAGAACUGUGGUUAAAAGAAUAGAAACAAAAAAAAUAAGACUGAAAAAAAAUAAGACAUAAUAGAAAAGGGGAUAUAAAAAUAUGAAAAAAAAAAUUAAGUUAAUCAACCUUAUUGUCCAUUAGAACCAUUUCUAAGGAGAAAGGAAGUUGGUCAUUUUUCAUAUCUGUCACAAACCAAAUGCGAACGACUCGAACCUGAUAUUUCAGUUUUCUUUGUAAUGGGAUAUAUCAGAGAUCAAGUCAAUCUUUGGGGCCAUUUCGAUUUAAUGAAGAGACACAAAAAGUACGCAAAGAAAAAGAAAUAAAAUAGAGAGACAACUGUAAAAUUGGAGUUGUGGUGUGAGAAAAAUGUUUGUCAAUACAAUUUAUAAUAAUUUUUAGAGGACAAUGAUGUAAAAUAACCACAUUCAAUUCGAUAAAUGAUAUCAAUCUGCUUGUAGCCGAAAAUAAAAAUUCAAUAGGUCAUUAGGUUAUUUAUUUUUUUUUUUUGUGUUUGAUUGCAUCCUUUUUUUUUUUUUUUGAUUAAGUGUUGGAUUGCAUCCUAAAGUUGCUCAUUAAACCACACAAAUCAAAAUCAAUAGGUUAUUUAGUUUUAGAAAGUUUUCAUCCGAUUUUAAUAUCAAUAAAUUCCAAAAUAUUGUAGCCGAAAAUAAAAAAAUCAAUGGGUCAUAAUGUUUUAUUUUUAUUGCUUCAGAUUGCAAAUAAAGUUGCUCAAUAAACCACACAAAUCAAAAUCAAUAGGUUGUUUAGUUUAAAAAGUUUUAAUCUGAUUUUAAUCCCAAUAAAGUCCAAAACCUUUUUUUUUUCCGGUCAAAUAAAAAAGCUACACAUCUAUGAGAAAAAUAUACAAUUUGAUAAGGUAUCAAUCGAUCAAUGUUACAAUAAAAUUUUGUAUUAGAUAAACUAUUAUUAAAUUUAUAUAAUAUAGAUUUUACUACUUAAUAAAAAAAAAAUUACGGAUUGGCCAAAAAAAAUCAAUUUGAUAGGGUGUCAAUAGGUUAAUGUUGCAAUAAUAUUUUGUAUUAGAAAAAUUAUUAUUAAAUUUAUAGAUUUUAUUGGUUCACAAAAAAACCAAUUUGAUAGGGUAUCAAUCGGGCAAUGUUACAGUAAUAUUUUGUAUUAGAAAAAUAAUUAUUAAAUUUAUAUAAUAUAGAUUUCAUUAGUUCAUAAAAAAAGUUUAUGGAUUGGAAAAAAAAAUCAAUUUAAUAGAGUAUCAAUCGGUCACUGUUACAACAAAGAAUUGUAUGAUUACAAUGAUUUUGAGAUGACACAAUAUACAAUUAUAUUGCACAAUUAUAUCGCCCAUUUUUGAUGGAUGAGAAACCGUUGUGAAAGAAAAAAAAAUAAAAAUGGAUUGAUUUGAUUUCGGCUUAUGUGGCCAAACUUUGAUUUGAUUUAUGUUUAAUGCAUAUGAUUUUUUUUUUCUUGUGGUAAAUGCAUAUGAUAUUUUAGCAAUUGCAUGAAAUUUAUUUUGAGCCAUCUUUAUUCUUCGUAAGAUAAAACCAAAAUGAUGCGAUCAUGUUUUUUGAAUAAAAUCUUAGAGAAGCAUUAACAGUAGAAUAAUCAAUAUAUAUUCUUUUUUUUUUUUUUGAACAAAUCAAUAUAUAUUCAUUUGUUUAUAUUGUUGAUUACAAUUGUUAUAAAUAACCAAUUAAGAUGUUUAAGCUUAUGAUACAAUCUUUACAUUUUUUAUUUAUACAAAUAAUUGAAUCAUACGAUAUAUAUAUAUAUAUAUAUAUAUAUAUAUAUAUAUAUAUAUAUAUAUAUAUAUAAGAUUUAAAAAAGAUCAACUAUAUGAUUCGACCAUUGAUUCUUUAAAUUUCUUUAUGCAAAUGGAGAUAUUGGGAACGUAUGUGAAUGGAGAUACCACGAACUAAUUCAAACAAACUAUCGACUAUAUAAAAAAGAUCUAAAAACAUAACAAAGUCGAAUGAGAAAUAUCAGACAUGAAAUUAAUUUUCGGUGUUAUUUGGAUUGUAUAGAAAUAAGAAGAAGAAACAACAAAUAGAAACAACAAAUAGAGUUGUGAUGUGAAAAAAUUGUUAAACCAUAGGUCUAAUUUAUAGUAAUUUUUACAGGAUAUUUUGGUAAAAUGACCACAUAUAAUUUCAAAUAUUCAUUAAUUUCACUUUUUUUUUUUGUCUUGCUUUAACUUUUUUCUUUUUUUCGGUUACUUUUAUUGCCUCACCAUUUACAUAUGGACGUUUCCUUAACUGUUUUUUUUUUUGGCUUUUCAUCCAUUUUUGAUUUUUUUUCGGUUACAACUUUGCCUCUCAACAAAUCCUCACAUUUAUAUCACUUUGAUUUUUCCCUCAAAAAAAAAAUCACUUUGAUUUUGGAAAAAGAGAAAACUUAGGUACAGUUCCUUAGGUGCUUUUCAUAUGGUUCUUAACUAAAAAUACAUAUUUUUUUGGAUAUAACAAACUUUGAGAAAAUUAUGGAUUUGAGAAAAUUGAAUUUAGUUAAGAACCAUACGAAAAGCACCUAAGGAAUUGUACCUAAAUUUUCUCCUUUGAAAAAUCCGUUUUUGAUUGUAAGUUUUUAUAUAGUUGACUAUCAAAAUUAGAAGUUUUUCUUCUUCUUUUUUUUUUUGCCUCAAUAAAUAUUUCUUUAAUUUUUUUCCCUAUUGUUAAGGAAAUCAAAACAUAUCGUGUUUAAUUGUUUUAAUGCAAUUACAUAUAAAAUAUCUUUGACAUAGUUUUAAACAAAAUAUAUAUUUUUUGAAUAAAUUAAACAAAUAAAUUGUAUCACAUUAUUAUUAUUAUUAUUAUUAUGAAAAUAAAAAUUAAGAUAUUGAUUUCAAUGAAAAAUAUGAUGUUAUUUAAAAAAAAAUUAAAAUUGUCUGACAAUAUUAUUAUUAUUAUGAAAAUAAAAUAAAAAUUAGUUAAGUUCAUUAAUUCGUUAAUUUUAUUAAUUCAUAAAAGCAUAAAAAUGUGAAUUGGUUAAAAAGAAACAUGAGUUGAUAAGGUUAUAUUAUUUUUCAAUUUUUUUUUGUUUGGUUUAAAGCUUAUAUAAGCUAUAUUAAAUCGUAUUUUUAUUAUUUGGCAUAUAUCAAUUAUUUGAUCUCUUUGACAUUAAAAUAUUUAAAUUUUAUUAUUUGUUUUAAUAUAAUAUCUGAAAUUAAAUAUUUAAAUUUAAAAUUAUUUGAUUUAAAUCUGUAUUAUUUGAAUUCAAAAUGUUUGAUUUUUAAUUUAAUAUGAAAUAUUAGAAAUAAAAUUGAAUUUGAAUUUGAAAAACUUCCUUUUAUUCAUAAGCAUUAAAUACAAAUUUGUGAGGAUGAAUGUGGUGAGAGUAUUUUGUGAGGAACAAUAUGAUGAGAGUAUUUGUAAAAAAGAAAGGGACAUAUGACAACACCAAAACAAUAGUAAUUCAUUUCCAUAAAAGUCUAUGAAAUGGAUCCUAAAUUUAUAUUAUAUAGAUUCAAUCUCCAUAGCUCUUAAUUACCUUCAAAAUUUUGCUAUUUACGUGUGCAGCUUUAUCAACAAAUGAAUUAACCACAUAUUUAAUAACAAGAUGUCCAAGAUAUUUCAAAGAUGCAAGUUGCAAUUUAUGCGUGCAACAUUUCUUUGUAUAUUUACUAGUGUAACGCCCCGUGCCAAGCACGGGAUACAUUUUAUUUAAAUUUUUUUAAUAUGAUUUAAAUUUUAACAGAUUUUUUAAAUAUUAUUGUUUUUGUUUCUUUUCAUCCAUAAUUUUGGCGUUAUGUGGUAUUUUAUCUUUGUAUUUAAAAUUGAACAAUAAAUAAUCAUUUAUUGAGAUCAAAAAGUUAAAUUUUAUAGAUGACUAUUUUUGUGAGAGUGAUAAAAUAAUCAACAAAAGUACAAUUAAACCCAAAAGAUAAAAACACUAUAAAUAAUUAAUAUAUUUCUAAAAAAUUAACUAAUUAGUAAAUGGAUAUGAUUACCUAUGGUUAGCUUUGGUUUGUCAGUCAUUCAAUAUAUCAAAUGGAUAUGAUUACCUAUGUUUUAAUUUUUCACUCUUAAUAAAAAUAUUAAUUUUUUACUUAAUCACAAUGAUCUCUAUGAUCGCAAUUAUAAAUAAAAAAAAACCUAAAUUCAAAAUUUUAGUUACAUCUAUUAUUUUUAUUGGUUUCAUAAAUAAUAUUCAUUGACAUUAUUUUUUUAAUUUAUCAAAAUAAGCACAUUUUUGAAUAAAAUUUACCUCAUAAAUAUAUGUAUAUUUUGUAUUUCAUUAAAAAAAAUUGAAUUUUUAUGUUAAAUUUUGAAUAUAAAAAAAGCAUUAACAAAUCAUGUUUGGUUUUAUAUUUGUGAACAAAAAAUAAGUUUAAAACACAAAAACAAUAUUUUUAAAAUAAUAGGUUAUCGCUAAUUAUUCACACUUAGGGAAACUUAAUUUUUGUAUUUACUUUAGAAUUUGUGUAAAGUUUAAGACAUAAGUAAAUUGUAAAUAUGGAAACUGUAUAUUUUUUUUAUUGAAGUGUCAAUACAUGCAACAAAAACAAUUUGUUCAAUUGAAAUUGAAAUUCCCAAGACAAUAAAAGAGGUGCCCUGCAUCACCAUACAAAAUAACAUUAUACCAAAAGGUGUACAAACUUUACCAAAAUAGAUCUGUAAUAAAAAAUAAAAUAAAAAAACCGUAUUAACAUUCUUCAACUCCUCAAUAGUGGUCCUAGGAGUAAGUAAGAGAAACUCCUCAUUUACAGGUAUGUGAGAUGAAUUUGGUAACUGGAUCAAUCCCGAUGCAGGAGAGUUUGUAUUUGCAUUAAGAAAGAGUAAAUAGUCAAUUUCCCCCCUGAAAUUGUAAAUUUCAUCAAUUACCCCCUGAAAUUAACAAAACUUCAAUUACCCCCCUGAAAUUUCACAACGUUAGUCAAUUUACCCCUUCCGUCAAAUUUUUCUGUUAGUGAACAUGACGUUUUGCAAAUACCCCCCUGAAAUUUUGCACUUAUGUGCAAAAUGCCCCCAAACUUAAAAAUUUAUAUUAUUUUUUUCUUAAAAACAAAACAAUUAAUAGUUAAAUAUUAAAACUAACUAUUAAUUUUGAAAUUUGGGAAAACUACAUGCAUAUAUACAUCAAAAUAGGCUCCAAAAUGGAAAAAAAAUAUGUAUUUUUUAAAGUGACAAUAAUGGGAUGAUUUGUGGAUUAAUAUUGAGGGUUGUGUAGUUUAAAUGGUUUGAGCAAAUUGUUGAAGGAGUUGGAGGAGUUAAAAGACUAAGAUGGUGAAGGAGAAAAUAUAAAUUUAAAUCUGAUUAUUAAUUUGUUUAUAAACCUCUAAAAAUAAUAAUUUGUCUAUUAGAAAUAACUAUUAUUGUCACUUUAAAAAUACACUUUUUUCCCUAUUUUGAUGUAAAUAUGUAUGUAGUUUUUCCAAACUCCAAAAUUAAGAGUUAGCUUUAAUAUUUAACUAUUAACUGUUUGUUUUUAAGAAAAAAAUAAUAUAAAUUUUUAAGUUUGGGGGGCAUUUUGCACAUAAGUGCAAAACUUCUGGGGAGUAUUUGCAAAACGUCAUGUUCACUAACAGAAAAAUUUGACGGAUGGGGUAAAUUGACUAACGUUGUGAAAUUUCAGGGAGGGUAAUUGAAGUUUUGUUAAUUUCAGGGGGGUAAUUGAUGAAACUUACAAUUUCAGAGGAGAAAUUGACUAUUUACUCCCCUAAGAAAGCUAUAAUAAAAAGUAUCAAUCAAUAAUAUUAUAACUUAAGAAGAAAAAAUAUAUAUACCUUUUCCUUAGUUCCUUUGUUUCACCAAUUUCAGGAUUGAAUGUGAUUCUAGUGGAAGAAAAUGCAUUUUGCAAUGCUGGUUUUCCUAUCAUUAAGAUUCAAAAGUAUAUGAAUCAAAUAUAUAUAUUCGUAUAAACAAACAAUCACAAUUGCUAGUCAUAAAUUAUUACCUUAAAACAAUUUAACUUUUGUCAACAUAAUGGCUACAACAACAUUUUGAGAUUCAUCGGACGAUAGAAAAGAGUUCAACUCUUCAACAUACUCUCCAAAAAGAGUACAUUUAAAACGGUACCUAUUUAAAAUUGUCAAAGAUUAUACAAAUAUUAAUAAAAAUACUAUAAAAUAGGUCUUAAAAAAUUACAAUUACAAAAAAAAAAAAAAAAAAAUCAAACCUACCCAUUUGAAUCCAAUUCAAUGACAUUCAUUUUAGUUUUUACACCAUCUCUUUCGUACUCUCUUUCAACUCCAACUCCAAUCAUGACUCCAAUUACGUCUGCAUAUAUAACACACAUUAAAAUUUCGAUCAAAUUAUUAUUUAUUAUUAAAAGAAUAUAACGUACAAUUGAAUCAUAUUAAAUAAAACAUUUUAUUAAUUCAAUAUAUAAAUUAUUGUGUUAUUUUUGUAAGAAAAAAAUAAUAUUUAAAAAAAUCUACAUGAAGAAAAUUAUAGUCACUUACCAACUAAGUAGUUGUUGUCGUAAGAUUCAUUGAAAACAUCAGGUGUAGGUGUAAACGAAUACACGUUUAUUGGGACCAAAACAGUUUUAGAUAGUUUGACUUUUGUGAAAUUCAGUUUGUAUUCGUUGCGUGAUGGUCGAUACGGACCACUGUUUGCUAGCAACAUCAAAUGAGGAAAUCGUGAACACCAUUCCCUCUUGGAGUUGCUCCUUGAACUUGUAGAUCAAUGUUCUUCGUAUAGACGCACCAAUUUGAUCACCCUAGAUAAAAAAGAUGAGAACACUAUACUUUAAACAAAAAAAUACUAAAAAAACAAAAAAGAAAAACGAUAUGAAAAAGGUACCUUUUGAUCAAUUAGAACAAACUCCAUGGAAAAUGGUAGUUUUUUAUUUUUGUAGUCUUGACCAAACCAAGCACGAACAACCCUCACAACCAAUGUCCACGAUUGUUUUCUUGGCGAAACAUCAGAGAUGAAGUCGUGUUUCGUAGACAUUUUCAUUUGCAAUAGAAAAAUUACAGAAAUAGUUUAGAAUAUAGAUAUCAAAGCACCAAAGAACAGAAAACGAAAAACUAUAUUUUGUGAUUGUUGUGUACUCAUACCCAAAAUCUCUACUAUUUAUAUAGAAAAAUAGUACCAUAACGGUUAAUAUAAAUUAAUUAUCAAUUUAACCGUUUUAAAAUUAAUAUUAUCAACGUCUUUAAUAUUAUAAAACGUGCAUUAAACGAUUAAAUUAUAUUUCAUGUAACGUACAAAAAAUUAACUUCAUAACAUUUGAAAUUUAAUUUGAUAUUUAUUAAGAUCUUAUAAAUUAUUAUGUAAUAUAGUUUUGUAACAAACAAAAAUUAAUUAUAUAACCUUAAAAACUAAUUAAUACAAUUAAUUUUUUAAUUAGUAGGUUAAUGCCUUAGUGUAACGUCCCAAAAUUCAAAAUAUAAUUUAUUCAGUUUAUUUAUUAUAAUUUUAUAACCAACCAAAUUUUGAAUGUUACAUAUAAAUGUUAAUUGAAUACUAAUUAGAUUAAUAAUUAUUUGAUUUGUAACGUUCAAAUUUUUAUUGUAAAAUAUAAAUUUUAAUCGAAACAGUAAUUAUAUUAAUCAUUAUCUGAUUGUAACCAACUAUUUACUUUAUGUACAAUUUAAUGUUAAAUAAAAAACGGUUUUUAAUAAUAAUUAAAAUUAUUAAGGUUGUAUUAAAAAUUAGGAGGAAUUUCGGGAACAUAUGCCAAGUAGGCUUUUGAUGAGAUGGACAUCUUUAAAGGAAAGGAAUUUAAAAUAGGCUAUUUCUAAGAACUCUAAAUUGUUAGUAUAAAGAUUAUUUUGUCAGAUGGAGUUCCAUAAACCAUUAUUGAGCCAACAAACAAGUACUAUUAUUAGUUAUUACAACCAUUGUUGAGCCAACAAACAAGUACUAUUAUUAGUUAUUACUACCAUUAUUGAGUCUUAACUCCUUAAUUGCAAUUACUACUAUAUCCUUGAAUCUUCAUUGCUCUUAACUUUCUUUCCUCCUUGAAUCUUCAUUGUGGUAAAUAUUAACUUUCAAAUAUCUUUAAAAAAUAUCAUAAAAAAAUAUUUAGAAGAUAUUAUAGGAAAUAAUUGAAAGAAGUGGCCUCAUAUAAUAAUAAUUCACAACAUUAUUUUUCUCUGAAACAAUAUUUGACUGAGGAUGUGUCAUGACUUUGUUUUGGUAGGUGGCACACUUUUAUUGACCAUUGAUAUAUAACAUUGAUACUUUAAUGGUACACAAGUGGAAUCCGCAAUAAUAUCAUCUCUUCUUAAAAAGUGUGUGUUGUUAGGAAACAUGGCAUCCAUGAAAAGAAGGAGAGAAAACUAACAAACUCUUUGUAUUGAUGGAAAUGAAAUAUUACAAAUGAGUGGAAGUAACCCUCUAAUAAGGUGGUUACAAGUUAUUUAUACUACUUUCUACUCACUACUAGAACUAAUAUGCCACUAAUCUCUAUUUCUAAUUUGUGUUUUGAAAUAUCAUUUACGAUCAAACCUUAUAUUUAGUAAAUGCUAUACUUUUCACAAUGAUAUACUCAUCAGUUAUCACAUUUAGAAAGGGUUAUCAACAUAUUAUAGAUAAGAAAGGUUAUCAACAUACUCAGAUAUAUUUAUUUUUAAUUUUAACACAGGUGAUAAGAAAAAUGACAUAUGCUACAUUUAUUUUUAGUAUAUGAGAGGACUUUAACGAGAAAUUGCAUAUUUGAAUCACUUUCCUAAAGUAAAUAUUAACCACUGCUGAGCUUUUGCUUUCCAGCUUUCAAAUGUUGUUUCUUACCUAACCAUUGAAAAACAAUGUUAUCCAUUCAGAUAAGUGUUCUUGAGUCUACCCUUUACUAUAUGCACUUCAAGCCACUCAAAAAUAAGAGAUUUAAGGUUUGGAGUUGGUUACGUAAAGUGAAUGUAUUAGUACACUAAACGUCUAUAGUACUCUACAGGAAUUUCUUGUAUUUUUUAUUUUUGACUAAAAUUGAUUAUUAUUUGCUUGCGAAAAAGAUUAGUGAGAUAACAAAAAAAGAAAAUAUUUUGUUAUAUUUUUUGAUUUGGAAAGACGAAGUCUUUUGCCUCCGUACCCGCGAAGGAUUAAAAUCACGUAGUUCGGGGUAAAAAGUCGAGUGAUUUGUUCGAUGUUUUUUAAUCGUUUUUGAAAAGGUUUUAAAAAAUAAAAGCCAAAAGGCAAAAUGAAAAGUUGUUUAGUGUUUUUUCAGUUUUAAGAAAAAAGUUUAAAUAUGUUUGAAAUAGAUUAAAGUUUUUAUUAAAGAAAAUAAAAAAGGGAAAUUCCUUGAUAAGAAUCAAGGGUUUUUUAGAAGAAAAAAAAAAUAGUUCUUUUUUUUUUUAAAUUUGUUUUGCGACUACUUGAAUAUUUUAUUGAUUUUUCAAUAAAAGCCUAAAAGAAAUAAAAAUUGAAAAUAACGACGAUUAACGCGCGAGGAAACCGUAAACUACCUAAUAUGAGAAAGUGAAGUUUUUGAGUCCUAAGUACCAAUAGAUGACUAUUGAAUCCAAUAUUGAUAAGUCUAUUUUUGAAAUUGAGUAGUUGUGAUCAGCAUUAUUGGAUCCAUACAGAACUUUUCAAAAUAUGGAUCAAUCAUUUUGAGUGCCAAAGACUAUCAAAGUCUAUGCUUUUCAACUACAUUUUUAUAUGUGAAUCAAUCAUAAUUUUUGUAUCAACUACAUGAAUCAACCAUAAUUUUCAACGUGAGUUGAAUUAAUUAUCUAUUCAAUUGAAUUAACCACAUUUUUAUACAUGACUAACUAGGUGUCGUAAGUGUAUGACAAAAUAUGUGCAUGAGGACUAAUAUCUUCUUUGGAAUAUAAAAGUUUACGGUCUUCAUAUUGUCACUGGCCAUAGAGUCAAGAGGAGGACAGUGAGGUUUUAUUUCUAGGCGAGUUUUGGCAUUGGGCAAUUGUCAAAUUGUCCUAUUUUAGAUCAAUUUUAUUUUAUUUGCUAUUAGUUGUACAUCCUGAAUUUUUAUAUUCCAAUUUAUAACCAUAUUCAAUUAUAAUAUAUUAGUUUUAAUUUUAAUUUAACGGAGACUAAAAUAUUUUGAAGGGACAAAAAUGUCAUUAUUUAUAAGAAUUAAAAACAAAUUUAGUUAUAUUUAUAAGCACCAAAAAUAUAUUUAACCCUAAUUAAUAUUAAAAAGUUUUGUGGAUGGGAUUAAUAUUAAGAUACAAACUAAAUUUAUUUCUUUACAAAUAAUGUAGUAAAUAUAUAUUUACGCCAUAUUUUUUUUAGCCUAGAUUUAAACAUGUCUAUGUUUUCAAAUUUAAAAAAAAAAAGUUUUCAAAUUAAAAAAUCAUUGAGAAUGAGCUGGACCUAUUAGAUUUUUAAACGGAAGAUUAAAAAAUAAUGUAUUUACAAAUAAAUUAAUUUGAGUCAAAUUAUAAUUGAGUAAGGCUAUAAAUUAGAAAUUUUUUUUUUUCUAAGGAACAUGAUCAUUAGAGUUUUAAAUAAUUUUGAAAUAAUGGUCCAUAAACCACUAAUGAUCUUUGCCGACAAACAAGCAUUAUUACUAUUACUAUUCAUUCACAUGUGAGUUUUAUUGAGUCUUACCUUUACCAUAUGUACUGCAAACCAUCCAAAAACAGUACUGUUGUCGGUUCAUUCAUAUGCUAAAUCCUCUUCAGUCUUAACUCCUUUACCAUAUCUCUAAUACGAUGUCCUUACUUAACAAGGAUCACUCCUUGUUAAGGACACUCAUUGGAAGAAAAAAAAACGAGUCUCCGUUAAGGAACAGACAACUAUAUAAGAAUCUUUCUUUUCCUAAACAACUAACGGAUCCUACGUUUAAAAGAAGUAAUAAAAUAUGCACUAUUUAGUCCCACUUAUAAAAAAGUAAUAUUUUUCAGCAAUCAUAUACUUAUCACCAAAUGAUUAUUACAUUUAUCUCUUUUGUUGGGUAAUACUACAUUUAUAAACACAUUCUCAAUAAUAUUUCAUUAUUUUUUAAUUUUCACACAGGUGAUUAGAAAACUGAUAGUAUGAUGGUAAAGGAAUAAAAGUGUACAAUUAAACCGAUUUGAGUGUGCAACUUUUUCUUUUGCUUUGUAUCAAUUAUUUUGAGGGAUGUGGGUCCAAUAUUAAACAAUGAUGACCUUUGCUUUCCAGCUUUCAAAUUUUGUUUCAUACCCAACAAAUCAACCAUUCAUUCACAUGCAAUUAUUUCUAUCAUUCAAUCUUCAUAGUUCUUAAUUUCCUUCAAAAUUUCAUCUAAAACUUUUAUCCUUGCUGCUUUACUAUAACCAAUCAGAGAUGGCUGCAGCUUUGGUUGGAGGUGCGUUUCUGUCUGCUUCUGUUCAAACCUUAAUGGACAAACUAACUUCACCUGAGUUUCGUGAUUAUUUCACAAGAACAGAGUUGAAUGAAUCAUUGAUGUAUGAGAUGGAAACAAGUCUACUUACUCUUGAGGUUGUACUAGAUGAUGCAGAGGAGAAGCAGAUCCUCAAACCCAGAAUCAAACAAUGGCUGGAUCGGUUAAAAGAUGCAAUCUAUGAUGCUGAGGAUUUGCUCAAUCAAAUCAGCUACAAUGCCCUACGAUGCAAGCUGGAGAAGAAACAAGCUAUCAAUUCUGAAAUGGAGAAGAUUACAGAUCAGUUUCAGAACUUGCUUUCAACUACAAACUCAAAUGGAGAGAUCAAUUCUGAAAUGGAGAAGAUUUGUAAAAGGCUGCAAACUUUUGUCCAGCAGAGCACCGCCAUCGGCUUGCAACACACUGUAAGUGGUAGAGUUUCUCAUAGACUGCCUUCAAGUUCAGUGGUAAAUGAAUCUGUCAUGGUGGGUAGGAAGGAUGACAAAGAGACAAUAAUGAACAUGUUGCUAUCUCAGAGAGACACAUCCCAUAAUAAUAUAGGUGUUGUUGCAAUUUUGGGCAUGGGAGGUUUGGGAAAAACUACCCUUGCCCAACUUGUUUACAAUGAUAAAGAAGUUCAACAACAUUUUGAUUUGAAGGCAUGGGUUUGUGUGUCUGAGGAUUUUGAUAUUAUGAGAGUAACAAAGUCUCUCCUUGAAUCUGUCACUUCCACAACUUGGGAUAGCAAUAAUCUUGAUGUCCUUCGAGUUGCGUUAAAGAAAAUCUCGAGGGAAAAAAGAUUUUUGUUUGUGUUGGACGAUCUAUGGAAUGACAAUUGUAAUGAUUGGGAUGAGCUAGUAAGUCCCUUCAUUAAUGGAAAACCUGGAAGCAUGGUGAUUAUAACAACGCGCCAACAAAAAGUUGCUGAGGUGGCACGCACAUUUCCUAUACAUGAACUAAAAGUACUAUCAGAUGAAGAUUGUUGGUCUUUACUAUCAAAGCAUGCAUUGGGAAGUGAUGAGAUUCAGCAUAAUACAAAUACAGCCCUUGAAGAAACAGGCAGGAAGAUUGCAAGAAAGUGUGGAGGAUUGCCAAUAGCUGCUAAAACACUAGGAGGACUUCUACGUUCAAAGGUAGACAUAACAGAGUGGACUUCAAUUUUGAACAACAACAUAUGGAACUUGCGAAAUGAUAAUAUUCUUCCUGCAUUGCAUUUGAGUUAUCAAUAUCUUCCCUCUCAUUUGAAAAGAUGUUUUGCAUAUUGUUCAAUUUUUCCAAAGGAUUUCCCACUUGAUAAGAAGACAUUGGUUUUGUUGUGGAUGGCAGAAGGCUUCCUUGAUUGUUCUCAAGGGGGAAAAGAGUUGGAGGAAUUAGGUGAUGAUUGUUUUGCUGAAUUGUUAUCGAGAUCAUUAAUUCAACAAUUAAGCGAUGAUGCUCGUGGAGAAAAGUUUGUCAUGCAUGACCUUGUCAAUGAUUUAUCUACAUUCGUAUCAGGAAAAAGUUGUUGCAGGCUUGAAUGUGGUGACAUCUCUGAAAAUGUUCGUCACUUCUCAUAUAACCAAGAAUACUAUGACAUUUUCAUGAAGUUUGAGAAAUUAUACAAUUUCAAAUGCUUGCGAAGCUUUCUAUCCAUUAACACGACGAACAAUUACAAUUUCUUAUCCUCCAAGGUGGUUGAUGAUUUGCUACCAUCACAAAAACGGUUGCGUGUUUUAUCACUAUCAUGGUAUAUGAACAUCACCAAGCUACCAGAUUCAAUUGGAAAUUUGGUGCAGUUACGGUAUCUAGAUAUCUCCUGCACUAAAAUCAAAAGCUUGCCUGAUACAACAUGUAACCUUUACAAUUUACAGACCUUGAAUUUAUCACGUUGUUCGAGUCUCACUGAAUUACCAGUACAUAUUGGAAAUUUAGUAAGUUUACGUCACCUUGAUAUAAGCUGGACUAACAUAAAUGAGUUGCCUGUAGAAUUUGGGAGACUAGAAAACCUUCAAACUCUCACACUAUUUUUAGUGGGCAAGAGACAUUUAGGGUUAAGUAUCAAAGAGCUAAGGAAAUUCCCAAACCUACAAGGAAAACUUACCAUCAAGAACCUGGAUAAUGUUGUUGAUGCCAGAGAGGCACACGAUGCAAACCUGAAAGGCAAAGAGAAAAUUGAGGAGUUAGAACUGAUAUGGGGAAAACAAAGUGAAGAGUCGCAAAAAGUGAAAGUUGUGCUCGAUAUGUUGCAACCACCAAUAAAUCUAAAGAGCCUGAAUAUUUGUUUGUAUGGUGGGACAAGCUUUCCGAGUUGGUUGGGAAAUUCUUUGUUUUCUAACAUGGUAUCUCUGCGCAUCACUAAUUGUGAAUAUUGUAUGACACUUCCACCCAUAGGGCAGUUACCUUCUCUCAAGGACAUAGAAAUACGUGGUAUGGAGAUGUUGGAGACAAUUGGCCCGGAGUUCUAUUAUGCCCAGAUUGAAAAAGGAUCUAAUUCUUCCUUCCAACCAUUCCGAUCCCUUGAGCAUAUAAAGUUCGACAACAUGGUCAAUUGGAAUGAAUGGAUUCCCUUUGAAGGCAUAAAAUUUGCUUUUCCUCAACUUAAGGCUAUAGAGUUAUGGAAUUGUCCAGAACUAAGGGGACAUUUGCCCACCAACCUUCCUUCCAUAGAAGAAAUUGUAAUAUCAGGUUGUUCUCAUCUAUUGGAAACACCAUCUACUCUGCAUUGGUUGUCUUCAAUAAAAAAAAUGAAUAUCAAUGGGCUUGGUGAAAGUUCCCAAUUGUCAUUGCUUGAGAGUGAUUCUCCGUGUAUGAUGCAACAUGUAGCGAUUCACAACUGUUCUAAGCUAUUAGCUGUGCCAAAAUUGAUUCUGAAAAGCACUUGUCUUACACACUUGAGACUCUAUUCUCUUUCUUCUCUCACUGCAUUUCCCUCAAGUGGACUACCCACUUCAUUGCAAUCACUUCAUAUUGAAAAAUGUGAGAAUUUAUCCUUCCUACCUCCUGAAACGUGGAGCAAUUACACAUCACUUGUGAGUAUUGAUUUACGGAGUAGUUGUGAUGCACUUACAUCCUUUCCACUUGAUGGUUUCCCUGCGCUCCAAACACUUACCAUACAUAAUUGUAGGAGUCUGGAUUCCAUUUAUAUUUCAGAAAGGUCUUCACCUCGGUCGUCCCUCAAAUCACUUUAUAUCAUAUCCCAUGAUUCAAUUGAAUUAUUUGAAGUCAAGCUUAAGAUUGACAUGCUCACAGCUCUUGAAAGGUUGAAUCUAAAAUGUGCAGAGUUGUCAUUUUGUGAAGGAGUUUGUCUACCUCCCAAAUUACAAUCAAUUGAGAUACAGUCCAAAAGAACAGCACCGCCUGUGACAGAAUGGGGUCUUCAAGAUUUGACCGCUCUUUCAAGAUUGAGUAUUGGAAAGGGUGAUGAUAUAGUUAACACCUUGAUGAAGGAGUCAUUGCUACCCAUCUCCCUUGUGUAUCUAUAUAUCAGGGAUUUCGAUGAAAUGAAGUCCUUUGAUGGAAAUGGGCUUCGACACCUCUUCUCUCUCCAACAUCUCUUCUUUUGGAAUUGUCAUCAACUUGAGACAUUGCCAGAAAACUGCCUCCCUUCCUCGCUGAAAUCACUUGACUUUUGGGAUUGUGAAAAGCUAGAGUCAUUACCAGAAGACAGCCUCCCUGAUUCUCUUAUGCAACUGUGCAUUCAAGGAUGUCCAUUGUUAGAAGAAAGGUAUAAAAGGAAGGAACAUUGCUCCAAAAUUGCUCACAUCCCUUUCAAAAAUAUCAAAGGCACAAUAUGAUAGACAAGUUGUGUUCCCAUUUCAGGUAUGCUCCUAGUUCCUACCAGAAAGCCAAUAAUCAAUCCUCUGUACGACACACCUCUUAAUAUUUUCAUAUCAUCUCAUGGGUCCUCUGCUACGUAUGUCUUUUUAUAAAAGAUGAAUUUUUAAAGACCAAUUUUUGUAUACAUUUUGCACAGAAUAUUUUUUUUUAAUUUUUUUUUUAUUUUAUUUCUAGAAUCAAUUAAUGUAGCUCGGGCAGUUUGAUAUAUAACUACAUAAGUCAUGCCGGAAAACUGGUUUCUUAUUUAUUUUUGGGCUUAUAAAACUAUCUUUGGAAAAAGCUGUAACUGCUACAUUAAUCUCAACAAUAAAAAUUUAACAAUCAUAUCUUCGGAGCUAAUCAAAGGAAAAUGCUUAUUUCAUCUUUUCAGGAGAUCAAAGGCCCAGCUAUGUGGAUGAUAAUUAGCUCAUUUGGUGAAUUGAAGCCAUAUGCAUAGUUGCCAUUCAUUGCCACAAGAUUUAAUUUACUCAUUUGUAUGAUCUGGUCAGACAAAAUACAAUGUUGUAGGGUUUGCAAUAUUUAUAAUUUGUAACUUUUUUUUCCUCAAGUGAUUCUUAAUUUGUAACUUUAAGUGAAUGCUCAUAUGAUAAAACCAUGCAUUUGUUGAAUUAAUAUUGGUUCUAAAUAUUCAUAUUCCUAUAUACAUUUGUUGAAUUAACAGUUUUGUUUCUUCCAAAUAACCUGCAUGAUUUGGUCUAAUAGAUUAGAAUGCGGUAGGGUUUGUAAUAUUCUUAAUUUGUAGCUUUUAGUGGAAGAAUGUGAGUUGUUAUUGUUUCUAAAUAUUCGAAAUUUGUUUGAGUAACUUGAAUAUUGAUGUUCCUGAUAUAUUGAAUAAACAUACUAUUUGUGCUGUAGGCCUUUAGAGAAAUUGUGAAGUAUUGGUUGCUAUGUGAAAAACUACUUUUUAUGAAGUAUUGGUUGCUAUUGUGAAGUAUUUGUGACUCAGGUAAAAUAAAACAAUGUCCCAACUAUAUAGGUUUUAUGAAAUUAAAGAAGAUUCUGAUUUUUUAUUAAACUAUGUUAUUAUAAGUAUUUUUGUUAGAAUUUUAUCAAUGAAGAACUCUGACUAUGAUAUCAACAUUCUAACUCACUUAAAUGUUUAGAACAUCGACACCAACAUUAUAUUUGUUUCAGGCUUCAUAACGAAACUCGUGUACACCGAAGAAAAUACUAGAUUCAUUCCUGGACACGGUGUGGCUUAUUGUCUCUGAUGUUUCUCCCGACCUCGUAACUAAAAUUCCCUAUGUUUUAGAAGUAUACUUCUGAACCAUACAAAAUUAAUAAAUUUCUUUAGAUAAAUACAUCCAAACUCAUAUCGAGGAUGAAAAAAGUAGUGCGGAACACUCAUAGCAGGAUCACUUGUUAAACAUUAACAGACCCUCUAUGCAGAGUGAAACGGCCCUGUUUGGAUAAACAACUUAUUUUGCAUCUUAUUGCAUAAGCGCUUACCGUAUAAGUGCUUAUGAGUAAAUUGAAAUCAUGUGGCAUUUUUUUUAAUUGAAUCUAAUUAUUUCGUAAAAUAUUUACCUAAAAAUUUCUAACUCCUUUAACAAAUCCAAGAUGCCAAUUGUUUGAUGUCAGCACCGCUGCCCGCACUGGAUAAUCUAUUACAAACCAAUUGUCCCAAAACAACAUUCCCUUUGAAAUCAUGUUCUUUCAAAGAGAUGUUGUUAUGCAUGCGCCAAUUGGUUUGUAAUAGAUUUUCUAUAUUAGGGGUAGAAGCAUCGACAUCAGACACCACAGCUUGUUGGCGCAUGUAGUUCACUAUAGCCUCUUUAAUUUGAUCCAAAGAUAUCUCCAACUAAGAGAUUCUUUGUUCGACUUCCGUCUCACAUGUUGACAAAUUUUUCAAAACUAUAUGUAAAAUACAUGUAAGAAAGAGUCUUACUUAUAAACUAUAUGGAUUUACAUUACAAAUUAUCGAAGUUUUCUUGAUCAAGACUCCAAUCAUAAAAAAUUUCUUUUCCCUUAUUCAAAUUCAUAUUUAUGUCUUGUUCUGUCUACAAGUUCAUUCAAUCAAACAAAUGACUUACAUGCUUAGACACAAAGGUUCAAUACAAUAGUUUAUAAUAAUACUUAAAUUUUUCCAAGAAAUUGUACCCCUUGGAGUUUCAGGUAACUUUUUCUUUUUGAGGUAGUAUCUAACAAAUUGAAAACUGUUAUACUUCAUUACUCCUCCUUGUUCUGUAGACCUUUGGAGAAACUGAAGGAUUGGUUGCUAUGUGAAACUCUAUACACAGAGUGAGUUUACUGAAAUAUACAACAGUUAGCUAGAUUUUUUAUAAUAUGAACUAGAUUUUUUCAUCUUCAUUAUUUAAAACAAAAAGUUUUCUACUUCGUUUUCUGAUUAAAAGCUUUUUGAUUGUGUGAUGAGGUCGUUUUCGACUUUCGUUUCUUUGCACUCGUCUGCUUUCUAAAUGUAUGCCUAGUUUCUCAACACCUUAUAAAAGAUCAGAAAGUUGCUAUACUGUUGUUUUUAUGUUUCCAUAUAAAGAUCAAAGGCUUGUUUGGAUGAGGUCAUUAUCCACUGGCAUAUGCAUUUGGUCGGACUAUUGGAAACAGCUGAUGGGAACAACUUAUGACAUGUAUAUAAGCUAUUUUUGAGUUAUUUCCGUAAGCUCUGUAAGAUGGCUUAUGAAAACAACUUGUAUCUUAUAUAAAAACAAUUUAUCAUUAUUUUAUCUUUUUUUUAUAGAAAUAACUUAUUCUAUAAGCACUUAAUUUAGGUUUUAACGAAAUAGAUAGGAAACCCAUUUUGUUAGUCUGUACUCUAUAGUCGGUAGUUUUUGUAUUGCAUUUGCUAAAGAGGCUAAUGCUACUACAGCAUCUAGUUCCUACAAUCUUUGCCAAAGAGGGUAAAUUGUGAGCUUCUAUAUUAAACUCUCUACUAACAUGAGUAACCAUUACAAAUGGGAUUAGCUCUAUUAAAUUCCAACAAUCAACAAUGACAGGUUCAAUGGAUGCUAAUGCUACUACACCAGCUCUGUUGACACAAUUCACCACAAUGAGAGCAUCAAUCUUUGGAUGCCUAACCUCAUUGCCUCUUGAAGCGCCCAUCUUACUCCUGGUGCUUCGGCCAAGCAAGGGUCUACCUCCACCGAUUCCAAUUUGCACUUGCUAUGAGUAACUAUUCUUGUCUGUGUCUUGUUUUUCAGAAUCAGCCCCCAUCCUGUUCGUCCGCUUGAAAAACAUCUAACAUCCACAAACAUAUGAUGGGAUACAUCCUGGAACGUGCCAGCAUUGUCCCUCCUUUGGCGGGGUGGUUGAGGCCUUUGCUUGACAUUAGCUGCAUGGAACUCCUGAAUAACUGAACAGCUGUUUGAGCUAAAUUAACGGAGUCUGUAGUGGCCCCAUUAAAAACAGCUUGAUUUCUAGCGUACCAAAGCUUCCAGAGAGCAUUCAUGAGAGAAACAAUUUCACACAAUUUUCAAGUGAAAAGGUAAUGUAAAAUUUUAACAUGAGAGCAUUCAUUCCUAUUACUAGUGCCUUAUUAAUAGUGAUAUGAACUGUGAAUUGAUUUUUCUUAUUUUCUGUUAUUAAAUCCCCUUGGUGAUAAUUUUACUUUUGCUUAAGAUUGUUUUCUGAUAAGUAUUGGUGAAAUAAUAGAGCUAGUGUCAUAUUAAUAAACUUAUUCAUGUCAUGAAUAAGCCUACAUAUAUUUGACUAAAUAUAUAUAUAAUUUUAGGGCUGUGUUUUAGCAUACAAAGUCUAUUGGUCAAGCUGUGUCAAAGGAGUUCACACCGGAAAUAUGGUUUUGCGUCUGGUCGAAGCAAUUGGUAAGAAUAUUAUUCUCCAUCAUUAUAAGAAAGAACAUUCUAGAUCAUAUCUUACCUGCAUGUUUCCAAACAAGCAACAUGAAAAUAACUUUUUUCUUUUUCUGUUUUAACUUUACUUUGAUUUCUGUCCAAAUUUCUGAUAAGAUUUAGUUUUGACUGACAUUUAGCCUUCUUUAUGACAAUAAAAUAAAUGAGUCUUGUUGCUGCAGAUGUUUAUCUUGCUGGUACCAUUAUGUUGAUUUUCGGAAUGUUCUUUUAUGGAUUGUUUAUCAGCAACACACCUCAUGACAUGUCUCUUUGGAAUGUUUGCUUUGAAGGUAAUCAUAAAGAUCAAGUUUUUCUAUCUAAGAGAAGUUCAGAAGGAUGGAGAAGUUCAACUUGUCUAUUGUAGAACAGAACAUCAGAAUGCAGACAUCUUAACGAAGGCACUUCCUAAAGCUAGAUUUGAGUUCAUGAGAAAAAGGCUUGGAAUAUGCAGCUCCAGUGUCAAGGAGGAGUGUUUAAUGAAUGACCCUUGAAGCUUUUCAGUCAGUUUUAAUUCUCCUAAAUUCCAGGCAAUAAAGAAUAAGUGGCUGAUUUGUUUUCCUUUUAUUUAGGCAUCAGCUAUGUUAAUUAGUGGCAAUGUAUUUGCCUUUCUACUUUCCUUAGGGCUGUAUAAGUACACCAGUCUUUCCUGCUAAAUAAUAUACAAGCCUUUUGCAUUCAUAUUUUCUCUUUGUUCAUUCUUGUUAUAACCACUGUAUUUCAUCAAAUAACCAACACAUUUUCAUGAAAUGCAAGCCUUUCUACAAUUUCAAAUGCAGUAGGGUUUGUAAUAUUCUUAAUUUGUAAUUUUUUUUUUUUGUGAUUCUUAAUUUGUAUCUUCAUUAUGUAAUAAUUAAUUAAAAGAACUUUCACAUUUGACUUUAAAUUCUGAAGCUUAUUCAAGUACAGAUAUUUUCGUAACGGCAAAAGGUACUAUAGUGUUAUGAAAAUAUUUCCACUAAAAAUUUAUCUGUUACCAUAUCCAAAUUUUUAAUAAAAGACUUACGCUGGUGCAAAUUGAGUUCACAGUGAUCAAAGUAUUUUGGAACAUGGGUCACUCAUUUUUAUUUUUUUAUUAUAUAACUAGAUUUUUUCAUCUUCAUUAUUCUAAAAAAAAAAAAUGAUAUACUCCAUUUUCUGAUUAAAACUUUUUGAUUGCGUGAUCAGAUCGUUUUCGACUUUCGUUUCUUUGCAUUCCUUGCUGUUGGAGGUUCCUUGGCUGGCUCACUCCUCUGCUUUCUAAAUGUAUGUAUGCAUAGUUUCUCAACACCUUUAAUUAAAGAUCAGAAAGGUGCUAUACUGUUGUUUUUAUGUUUCCAUAGAAAGAUCAAGGGCUUGUCUGGAUUAGGUCAUUAUCCACAUGAUUACUUUUUUUUAUUUUUUUUUGAAGUUCCAACUUUUUGAUUAAACAAACGAAGGAGCCUGAACACGGCUUACAACAAUGUUACAAAAAGGAGAAGUGAACAGACUUGGAGAGGCAUUCCCCUGCCAGCAUCUAGUUCCUACAGUCUUUGUCAAAGAGGCUAAACUGUGAGCUUCUAAAUUAAGAGCUCUACUUACCUGAGUAACCAUUACAAAUGAGAUUUGCUCUAUUAAAUUUCAACAAUCAACAAUGACAGGUUCAAUGGAUGCUACUACACCAGCUCUGUUGACACAAUUCACCACAAUGAGAGCAUCACAGUUUCAAGCUUUAGAUGCCUAACCUCACUGCCUCUCGAAGCGCCCAUCUAACUCCUAGUGCUUCGGCCUAGCAAGGGUCUACCUCCAUCGAUUCCAAUUUGCACUUGCUAUGAGUAACUAUUCCUGUCUGUGUCUUGUUUUUCAGAAUCAGCCCCCAUCCUGUUUGUGCGCUUGAAAAACAUCUAACAUCCACAAACAUAUGAUGGGAUACAUCCUGGAACGUGCCAGCAUUGUCCAUCCUUUGGCGGGGUGGUUGAGGCCUUUGCUUGAAAUUAGCUGCAUUGAACUCCUGAAUAAACUGAACAGUUGUGUGAGCAAAAUUAACGGGGUCUGUAUCGGCCCCAUUAAAAACAGCUUGAUUUCUAGCGUACCAAAGCUUCUAGAGGAUAGUGCAGAACAGCUGCGAGCCAUCCUUAUCAGCACAAGAUAGCCAAUCUAACAACUAGCUAUGCAGGUCCAUAUUAAAGGGAGCAUGGCAACCCAAAGGCGAUGCAAACAUAGCUAGUUUGGACAAAUUACAGUUCAUCAAAUAAAUGUGCCACAGUCUCAGCUUCAGAAUGACAUAAAGGGCCGGAGGUGUCAAAAUAAAUGUGCCACAGUCUCAGCUUCACAGUCUCAGCUUCCACCAAGGCUUCCUCCCUCAAAGAACAGUUAUCGAUCUUCGAUGUCAAAAUUUUGAGGUUUAGCAUCCAGUCAUCCUUCCAAAUUCCGAUAAUACAGCUAGUGUCAUAUUAAUAAACUUAUUCAUGUCAUGAAUAAGCCUACAUUUUUUUUAAGGAAAUAAGUCUACAUAUAUUUGACUAAAUAUAUAUAUAUAUCAUUUUAGGGCUGUGUUUAAGCAUACAAAGUCUAUUGGUCAAGCUGUGUCAAAGGAGUUCACACCGGAAAGAUGGUUCUACGCCUGGUUGAAGCAAUUGGUAAGAAUAUUAUUCUCCAUCAUUAUGAGAAAGAACAUUCUAGAUCAUAUCUUACCUGCAUGUUUCCAAACAAAGUACAUGAAAAUAGCUUUUUCCUUUUUAUAUUUUUAUUUGGAAGUUUGAAGUUUACUUCGGUUUAUGUCCAAAUUUCUGAUAUGAUUUAGUUUUUACUUACAUUCAUCCUUCUUUAUGACAAUAAAAUAAAUGAAUCUUGCUGCUGCAGAUGUUUAUCUUGCUGGUACCGUUAUGUUGAUUUUUGGAAUGCGUAUAUAUGGAUUGUUUAUCACCAACGCGCCUCAUGACAUGUCACCUUCUGUGGACCGUGCCUCUGAUCCUCUCUCUUUGGAAUGUUUGCUUUGAAGGUAAUCAUAAACCCUAUUAUCAUGUAGGGAGUAUGGUCGCGAUCCUCCACUCACUCCUUGAGUAACUCUCGUCAGUUGCUCCGUUUCAUAGCUCUUUAGAUUUUAAUUUUAUCGAUUCAACUAUUAUCUUAACGAAAAUGUAUAUAUUGUUUCAAAAGUAUAUUCAAGCAAUAAUCAAUACCUACAUUCAGCAAGCUUCCAAUAUGCAAUCAGUAACUCGUAUGCUAUGCUUCAUUAGGUUUUAUAUCACAUAAAAUUCUCAAGAAAUGCUUUUCCCUAAUUUUUUCUUUAGAUGGUUGAAACAAAAAUUGAAAUUUCAAGAGCAAAUUUCACAUCAAAAUAUUAAUGUCUUACUUCCACAACAGAAUUUCAUGUUCUUUUGUUAUGUGAACAUCCACAGUUAAUCAAUUAUUUGUUACGUACUAACAUAUUGUUUUAAACUUUUUUGUAAAAUAAAAUAUUGGUCUAAACUUUUUCAAUUUUCAAAUAUGAUCAUUUAAAGAUAGUAACCGCAAAUAAUUGAAAGAACUGGCCCUGCUCAAAGAACUAUUCCCAAAAUUAUUUUUAUUAUUGGACACCAUAUUUUGCUGUCAUUGGAUGGUCGUUCAAUAAGUCCCUUAGAUCGCUCAAAGGCCCGUCAACUGAUUAGGUCGUAACCUCAUAUCGUGUGUUUUUUUUUUGUGUGUGUAAAAUCCGAUCAAGUCAUAGCGCUCGAUUGGUUUAUUCUCUUUUGAAAAUGUGAAUAGUUUGAAGGGUUUAUUGAACAACCAUGGUGUGAUUGUGGUGGUUGUGUCAAGUCCUUGUUUUGACCCAUGCAUUACAAUACCGAUAAUUAGAUCAUUUUUCAUACUCCCACAUGAUAUAUGGUCAAUCACGUUUCAAAAUUGUGAUGAAUUCAGUUGAUUAAAUGAUUAAUUAAAUUCACACCAAAAUUGUGGUUAGUAAUUAACCACAAUUAACACGACAAAUAAGACAUUAGUCAUUAGAGUUUCAAAUGGUUUUAAAGUAAUGGUCUACUAUGAACCAUGUAUCAAAAUGAUCUAUAAAUAUGUUUUAUUUUAACAGAGAUGAUAAGGAGAAUUGUACUACUUCAGAAAAAAUAUAUCGAAAUAGUACAUGGUUGAAACUUCAAGGAUGCAAGUUGCAUUUCUUUGUAUAUUUAUUAUUUUGUCAGAUGCAAGUUCCAUAAACCAUUAUUGAGCCAACAAACAAGUACUAUUAUUAGUUAUUACUAUUACUAUUCACUAGGUAUAUAACCCGUGCGUUGCACGGGUUUUAUUAGGAUUCGUUUAUAUAAUUUAAACUUUUUGGUACAACAGGUCAAAUAAAUCAAAUGGAUACAUGUUAAAAAGUAAAAUUUAUAGUAAAUAAAACAUGUCAAUCGGAUACAAUGAGUUCAAAUCAUAAUUUAAAAAUUAAAACAUGUUUAGAACUUUAUAUGCCCUUGUAUCUCUAAACAAUCUUAGUUUCUCGUUCAAUAUUGUUUUCACCGCUAUAACAACACUAAGACCCCGUUUGGAUUGAGCUUAUGAUUGUUUAAUUAAAGUCAUGGUUAUCAAGUAAUUUGAAUUUUUUUCUUGUGCAUAUACAAUUUAAAUAUAAGUUCAUUUUUUCAAGGUGCACAAAUUGAACUAUACUUUAAGAUAAAUUUUAUUUUAUAUAAGGUAGAAAAAAACUAUCGAUAGAUUAUCAUAAUUUGAGUUUUAUGUUUCAGAAAUAUUUUACCAAUACAAAUAUGGCCAAACAUAAAAGAUAGUCACUUUUAUGUUUAGGACUGGUCUCUCUUGAAGAAAAAAAUUUAUUAGGACCGGUCUCGUGAAAUAAGGAGGGUGUAUUGGAUUAGGAUUUUAAAGGACAAUUUUUGUUUAAAAAAUUCUUAAGGAUUUUAAAAGACUUUGAUGGAUUUUGAUUAAUUUGAUGAUUUUAAAAGAUUAUUAAGGAUUUCAAUGGAUUUAAUUCAUAAGAUUAUAAAGGAUUUGAAAUGAUUUUAUGGAUUUCAACAGAUUUUAUGAAUUUUAAGAAAUAAUUGAAAAAAAUAUCAUCCUUCAAAAAAAAAAAAUUGAAAAAAACAUCAUAACACACUCUCCUUCACAAAAUCUCAAUAAAGACUAUUUUAUUUAUUUUUUACGGGAGAGAGGAGAGGAAAAGAGAGAGAGAGAAGGGAGGAGAGAGAGAGAGGAGAGGAAAAGAGAGAGUGGGAGAGAAGGGAGGAGAGAGGGAGAGAUAGUAAAAUCUUAAAAGAAAAAAACAAUCCUAAGAAAUCUCAUGUUUUCAUGAAAGACUUUUUCAUGCUAAAAUUUCACUAGAAAAUCCCACAAAAUCCAUCAAAAUCUGAUUUAUUAAACAAUCCUUCGAAAUUUGAAUGAUUUUGAAUACCACUAGACUUUUUUUAAGUGAUUAAGAGUCUUGAUUGAAUACCACAAGACUUUUUUUAAAUGAUAAGGAAUCUUGAUUGAAUAACACAAGACUUUUUUUAAAUUGGAAAGAGUCUUGAUUGAAUACCACAAGACUUUUUCAUGAUAAAAAAGUAUUUUAAAAUCCCUUAGAAUCAUGAUUCAAUACACCCCCUAAGUUUAGAUUCACUUGGGACAAAUUAAAAUAUUAGUUUCUGUUAGCCAAUAUUUGUGAAAAUGCUAUCAUUUAAUGCAGUCAAAGGUUUUGACCUGAAGAAAUGGAUUUAGCUUUGUGAAGGAAUUUAUCGAAAAUAUAUCCUCGGCAGGAGUCGAAGAAACCAGUUCUAAUUCGAUGGAUAAAGGCAGUUAUCGAAGCGCCUUCAGAUUGUGGAUGAGAUCAAGCAGUUAGCAACGGCUAGUUUCGAUUUUGAAAUCGAACAGAUAUGAUUAAGUAGUUAUAGGACUAUUUGUAUAAAUAGUAGUUUUUCUUAGGAAAAACGGGUCACAAUUCAAUCAUACUAAAAACUUACACUCAAUACUGUCCGUAUGGAAGCGACAAACGAGUCACAAGUUGCAAAGUAUGAAUAUGUGCACCAAUUUUCAUUAAGUCUUUACAAAUUCAAUACAGUUCUUUAAACACCUUUGCAAUUUACUUAACCUUUUUCGAAGUAUUUUCUUCUACUGCUAUUCUUUAUAGAUUUUCGAUUGAAUUCAACACGGAUUGGAUUCAGUUAUUUACACUUUGUUCUUGUCUUUUACUUUAUCAAAAUACUUUACGAACAAGUAUUACAUUCAUUUCAUACCAUAAAAAGCACAAUAUGCUCCUAAGAUUUACUGGUUGAUCUUGCAAGUAAACAUCAUUGAAACCAGCGAUUGUUUACCAAAAAUCAGUGGAAACAAAUUGGCACGCCAAGUGGGACCUUUUGUGCUUUUUACUUUGAAUUUUUUUUUCAAUUCUAAACUUUUGGUCGAUGUUUGUGCAUGCGUUUGAGGAACAAUAAAGUACUUCCUGAAAUGACGCGCCCUCCUAUCGUUUCUGGCACAGCGGCAUCGAACGCCGCUUCCGCUUCAGGAACAACGACCAAUCAAACAUUCCGACAGGGUCUACGCAACUUAGCCAAACUAGUAACAUGGUGCACGUAUUAGAGCCUGUAUACACCCUAGCGGAUGAAAAUGUGACUUCGCAAACGUUACAGGCCAGUACAUCGAAUACUUUGGCCAACACUACUUCGCAAGGCAGCCCGGCGGUUACUGCGGCCGCUCAAACUACCCAGGUUACGGGAAAUAUGUUUUCUCAAAGAAAUCUAGGAAACAAUGGAAGAGGAUGAUGAGUCAUUUAUAUGUUAUUUUAAUAUGCUUUUUAGUUUAGAUUUUAUAUAAAUUUAUAUUAGUAUUAUUUCCUUUUUAGGAUAGUUUACUUUAAAAUGCAAUUUAUUAUAUUUCAGGAAGGAAUAUUUGAUGGAAAGAGUCUUGGAGCAAAAGAAAGGGAUUUGGAGCAGAUUGGACACAAAAACAUGAAGAUUGGGAAGCAAAAUAUAUCUCCCACAAGUCAGAAGCUUGGCACGGCCCGUGCUAGCCUUGGCACGGCCGUGCCACCCUCCAGAUGUCUUUUGCUGCUUUUGCUUUGACUCCAAGCUAUUCUAUUUUGGCGCACAAUCUACCGAGGAAUAUUCUAGGAAUAUACUUGCUUAGAUUCUAAGUCAAUUGUGUACUAUAAAUAGAGUAGCUAGCCAUCACUAAUAUUCAUCUUUACUUGGAAUACAAUAAGUGACAUUUGCUUUUCUAAAUAAAGUUCUUUUCCUUUAUUUCUUUGUCUUUUACUUUCAUGCUUUCUCUCUUCUCCCCCAUGUCUACGAUGAACAUGAGUGAGUAGACUUCUUCCUGUCUUGGGAUUGUUGGAUAAGUCUAAAUGACAUAAUCUUAAUCAAACCAAGCCCUAAGCCUUAAUCUUAUGUAACCCUAAUUUCUUAUCUGAAUUCACCGUCUUAACAUGGAUUAACCAUUAUCAAACUGUGGAAACGAAAGUGGAGGGUUUGAUAAUUGUUCGUCCAUUAUUCCAAAUAUCAAUUCAUAAAACGAAAGUGGAGCUUUGAUAUUCGAACAAGUGAAUUCAGACAAGGAUUGCAAAGUCAGCGAAAUAGGCUUUGCAAUCUUUGAGACAUAUAGUUUCGAUCUUCAAGGGAACCAAUAACAAUCAAGUCAGCAAAAUAGGCUUGGUUGUUAGAGGAACCAAAAUCCAAUAGUAAUCAAGUCAGCGAAAUAGGCUUGGUUGCUAGAGGAACACAAGAGAAACUGUCUUGAGAAAUUAGGUCUAACAUAACAUUAUAAGCUUAUGGUUUCGGUUUGAGAAGGACUUGUUAUUUAGAUGAAACCAACGAUCCCAAGGCUCUUUUAUUAUAUUGUUUUUAACCGUUUAAAAACCCCCAAUUUACAACCUCUUCUCUCUUCUAAUCAUCUCUAAAGGUUAACUAAAUUAAACUACUCCCUGUCGGAACGAUACUCUUUAUUACUACUUCGGUAAGACCGUGCACUUGCGGUUUUAUCUCAUCAAGUUUUUUGGCGCCGCUGCCGGGGAGUAAACUAAUUUAAUUAACUCUUUCUUUGUGAUUAGAACUCUCUUCUCUUUUCUCUUCCUCCUCUCUUCUAUUUUUCUUUCUUUUUGUUUUUACCACUAACUUCUUGGGUUCUCGGUUUCUUAUGCGAAGAAGUAAAAGUGUCGGAGAAUUUAUUCCUGAGAUCGAAAGGUUUUUGCAUAAGAAAAAGAGAAAGGCACAAAAUAAUACCGCUAUGGCUGAACGUACUCUCAAAGAGUAUGCUACUCCUUCAACGGAAGAGCCACAAGCUAUUAUCGUGUACCCAACGGUUGCGGGUAAUAACUUCGAAAUCAAGCCUGCACUACUCAAUUUAGUGCAGCAAAACCAGUUUUCUGGAUCACCCACUGAGGAUCCAAAUCUCCAUAUUUCUUCCUUCCUCAGACUCAGUGGCACCAUAAAAGAGAACCAAGAAGCCGUAAGACUUCAUCUCUUUCCCUUUUCCUUAAGGGAUAGAGCUAGCGCUUGGUUCCAUUCCCUAGAAGUCGGUUCCAUUACUUCAUGGGACGAUAUGAGGCGAGCAUUCCUCGCCCGAUUCUUUCCCCCAUCCAAAACAGCUAAGCUUAGAGACCAAAUUACGCGUUUCAAUCAAAAAGAUGGGGAAUCUCUCUAUGAGGCGUGGGAGCGUUUCAAGGAAAUGCUUAGACUUUGUCCCCACCAUGGCCUAGAGAAGUGGCUUAUAGUCCACACGUUUUAUAAUGGCUUGACUUAUACCACUAAAAUGUCUGUUGAUGCAGCUGCAGGUGGAGCUCUAAUGAACAAAAACUACACGGAGGCUUACGCUUUGAUUGAGGACAUGGCUCAAAAUCACUAUCAAUGGACCAACGAAAGAGCCGUCACAACUCCUACUCCCUCUAAGAAAGAGGCAGGUAUAUACGAAGUCUCUGAAUAUAACCACCUUGCUGCUAAGGUUGAGGCAUUAACACAAAAAAUUGAAAAACUUAAUGUUAAUGCUGCCCCACCUCCUCCUGCAUCCCCUACUUGUGAAGUCUGUGGUAUAACUGGUCAUACAGGUGUCGAUUGUCAGUUAGGUAGUGCUGCCAAUAUUGAGCAAUUAAAUUACGCUCAAUACAACCAAGGAAUGAGGCCAAAUCAAAAUUUUUACAAAAAUCCUCAAGGUUCCUAUGGGCAAACAGCACCCACCUGGCUAUACAAACAACCAGAGAGUAGCUCAGAAAUCUAGUUUGGAAAUCAUGUUAGAAAAUUGCAUGAUGAAUCAAAAUAAACAACUUCAAGAGUUAAAAAACCAAACAGGAUCUCUGAACGACUCUCUCUCCAAGCUCAAUACCAAGGUUGAUUCCAUCGCCACACACACCAAAAUGCUUGAAACACAAAUCUCCCAAGUGGCCCAACAAGUGGCCACCUCUUCUCAAACACCAGGAGUCUUUCCUGGACAAACUGAAACAAACCCCAAAGCCCAUGUCAACGCUAUUUUUCUGGGGGGUAGUAAGAUAGAAGAAACUGUUACUAAAGCUAAAAAUGUCAAGAGGGAGAGUGUCAGGUGUCUAGGUAAGAAUGGUGUGAUAAACCGUGAGAAACCGCUUGAUAAGAACAAAGCCCUAACACCCUUUAGGCUUGCUAAGCUCAACUUGGAGGCUCAAUCCACUAAACUCUUUAACACUAUUAGAAAGAUUUGCAUUAAAAUCCCCUAUGCUGAAGCUUUGUCUCGUAUGCCUCUAUACGCCAAGUUUGUAAAAGAAAUUUUUUCAAAGAAAAAAGCUAUAGACCAUAAUGAAACAAUAGCUUUGACAAAGGACAAUAAUGCAAUUAUCAAGCAGCCACCUACAAAGCUGAGAGAUCCAGGAAGUUUUGCCAUCCCUUGUAUGAUAAGGAAUGAAACCUUCGACCGAGCCUUAUGUGACUUAGGAGCUAGUGUUAGUCUGUUGCCCUUACCCCUCUUUACAAGGCUAGGGUUGGGCAAGCUAAAGCCUACCGAAACAACAUUGAAGUUAGCUGAUCGUUCUGAUAUCCAACCUGUCGGAUAUGUCGAGGACAUCCCCGUCAAAAUAGAAGGGAUAGAAAUCCCAACUGAUUUCAUGAUACUCGACAUAGAUGACGACAAUGCGUGCCCUAUAAUCUUAGGACGACCCUUUCUCGCCACUGCGGGUGCUCUAGUAGAUGUUCAAAAUGGUAGGAUUGUUUUUCAAGUGAGUGAUGAGUUGAUAGGAUUUGAGCUGGAAAAUUAUAUGAAAGGUCCCGCCCUCUACUCUUGUAAUAUGAUUAAAGGUCAUGAAGUGACAGGACGCUUAUUAGCACCAUCUACACAACAUGACCUCUUUGAUCCCUUCUAAGGACACUUUCUUCCAACGUCAAGCUAAUGACUAUAAACGAGCGCUUCGUGGGAGGCAAGCCACGUAUUUAACUGCUUUCGUUUUUGUUUUUAAGUUAUUUUGUAGGUAAUCGUCCGAAGGUGAUUCAAGCUAAACAAGAAAAAUUUUGAGGCCACUAUCCAGGACCUUGGCACGGCCCGUGCUCACACUGGCACGGCCGUGCCAGACCAUACCCAUCCAAAACCAGCCUUCCCUCCAGAAUGUUGGCACGGCCCGUGCUGAGGUUGGCACGGCCGUGCCCGACUACAGGUAAGGAUAAACCCACCUUUUCAUCUUCUUCUUCCCUCAUUCUCUACCACAAACUCUCUCUCCAUUUACACUUCUCUCAAAAAUCCUCCAUAACCAUAGCUAUUCAAAACUUCCAUAUCUCCCCCAAAACUUCACCGUUUCACAUAAUUUCUUCACCCAAUCAAUCACAAACCAAUUUCAAUCAUAACCUAUCAAUCAAAAACACCUUUCCUCCAUCCCUCCCAAAAAUCACCAAAUUCGUAGCCCCCAUAAACCUACCCAAAAACCCACAAAUUCUUCAUCCAUUCACCCAAUCCAACUCCUAACACUUACCCAAACCACAACCCUCACCCAAAACACAAACGGUCACCCAAGGUUCCGGCUAAAUGGCAUCUAGGAAAGGUGGAGCAAGCUCUUCUGGAGGACCACAACAAAAGAAGAAAACUCAAGCCAAGAAUCAUGGAAUAAUCUUCAAGGACACCAAGCAAAGGGACAGGUAUAAAAUUCUUCUCUCUAAACCUUUGCAUCCUUGUCGAUAUCCAGAUCCUUAUACCUUGAGUGUGCUAGGACUAAGGGAUAAUGUGUUUAGCUUACUAGCAAAUUUAGGAUGGGUUGAUAUGCUUAGACCUAUGAAGGGCUUCGAAAAUUUCACUUAUGAAUUCUUAAGUUCUAUUGAAUUUACGAAGGAUAAGGUGAACUUUGACAACCCCGAUCAUAGAGUUUCCUUCCGACUUUUGAAUAUGGAUUUUGAGAUGUCUCUUGAAAAUUUCUGUUUAGAGAUGGACUUUGCAAAUGCGGGGUUCAUCCAUGACUCUUGGAAUCCAAAUUUAAAGUCGGAACACUAUGACCCCGCUCUCUUUUGGAAACGCAUUACCGGGUUAAGGCAAUACAAUCCUCGCAACAACAAGGCUAGUCACAUUCACAACCCCGUACUUAGAUACCUCCAGAGAGUCAUGGCUUGUACCAUUUUGGGUAGAAAAGAAGUAGGAACAACUAGGACGGAUGAACUUUUCAUGCUUUGGGCAAUGCUUCAUAACAAUCCCGUUAAUACUUGUUUCUACCUACUUGACUACCUUUCCUCCAUAGGAGCUAGACCUGACAAUAGAGCUGAGAUAGUAGUCGGUGGUAUCAUUACCUUCAUCGCUAGAAAGUUUGGAGUAAGUGAAGGGGAGGGGAUAAAUCCAAUUGAGGGCAACAAUAGACUUAAUAUUGAAACCCUUGUUGCUAUGAACUUCAUUAAAAUUCAUCCACCCAUGACUUAUGCACUUCAACUUCGCAUACCACUUUUGUUUUUACUUCCUAACCCAUCUCGGACUAACCCCGAGGUGGAGGAAAAUUUGUUGUAUGUUGGUGAUGGAUUACAGGUACACGAGGAGCAUAAUCAAGGUGACGAAGAGGGUGCUCACAUGCACCAUGAAGAAGAGCCCCAUGACCAUAACGACGACAAUGAACGAUGGGCAUGGAUGCAAACCGAGGUACAAAGGAUAAGCACCGAGCAACAAAGGCAAGGUGUUGAAUUAUCUGGGCUAAGAAAUGAUGUCCUACGGGGCAACCGCAUAUCCGAAGAAAAUAACCAAAUGCUUCGGAACAUGAUGCAACAUUUACACCUUCAGGGCCCUCCCUAUGGACCUCAAUAAAAAUGUGAGCUUUCCUCUUCCUCUUUUUUCACCUUAUCUCUUUCAUCUCUAUCUCACUCUUCUACCUCUCCUUCUCUUUUAUUUUUCUUUUAUCUUGAAUCAUUGAGGACAAUGCUUCUCCUAAGUGUGGGGGGAGCCUAAUAAAGUGUCUUUAGUCGUAGUGUUUCCAAACUCCCUUGAACUUUAUUCUUUUGUUCUGUUUUAUUGUAAAAGGCAUAGUUAAGUAGCUAAUUUUUAUUGAAAAAAUCAAGACACAAAAAUUUUCAUUGUCUCCUCUUAUUUUGAUUGAUUCUUGUACAUGAAAGCAAACUCUUGUGUUUUAAGUCUUCUUGAUAUAACCACAUCUUGUUUUAAAGUGAAUAAAAUUCUCCAAUGAGAAAAACACAAAGUUGCUUCCCUUGAGUAAAUGUAUGAAUAGGUAUUUUAAGGAAACACAUUCUAAUCUUAGUGGUGCAUUAACCUUUAAAAAUUCUCAAAGCGCCAGUAGUAUAAGUGAGUAUAAGGGAGAUCAUAAAAAGCCAAAAAGCCAAAUAAUUCCAAGGUCUCAUCACUGAAUCUAGAUUGGGGAAGGAGGUAGGCCCUCCGACUUCCUACGUGAAGGUGAUUGUUAUCUUGAGAAAAACUUUAAAAAGCAUUGUUGAAACUAGAUUGGGGAAGGAGGUAGGCCCUCCGACUUCCUACGUGAAGACAAUGUCUUAAGGAAUACCAUUGAAUCUAGAUUGGGGAAGGGGGUAGGCCCUCCGACCUCCUACGUGAAAAUGUUGUUCCUUAAAUAAAGAACUUAAAAUGUGCAUAUGGCAAAAGAACAAAGAUUCUCAAAAACUCCCAUCUCUCUUAUAUGAAUUGUAGAAGGAAUUUUUCUUGGUUAGUUUAGUGCUAGGAUUAGACCAUGUUUCCUCAUUAUACCUAUCUUAUACAGGAGCAAGAAAAGGGUUGGACUUCACACACACACUCACUUGAAACUUGAUUGUUGGGUAGAAUAAAGAUUUCAAGAAAUACUUGAGUUUGUGAUUAGUGUACAUUUUGGGAUUUAAGCCCUUGAGGAGACAUGUGCUUUAAUUAACUGUCAUUUGAUUUAACUAUUGAUGCUACUAUGUUUAUGCCUUUUGCUUGAGGACAAGCAAAGACUCAAGUAUGGGGGAGUUUGAUGAGUCAUUUAUAUGUUAUUUUAAUAUGCUUUUUAGUUUAGAUUUUAUAUAAAUUUAUAUUAGUAUUAUUUCCUUUUUAGGAUAGUUUACUUUAAAAUGCAAUUUAUUAUAUUUCAGGAAGGAAUAUUUGAUGGAAAGAGUCUUGGAGCAAAAGAAAGGGAUUUGGAGCAGAUUGGACACAAAAACAUGAAGAUUGGGAAGCAAAAUAUAUCUCCCACAAGUCAGAAGCUUGGCACGGCCCGUGCUAGCCUUGGCACGGCCGUGCCACCCUCCAGAUGUCUUUUGCUGCUUUUGCUUUGACUCCAAGCUAUUCUAUUUUGGCGCACAAUCUACCGAGGAAUAUUCUAGGAAUAUACUUGCUUAGAUUCUAAGUCAAUUGUGUACUAUAAAUAGAGUAGCUAGCCAUCACUAAUAUUCAUCUUUACUUGGAAUACAAUAAGUGACAUUUGCUUUUCUAAAUAAAGUUCUUUUCCUUUAUUUCUUUGUCUUUUACUUUCAUGCUUUCUCUCUUCUCCCCCAUGUCUACGAUGAACAUGAGUGAGUAGACUUCUUCCUGUCUUGGGAUUGUUGGAUAAGUCUAAAUGACAUAAUCCUAAUCAAACCAAGCCCUAAGCCUUAAUCUUAUGUAACCCUAAUUUCUUAUCUGAAUUCACCGUCUUAACAUGGAUUAACCAUUAUCAAACUGUGGAAACGAAAGUGGAGGGUUUGAUAAUUGUUCGUCCAUUAUUCCAAAUAUCAAUUCAUAAAACGAAAGUGGAGCUUUGAUAUUCGAACAAGUGAAUUCAGACAAGGAUUGCAAAGUCAGCGAAAUAGGCUUUGCAAUCUUUGAGACAUAUAGUUUCGAUCUUCAAGGGAACCAAUAACAAUCAAGUCAGCGAAAUAGGCUUGGUUGUUAGAGGAACCAAAAUCCAAUAGUAAUCAAGUCAGCGAAAUAGGCUUGGUUGCUAGAGGAACACAAGAGAAACUGUCUUGAGAAAUUAGGUCUAACAUAACAUUAUAAGCUUAUGGUUUCGGUUUGAGAAGGACUUGUUAUUUAGAUGAAACCAACGAUCCCAAGGCUCUUUUAUUAUAUUGUUUUUAACCGUUUAAAAACCCCCAAUUUACAACCUCUUCUCUCUUCUAAUCAUCUCUAAAGGUUAACUAAAUUAAACUACUCCCUGUCGGAACGAUACUCUUUAUUACUACUUCGGUAAGACCGUGCACUUGCGGUUUUAUCUCAUCAGAGGACCCUAUGGGAUGCCAACCUCUUCGACCCAAACUUCACCCAUGAGUACUAUAGUACUUCCUGAUAAUUCAAAUAUGACCAUACCGCCAUUGUCUAACCAAGGGGAGAAUAUCUCGUUUGGUAGAUCCCAACAAACAUUUAUUCCAUUUGGUUCGCCUCAACAAUCGUUGACCAACGCCUCGAUGAAUGCGUUAAGGCAAACCAUGGCAGAUAUUAAUCACGAUAUGGUCAAUAUGGUGACUCAACAAGUCACGACGGUUAUCAAUCAUUUAAUCCAAGAAACCAAUAAUAGUUAUCAAGCCUUAUCGCAACAAAUGGGGCGAAUAGCGGAUUUUCUAGGUGCACCCCAAGUGCGCAUUACGCCGGCUGUGCGAAAUACGAAUCCUCGGCAGAGGGAACCGCUUGUCGAAGAACAGACAAACCAAAUGCUUGAAAACCAAGCGCAAGAGGCACAACCUGAAAUACCGGAAGAACCUGUUAGGAUUCCUAUAAUGGUGAACAUAAACCAAAAUGCGGACCAAGUGGUCAUGCAGGCCCGUCGAAAUAAUUAGGAGGGCCAUAACAACAUAGCCAAUAUAGUCGAAGCAUUGCUGGCCCAAAAUGGUUUCAAUACUGGAUUGCACCAUCCAAAUUUCGUUUCGGCGUCGUCCGAAUUUGUCUUAGAAACGGAGAUGCCUAGAAAGCACAAAGUCCCCAAAUUCACUAAAUUUGCUGGGGAAACGAAUGAAUCCACUAUCUAACAUGUUGCUCGAUACAUUAUGGAGGCCAGAGACUUAGCAAACAAUGAGAAUUUGAAAUUGAAAUAUUUUCCAAGUUCUCUGACAAAAAAUGCAUUGACAUGGUUCACAACGUUGCGUCCACACUCCAUAGUUAGUUGGAAUCAAUUAGAGAAGGCUUUUCAUGAGCAGUUUUAUAUGGGCCAAUCUAAAAUUAGUUUGAAAGAAUUGGCUAGCGUUAGACGAAAGACGCAUGAGUCGAUAGAUGAUUACUUGAACAGAUUUCGACUCCUUAAAGCCCGAUGUUUCACCGCCGUGCCAGAACAUAAGUUGGUCGAAAUGGCUGCGGGUGGCUUAGAUUAUUCUGUUCGAAAGAAAUUAGAUACACAAUAUCUUAGGGACAUGGCGCAAUUAGCAGAUAGGGUUCGCCAAGUCGAGAGACUUAAGGCUGAAAAAGCCAAAACAAAUAGGUUCCCUAAGAAAGAGAAAGUUGCUUAUAUCGAUACUAGAGAUAGUGAGCCAGAAUUCGAUUGGGGAUCAGAUUCUGUAGAAGAUAACGAAAUAAAUCUUGCAGAAUUAAAAGAUGGGCCGCCUUACACUUGUAAAUUGUUAAGGCCAUCAAAUGGGAAAAACGUAGAAGAACCAAAAAAUGAUAAAUAUCCCCCAAAAACUUAUACUUUUGAUGUGUCUAAAUGUGAAGAAAUAUUUGAUCUUCUAGUUGCUGAUGGCAUAAUUUUAGUGCCAGAUAAUAUGAAACUCCCUCCUCUAGAUCAGAGGAAGAAAAGGGGUUUUUGCAAAUUUCAUGGUUUUUUGGGCCAUAACUUAUCCCGUUGCACUCGUUUCAGGGAUUCUGUGCAGAAGGCUCUUGAUGAAGGAAGACUGAAAUUCGGAGAAAAGGCUAAAGUAACAACUAAGCCUGAUGUCGAAUCUUCCAAAAAGGCUGAUUCCAUGUACACUGAAGUGGUUGGUAUAAACAUGGUGGAUGUUACAGAGUCAAGCGACGACAAACUAUUAUCGGGAAAAGCUUUACCUGAUGAUACUGAGAUGGUUACUGAAGACCAUGUUCGAAAUGCCAAUCUGGUCACUGAGGACCAACUCCAGAAGAAUGUAGAAAGGGCAUAUCCUAAAGCUGAAGAAGAUCUAGUUGAUUUUCUGAACCACUGCAAAGUUUUAAACACCAACGCCAUGCUUUGUCCAAGGUGUAGCGCAGUCUUCGAUAAAGAGGCCGCAAAAGCAAUCGAAGGCUCUCAGCCACAGACAAAAUGGAAGGGGAAAAAGAAAGAUAAUCGCCCUAAAUUCAAUUUCAACAAAAGGGGUGUCCCUUACAAAGACCAAUCCGCUCGAAAUUCUCAAAAGAGAAAUUGGAGAGGAACCUUCAAUCCGUCUGCGAAGUCCCCCACUGACACUUGGGUCUUUUCAGGAGGAAGGAAAUCUGGCUAUUCUGCCCCUCCAGCAAAAUGGGUGAAAAGAAAAGUUCCUGCUCCUCCAUGUGAGGCGCCAGAAGUGCCUAGCAGGUAUGCUUACAAUAAUAACUACAAAGGUAAGCAACCUAUGAUACGAACUCAAUGGCGCAGGUAUCAACGCCAGAAAAAAGCAUCAACAUUACAAGAUAUCACCAAUGUUGACAAAGGAGAGGGCAAGCGAAAAGAUGUGUUCGAAAUGGUUAAAAAACCAGUCACAGAGAGAAUCUCACCCCCAUUGUCAAUUUUGAAGAAAGAUCAUCCCAAAGAGGAUGAAGAAAUGACUUCAAAUUUCACUGGAUCUGACCCCAGUCUUGACAUAGUAUGCAAUGUGGUUUCUAUACUACCUGUGGAAUAUGACGUUCCGUCAGAAAUUAAUGAAGUUGAAAGUGAUUUCAUCGAUGAAAUGGCAAUUCACAAGCCACUAUGCUAUUAUGUCAUGAAUAAUGGUUGUGUAGAAGAGCAACAUGCAGUCUUUGAAAAAUCAGACACUUCGAUGAAGUUACAUCUCAAGCCUUUAUUUAUUCAGGCUAAAAUCAAUGGUGUGGGGGUAAAUAACGUGUUAGUUGAUGGUGGAGCCACAGUCAACCUGCUCCCUCAAUCGUUCCUGGGAAAGAUUGGACUCUAUGAUUCUGAUUUGAAGCCUCAUAAUGUCAUUCUCACUAACUAUGAAGGCACUUCAGGAAAUUCUUUGGGUGCUAUCGAACUGGAAUUAGUGGAGGGUAGCACAAGAAGGAUAACAACAUUUAUGAUAGUCCCAUCAAAAGCAAACUUUAAUGUACUGCUGGGUAGAGAAUGGAUACAUGGCGUGGGUGCAGUCCCCUCUACGGUGCAUCAAAGGAUUGCCAUAUGGAAAGAAGAUGGGCUAGUUGAGAACGUUGAAGCCGAUCAAAGUUAUUUCUUAGCUGAAGUAAACACUAUUACCAAGAAAAACUUCGAUAAGCAACUGGCACACAUAGCCCCAGUCACAUCUCCAGGACCCAAAAACAUGAUUUCAAAUGACGAGAUGUACUCCAUGAAACUGCAGCCAGAAGCAGGAUUUGUGUGGGAGAAAGAAUUGAGAGACCAUGACUUUGUAAUGGUCAACCAACAGGAAGUUCAGAUAGAAAAUGAAGAUCUGCUCGAAACUAGAGCCCAAGCAUACAAAAAGGUUGCUGAUAGCCUUGUACCUAACAUUCCUAAGUAUGCUACCCCACCAACUGGGGGGGAUGUAAAAAAUUGAAAUUAUGACUGAGCCCAAUAUUUGGGAGAAGAUUACGGCCUACUUGGCCGAAAACAAACUCCAAACGGCCAAAGAGGCCGAAGAUUCGAAGCAAGAGGUGAUCGAGAAGCUCGUGGACGAAUCCACAGACGACGGUGUCGAAGACCAGAAAUUGGAUUGCAUUUACGAUGAUGAACCGUUAGGCUUCGAAGAGGAUCCUAUGGGAUCCACUACAAAAAUGAAAGCGCAAGAUCCCCUCGAAGAAAUCGACUUGGGAGAUGGUACUGUCAAAAGACCUACUUAUGUAAGUGCCAAAAUCCCUGAAGGAUUCAAAAAUCGAAUUGCAGAGCUACUAAAAGAAUACAAAGAUUGCUUUGCAUGAGAUUACAAUGAAAUGCCUAGUUUAAAUCGAGAAGUGGUGGAAUUAAAAUUAGCAAUUCGGCCAGACAAAAAGCCAGUCAAGAAAAUUCCUCGUAGGUUCGCUCCACAGAUCCUACCAAAGAUCAAAGAAGAGAUCGAUAGACUGCUGAAAUGCGGAUUUAUCAGGCCUGCAAGGUAUGUAGAUUGGCUAGCAAAUGUAGUUCCAGUUAAAAAGAAAAAUGGAACCAUAAGGGUAUGCAUAGAUUUUAGAGAUUUGAAUCUCGCUACCCCUAAAGACGAAUACCCAAUGCCUGUAGCAGAAAUGCUCGUAGAUUCAGCGGCGGGUUUUGUAACGCUCACCUUCGUUUAAUCGUUUAUUUAAUCGAGUUUAGGCGAUUAUAUUAUAAUUAUAUAGUAUAAGCAUGAUUUUGAUAUGUUUUGAUGAUUUAAGAUGAUUUUGGUGAUUUGAUUGAUGACGUGAUAAGUUAUGAGUUUUUGAAGAUUUAAUAAGGAUAUGAGAUUUAUUUUAUUGUUAAAUAGAAUAAAGAUUUGAAAAUAAUAUAAAAUAUUUAGUUGAGGGCUGUUUUGAUAUUUUAGAUAGUUUUGGGGGAGAAAGUGAGAUAAGAUAAGUAAUUAAAAAAAAGAUACAAAUAGGGAAGACCUAAUUUUUAGAAAAACUGAUUGUACGUGAAAACUUUUGGAAAAAGGGAGAAAAGCUUAGAGAGGAGCAAGAGACCAAGAGGGCUGCGAUUUUCUGCAAAUUUAAGGUAAGGGUGAGACUAAUAACUCAGUAAUAUUAGUUGUUGUAAUUCUGAUGAGUAAUUAGCAAGAAUUAGGAAUUAAAUUGAGAAAACGAAAACUAGGUCAAAACCUUAGAAUUGAUGAUCAAACGUUGAGAAUUGGUUCAAUCGAUGUAGAAAGUGUUCCUAGACCUUAGAUAAUGUUUAGGAUGAACUUUGGAAUCAAAAACAAGCUUAGAACCAUGUGGAUCGACGGAUUUUUGUGAUUUUAGGAAACCUGGCCGUAGCGACAUUCAUCGCUCGCCACGCGAGUCUUUCCCCUUCGCCUCGUGAGUUGUUUGGUACAACUCGCCAUGGCGAGCUUUUCCCUUCACCUCGCGAGUUGUGCGACGCAGCUCGCCACUGCGAGCAACCUUACUCGCCAUAGCGAGCUAAGGCAGAGUGUAUGUUAGAUUUUGUGUUUUCGACUUUUUAGUUGGACCUUGAGUGCCUUUGAGUGUUUGAACAUACCUAGUAUUGAUUAGGAAUGAAUGUAGGAUCAGAGGGAACCCAGAACAAGCUUAGUUUGGGAGUUGAGUGGUACUCGCCACGGCGAGUAAGAACUCUCGCCUCGCGAGCACAACCAGGAUGAACUUGUUUGUGUGUUUGUGCGAUCUGUGUCGCACUUGUUGAUCAAGAGUGAACCCCUAACUGGUAAUGAGACCUAGUGAUGUCAUUUAAUGCAGACUGUAGAGUUGUUUAAGUUAUAUUAAUAUCAAUUGAAUAUGAACUAUUAUAUUGUAUAUUCAUGCAAGAUAAGAAGAUGUGUUAAUGAUGCAAAUUAUGUGUUUUGAUAUAAUGAUAUCAUCUUGUUAUGUGACUUGUUUACGCUGCUUUUGUUAUUUAACUAAGUGCAUAAGUAUAAGAUGAAGUUUAGCUCCAAAUUAUUGGAUGCAUGUUGAUAAGUCGAUUACGUUGUUUUGUUCAUAUGUGUCCAUGCAUAGCAUAUCAUUGAGCUUAGUCCUCACCAUGAAUAUUAGGAGCUUUGUCCUCCGCACGUUUUAUAGGAGCUUUGUCCUCCGCACGAUUAAAGUAUAUUAAUACUUAUGAUGACGAUUGGUACCACAUGCAUAUAAGGAGUCUAAGAGCAUUGUCACAUUGUCAUGAUUAAGAUGCCUUGUUGAUAAUGAUUGAAUAUGUGAUAAGUGUUUAAUGAUUAUGUUAUGUUGUUGAUAAUGAUUGAAUAUUUGAUUACGUGAUAAGUGUUUAAUGAUUAUGUUAUGUUGUUCAUGAUGAUUGGAUAUAUGAUUACGUGAUAACUGUUUAGCAUUUAUGCAAAGUUGAUAAAGGAAUGAUUAAGAUGUUAAUUUAUGAUUCGCAAUUACAUUGAUUAAUGUUAUUUUGUUAUGAAAUCUCACCCCUUCUGCUUGAAAAUGUUGCCCUUCGUAUGGGUAACUUGCAGGUGAUCGUGCUUAGUGUGCAGUUGCCGUCGUGAGUGGCCUUGCCUUCACUGUGUCGUCUAGGUCGCUCUGAUACGUAACGGGAUGGGGUUUAAUGUUAUGCAUGCUUCAUUCUUUUACGUGAACUGCUAUGAUAAUUUCUGUUUUGAUUAACUCUUUUGAGAUACUUUGUUAGGGCCUGCGUGCCAAAACCUUUUAUGAAUUAUGAUUAUGAUUUUCCGCUGCAAUGUUUAAGUUAUUGGUUAAAUUAUUAUUUAACUGUUGGAUUACGUUAUAUGUGAUAUCCCGUUGUUUUGAAGCUUACUCUGAUAAAUGUUAUGUUUUAAGAAAUUUUGAUAUUGGGAAAACGGGGUGUUACAGGUUUCGAUUACUUGAGUAUGCUAGAUGGAUACUCUGGUUACAAUCAAAUCUUUAUUGCAGAAGAAGAUAUCGCUAAGACCGCAUUUCGAUGCCCAGGGGCAUUAGGAUGUUAUGAAUGGGUAGUAAUGCCAUUUGGUCUAAAAAAUGCUGGUGCCACGUACCAGAGAGCGAUGAAUUUAAUGUUCCAUGAUUUCAUAGAAAAUUUUAUGCAGGUUUACAUCGAUGACAUUGUAGUGAAAUCUUCUUCGGAAGAAAGACAUUUGGAACAUUUACGCCAAUCAUUCGAAAGAAUGAGGCAAUAUGGAUUGAAAAUGAAUCCUUUAAAAUGUGCAUUUGGGGUUUGUGCAGGUGAUUUCUUAGGGUUCGUCUUGCAUAAAAAGGGAAUCGAAAUCAACCAGAACAAAACCAAAGCAUUAAUCGAGACCAAGGCUCCUUCUACCAAGAAAGAGUUGCAGUCUCUACUAGGGAAGAUCAACUUUCUCCGGAGGUUUAUAUCAAACCUAAGUGGUAAGACACAAGCUUUCUCACCAUUACUCCGACUAAAGAAAGAUGAUGUUUUCAAAUGGGAACCAGAGCACCAAAAAGCUUUCGAUGAAAUCAAGUCAUAUUUGGUAAACCCUCCGGUUCUUUCUCCUUUGUUGAAAGGCAGGAGAAUGAAGUUAUAUAUAGCAACGUCAGAUGACACCAUAGGAAGUAUGUUAGCACAAGAGGACGAACAUGGCACGGAAAGGGCCAUUUACUAUUUAAGUCGUGUACUUAAUGAUGUUGAAACAAGAUAUCAUCCUAGUGAAAAACUUUGUUUGUGCUUAUUCUUCUCAUGUACAAAACUUAAGCAUUAUAUAAAGCCUUUUGACGUUUAUGUUUAUUCCUAUUUUGAUAUCAUUAAGCAUAUGUUGUCAAAACCAAUUCUACAUAGCAGAGUCGGAAAAUGGGCCUUAGCAUUGACAGAAUAUUCAUUGACUUAUCAAUCAUUAAAGGCUGUCAAAGGCCAAAUUGUGGCCGAUUUUAUUGUAGAUCAUUCAGUAGAUGAAGUUUUGACAACUGAAAUGGAAAAUCAUCCAUGGAAUUUAUAUUUCGAUGGUUCUAGUCAUAAAAGUUGUACUGGCGUGGGGAUAGUGAUAGUCUCGCCCAAACACCAUAUAUUUAAAUACAUGCUUCGAAUCAAUCAACUUUGCUCUAACAAUGAGGCUGAAUAUGAAGCCUUAAUUACAGGUCUAGAAAUUGCACUCGAACUGGGGGAAAAAUGCAUCAAAAUCAGAGGAGAUUCUGAACUUAUCCUUAGACAAAUGACAAAAGAAUAUAGGUGCGUUAAGGAAAGUUUGGUCACCUAUCAUGCAAUAGCUGGCAGGUUGUUAAAACAGUUCACCCACGUGGAAAUUCGGCACAUACCUCGAAUGGAGAACCAAGAUGCAAAUGAUCUGGCACAGAGGGCCUCUGGAUACAAAAUACCGAAGGACCAGAUGCAAGAGCUGAUAUAAAUUAGAAACAGACGAAAUUCGAUGGAAUCGUUCUCUUGCAAAUCGUUAACGCCAAAACUUGGGGGGACUGAAGCAGGCCAAAAGUCCAUAAAAGGUACAUAUUUUUGUCGAAAUUUUUGUCAUUAACGAUUUAAAUGAAAAUGAUUGGCGAAGACCUAUAGUGAAAUAUCUGGAAAAUCCAGAUGGAACCACUUGUCGAAAAGUGAAGUACAGAGCCUAGGCGAAACAAAUGCAUAUCUGGCUGUUUUGAAUACACACGACGGAACUUGUGGAACGCACCAAGCGGGCCAUAAAAUGAAAUGGCUUUUAUUUCGACAAGGGUUAUAUUGGCCAACUAUGCUCAAAGAUUGCAUAGAAUUCGCAAAAGGAUGCCAAAAAUAUGCUGGAAUUCAGCGCGUCCUAGCAAGUGAACUUCAUGCGAUAAUCAAACCUUGGCCAUUUAGAGGAUGGGCUUUGGAUGUGAUAGGGGAAAUCAAACCCACUUCAUCGAAAGGAUAUAGAUACAUCUUAGUAGGAAUAGAUUAUUUCACAAAAUGGAUAAAAGCAAUUCCCUUAAAAGAUGUCACUCAAGAGGAAGUUAUAAGUUUCAUCCAGAAGUUCAUCAUCUAUAGGUUCGGUAUUCCGGAAACCAUUACCACAGACCAAGGGUCCGUAUUCACUGGUCGAAAAAUGGCGAAAUUCGCCGAAGAUAUAGGUUUUAAAUUGCUAACCUCGACACCAUAUUAAGCACAAGCAAAUGGUCAGGUUGAAGCAGCAAACAAAAAUAUCAUUGCCAUUAUCAAACGAAAAAUAAAGGCAAAGCCAAAGAAUUGGCCUGAAGUUCUAGGCAAAGCUUUGUGGGCAUGUCAAACAUCUCCAAAAGAAUCGACAAACACCACACCUUUUAGGCUAACAUUUGGUCAUGAUGCUGUGUUACCCGUAGAGUUUUUGCUUCAAUCAGUCAGAAUCCAAAGGCAAUGCGAAAUACCAGUUAAUCAUUAUUGGGACAUGGUCAUAGACGAGUUGACCGAUCUCGAUGAAGAAAGAUUAACAGCACUAGAAAUCCUUGCAAGACAAAAGGAGAGGGUAGCAAAAGCAUAUAAUAAAAAGGUAAAAUCGAAAUUUUUCACCCAAGGAGAUUUGGUAUGGAAAGUCAUUUUACCAAUGGAUAAGAAAGAUAGAGUUUUGGGAAAAUGGUCAUCCGGUUGGGAAGGACCAUGGUAGAUAUUGAGAGUCUUUUCGAACAAUGCAUAUGAGAUCGAAGAAUUAAAUGAAGAUCGAAGGAUCUUAUGAAUAAACGGAAAGUACUUGAAAAAGUAUAAACCGACAUUACAAGAAAUUAAGAUCAUACAAGAGUAAUUCGAAAAGAAAAGUUCAAACAUGGCAUUUCAUAAGGCCAACUAAUGGGCGGUUUACACAAAAUAAACUUCAAAAUGGGCUCUAAAGAGCGCAAAGUAAACCAUUACAAAAGAAAUGCUACAAAAGGAAAUUAGAAAAUUCUAAAAUGAUUUUUCUUCGAUGGAAUGACCUACAUAAGUUGGCCAAAGCCAAAAAGGUCGAGAAACCAUCGAAGCUCACUAUCGAGACAACACCUAAGGCAGAAACGCUGAAGAUUAUAUAGUUCGUCCUCAGCAGGAUGAAAUCCUCGAUAGUUGCGCCUUAACCCAUAUCCAGGGCAGUUGUGCCAGUUGUUGCAGAAUCGACGACGAAUCAACUGGGGGGGGGGGGGGGCAGCAACCUUUUGUACCAGCCUGAAACGAAGCGAAAGUGGGAGUCCCCUCCCGUUAUCUCCCUGCGAUAACGCGCAACAUUCUUCGUCUCCAAAAGAGACCAAAAGUCAUUGAAAAGUUCAGUUAUAUCAGGAGAGAUACCGUCAAGCGCCCUCAACAUUACAUCAAAGUAAAGCGCGCUCACGGAGCCAUCAUCCAUAGCAUUCUUGAGCGAAUACUUGACAGUAGGAAUGCAUGGCUCAACAUCUAGCAUGUGUUGAGUACAUCUCAAAAUACAAAACAUGGGAUUCCCAUGUUCCCAUAAACGAAGCUUGAAAUCCAACUUCGGAUGGGUAGGUUUCAGAUCGGUGAGUAUCCUGAUGCAAUCCUCACCAAAGGCUCUUGAGACCUUACGAUCUCCACAGAGAGCAGCAAUUCUCUUAUUUUGUCUUUGAAAACAAAAAAGAUCAAGCAUGCUGUACUUGGCGACCCUUGCAGCAAUGUCUAUGAUCAGAUCAUCACUCAAGCAACUUAUGAACUCCAUGAAGAAAUUUUGUUUAUGGAAAAGUGUUUAAUGAACACAAAGAAAGAUAAGUGAGAGAUGAAAAACACAAGACAAAAAGGAUGGUAUUUAUAAAAUAAGUGGGAAGUUGAAAAGUGGUUUUUUCUCUUUGAAACAUAAGCGACGGUUUCUUUUCUUGAUCAUCAUAGAUCAUAAGAAGACACGUGGCGUCAGUUGAUGCCGUGAUUCAAAAGCCUUGGGGAGGAAGUUGUAAAAAUCUUUAUGUUUUAUCUUCCCUAAAAAGAAUCUCAUAAUUAUAUUUUUUGGAAGAGUUACGGUUUCCAAGACAAGCUAAUCCUACCAAGUUAGGAAAAGACAUUUUAGUUUCUCAUCAUUAUAAUUGUCUUGAGAUUUGUUCAAUUAAGAGAGCAAUUAAAAUAUAUAUAUAUUAUAUAUAAAUAAUCAAAAUGAAACAUUGUGUUAAUAUUAAAAAGGUUGCUAAACCGUUACAAAAUAAAUACAUACACAAUAAGAAGGAACAAAAUAGAAACUAAGACUCUGAUGAGAAAAAACCGCAAGUGCACGGUCUUACCGAAGUAGUAAUAAAGAGUAUCGUUCCGACAGGGAGUAGUUUAAUUUAGUUAACCUUUAGAGAUGAUUAGAAGAGAGAAGUGGUUGUAAGUUGGGGGUUUUUAAACGGUUAAAAACAAUAUAAUAAAAGAGCCUUGGGAUCGUUGGUUUCAUCUAAAUAACAAGUCAUUCUCAAACUGAAACCAUAAGCUUAUAAUGUUAUGUUAGACCUAAUUUCUCAAGACAGUUUCUCUUAAGUUCCUCUAGCAACCAAGCCUAUUUCGCUGACUUGAUUACUAUUGGAUUUUGGUUCCUCUAACAACCAAGCCUAUUUCGCUGACUUGAUUGUUAUUAGUUCCCGUGAAGAUCGAAACUAUAUGUCUCAAAGAUUGCAAAGCCUAUUUCGCUGACUUUGCAAUCCUUGUCUGAAUUCACUUGUUCGAAUAUCAAAGCUCCACUUUCGUUUUAUGAAUUGAUAUUUGGAAUAAUGGACGAACAAUUAUCAAACCCUCCACUUUCGUUUCCACAGUUUGAUAAUGGUUAAUCCAUGUUAAGACGGUGAAUUCAGAUAAGAAAUUAGGGUUACAUAAGAUUAAGGCUUAGGGCUUGGUUUGAUUAGGAUUAUGUCAUUUAGACUUAUCCAACAAUCCCAAGACAAGAAGAAGUCUACUCACUCAUGUUCAUCGUAGACAUGGGGGAGAAGAGAGAAAGCAUGAAAGUAAAAGACAAAGAAAUAAAGGAAAAGAACUUUAUUUAGAAAAGCAAAUGUCACUUAUUGUAUUCCAAGUAAAGAUGAAUAUUAGUGAUGGCUAGCUACUCUAUUUAUAGUACACAAUUGACUUAAAAUCUAAGCAAGUAUAUUCCUAGAAUAUUCCUCGGUAGAUUGUGCGCCAAAAUAGAAUAGCUUGGAGUCAAAGCAAAAGCAGCAAAAGGCAUCUGGAGGGUGGCACGGCCGUGCCAAGGCUAGCACGGGCCGUGCCAAGCUUCUGACUUGUGGGAGAUAUAUUUUGCUUCCCAAUCUUCAUGUUUUUGUGUCCAAUCUGCUCCAAAUCCCUUUCUUUUGCUGCAAGACUCUCUCCAUCAAAUAUUCUUCCCUGAAAUAUAAUAAAUUGCAUUUUCAAGUAAACUAUCCUAAAAAGGAAAUAAUACUAAUAUAAAAUUAUAUAAAAUCUAAACUAAAAAGCAUAUUAAAAUAACAUGUAAAUGACUCAUCAAACUCCCCCAUACUUGAAUCUUUGCUUGUCCUCAAGCAAAAGGCAUAAACAUAGUAGCAUCAAUAGUUAAAUCGAAUGACAGUUAAUUAAAGCACAUGUCUCCUCAAGGGCUUUAAUCCCAAAAUGUACACUAAUCACAAACUCAAGUAUUUCUUGAAAUCUUUAUUCUACCCAACAAUCAAGUUUCAAGUGAGUGUGUGUGUGAAGUCCAACCCUUUUCUUGCUCUUGUAUAAGAUAGGUAUAAUGAGGAAACAUGGUCUAAUCCUAGCACUAAACUAACCAAGAAAAAUUCCUUCUACAAUUCAUAUAAGAGAGAUGGGAGUUUUUGAGAAUCUUUGUUCUUUUGCCAUAUGCACAUUUUAAGUUCUUUAUUUAAGGAACAACAUUUUCACGUAGGAGGUUGGAGGGCCUACCCCCUUCCCCAAUCUAGAUUCAAUGAUAUUCCUUAAAACAUCGUCUUCACGUAGGAAGUCGGAGGGCCUACCUCCUUCCCCAAUCUAGUUUCAACAAUGCUUUUUAAAGUUUUUCUCAAGAUAACAAUCACCUUCACGUAGGAAGUCGGAGGGCCUACCUCCUUCCCCAAUCUAGAUUCAGUGAUGAGACCUUGGAAUUAUUUGGCUUUUUGGCUUUUUAUGAUCUCCCUUAUACUCACUUAUACUACUGGCGCUUUGAGAAUUUUUAAAGGUUAAUGCACCACUAAGAUUAGAAUGUGUUUCCUUAAAAUACCUAUUCAUUCAUUUACUCAAGGGAAGCAACUUUGUGUUUUUCUCAUUGGAGAAUUUUAUUCACUUUAAAACAAGAUGUGGUUAUAUCAAGAAGACUUAAAACACAAGAGUUUGCUUUCAUGUACAAGAAUCAACAAAAUAAGAGGAGACAAUGAAAAUUUUUGUGUCUUGAUUUUUUUCUUCAAUAAAAAUUAGCUACUUAACUAUGCCUUUUACAAUAAAACAGAACAAAAGAAUAAAGUUCAAGGGAGUUUGGAAACACUACGACUAAAGACACUUUAUUAGGCUCCCCCCACACUUAGGAGAAGCAUUGUCCUCAAUGAUUCAAGAUAAAAAGAAAAAUAAAAGAGAAGUAGAGGUAGAAGAAGAAGAAGCAGAAGAAGGAGGAGAAAGUUAAGAAGGGAAGAGUGGAAGAGGAAAGCUCACAUUUUUAUCAUUGAGGUCCAUAUGGAGGACCUUGGAGGUGAAAGUGGUGCAUCAUGUUCCGAAGCAUUUGGUUAUUUUCUUCGGAUAUGCGGUUGCCCUUUUGGACAUCAUGCCUUAUGCUCAUGAGUUCAACACCUUGCCUUUGUUGCUCGGUGUUUAUUCUUUCAACCUCGGUAGUCAUCCAUGCCCAUCUUGCAUCCGCAUUUGUUUCAUCUUCAUUAUGGUCAUGGUAUGCCUCUUCAUGGUGCAGUUGUGCACCUUCCUCUUCCGGAUGCAAGUGUGCAUCCUCUGUUUCUUCAUUAGGUUGUUCUAUGUGCACCUGUGGGUCAUCAGCAACAUACAACAAAUUUGCUUCCACCUCGGUGUUAGUGCGAGAUGGGUUAGGCAAUAAAAUCAAGAUGGGCACAUUGAGUUGGAGUGUAUAGACAUAGGGGACUCGAGUUUUUAUGAAAUUCAUAGAGAUGAGAGUUUCUAUGUUUAGUCUAUUGUUACCCUCUAUCUUGUUUAUCCCUAGGUCUUCACUCACACCGAAUCGCCCAGCUAUGUAUGUUAUGAUACCACCAACUACUAUUUCUCCCCUACUAUCGGACCUAUUUCCUAUAAGGGAAAGGUAGUCAAGCAAGUAAAAACAAGUGUUAAUGGGUUGGUUGUGCAACAUAGCCCAAAUCAUGAAGAGUUCAUCAUUCCUAGUGUUCCCUAAUUCUUUCCGUCCCCUAAUGGUACAAGCUAUAACCCUUUGAAGGUACCUAAGUACGGGGUUGUGAAUGUUGCUAGCUUUGUUGGCACGAGUGUUAAAUUGGUCAAGACCGGUGAUUUGCUCCCAAAAGGCGGCGGGUUGAUAGUUAACCGGUUUUAAAUUUUGAUCCCAAGAGUCGUGGAUGAACCCCCCAUUUGCGAAGCCCAUCUCAUCACAGAAGUGCUGAAGAGACAUCUCAUAAUCAAUAUUCAAAAGCCGGAAAGAAACUCUAUGGUUGGGGUUAUCAAAGUUCAACCUAUCUUUUGUAAAAACAAUAGAGCUUAAAAAUUCAUAGGUGAAGUUUUCAUACCCUCGCAUAGGUUUCAACAUAUCAACCCAUCCUAGCCUUUCUAGCAAUUUUAACACAUUAUCCUUAAUACCUAGCUUAUUCAUAUCAUGGUUAUCAAGGUACCUGCAAGGUUGUAGAGGUUUAGAGAUUAGAAGUUUGUACCUAUCCCUUUGCUUGUUGUCCCGGAAGAUGAUGCCAUGAUUUUUUGCUUGUGCUUUCUUCUUUGGGGGAGGUCCUCCGGAUGAGCUUGCAACUUCCUUUCCACUUCUUUUUGAAGUCAUUGCCUAGACCUUGCCUUUGGGGUGGUGGUUUGGUUAAGGGUUGUUUUGGUGGAAAGAGGUUGGAUUAGUGUUGUGGUGAAGGUUUAGGUGAGUUUUUGGGGUUGGGUUAGGGAGGUUGGUGAAAAAUUUAUGGUUUUUGGGUUAGGUUAUGGAGGGUGACGAAUUUGGGUGAUGGUGGUUUUGGUGGAUGAAAGUUGUUUUGGAAUGGUGGGUUAUGAUUGGAAUGGUGUUAGGGUUUGAUUGGGUGGAGAAAUUUUGUGAAUGGGUGUGAUUUGAGGGUAGUUGUGAAGGUUUGUAGUUGUAUGGUUAUGGAGGUUUUGAGAGAGAAGGUGGGAAGUAGAGAGAAGUUUGUGUUGGAGAGUGAAGGAAGAAGAAGUUCAAAAGGUAGGGUUAUAGGCACCUGGUGUCGGGCACGGCCGUGCCAAGCUUGGCACGGGCCGUGCCAAUAUUCUGGACCUUGGCCAUUUGUUUGGUCUAUGAGGGUCUGGCACGGCCGUGCCAGUGUCAGCACGGGCCGUGCCAAGGUUCUGGAAUGCUAGGCUUCAAAAUUUUCUGUUUUCUUGAAUUUUUCUCGGACAAUAACCUACAAAAUAGUUUAAAAGAAACAAAAACAAAAACAAAAGCAGUUAAAUGCGUGGGUUGCCUCCCACGAAGCGCUCGUUUAUUGUCAUUAGCUUGACGUUAGGAAAGUGUCCUUAGAAAGGAUCAAAGAGGUCAUAUUGUGUAGUUGACGCUAGAAAGCGUUCUUUCACAUUGUGUACUUACAAUUAUGUUACAAGAAUAAAGAGCGGGACCUUUCAUAACAUUUUCCAGCUCGAACCCAAUCAUUGCAUCACUUGCUUGAAAAACUAUCCUUCCACUCUGAACAUCUAUUAUAGCACCUGCAGUAGCUAGGAAGGGUCGUCCUAAGAUUAUUGGGACAUCAAGGUCCUCUUCUAUGUCGACCACAACAAAAUCCGUCGGGAUAUAUAUCCCUUCUAUUUUAACGGGUAUGUCCUCUAUGUAGCCAGCUAGGGGGAUAGUAGAACGGUCUGCUAGUUUUAAGAUCAUCUCGGUCGGUUUAAGCUCUCCUAUUCCCAUCCUUUUGAAGAGGGAUAAAGGCAACAAACUUACACUAGCUCCUAAGUCACACAAGGCUUUGUCAACGGUUUCUUUUCCUAUCACACAAGGGAUGGAAAAACUACCUGGAUCUCUAAGCUUUUGGGGUUGCGUCUUGAUGAUUGCACUACUUUCCCUAGUUAAAGCUAUUGUCUCCUUGUGAUCUAUAGCCUUUUUCUUUGAAAAAAUUUCUUUUAAAAAUUUGGCGUAUAGAGGCAUACGAGAUAGAGCUUCAACAAAGGGGAUCUUAAUGCAAAUCUUUUUAAGUAUGUUUAAGAAUUUAGCAAACUCGGCCUCCAAGUUGAGCUUAGUGAGCCUUACAUCCUUCUCACCUAGAAGCUUAACACUCUCUCCCUUGACACUUUUGGCUUUGGUAAUGGUCUCUUCUAACUUAUUGCCCCCAAGAGAAAUGGCAUUGACAUGGGCCUUGGGGUUUGUUUCAGUUUGUCCAGGAAAGACUCCUGGUGUUUGAGAAGAGGUGGCCACUUGUUGGGCUACUUGGGAGAUUUGGGUUUCAAGCAUUUUGGUGUGUGUGGCGAUGGAAUCAACCUUGGUAUUGAGCUUGGAGAGAGAGUCGUUCAGAGAUCUUGUUUGGUUUUUUAACUCUUGAAGUUGUUUAUUUUGAUUCAUCAUGCAAUUUUCUAACAUUAUUUCCAAACUAGAUUUCUGAGCCACUCUCUGGUUGUUUGUAUAGCCAGGUGGUGCUGUUUGCCCAUAGGAACCUUGAGGAUUUUUGUAAAAAUUUUGAUUUGGCCUCAUUCCUUGGUUGUAUUGAGCGUAAUUUAGUUGCUCAAUAUUGGCAGCACUACCUAACUGACAAUCAACACCUGUAUGACCAGUUAUACCACAGACUUCACAAGUAGGGGAUGCAGGAGAAGGUGAGGCAGUAUUAACAUUAAGUUUUUCUAUUUUUUGUGUUAAUGCCUCAACUUUAGCAGCAAGGUGGUUAUAUUCAGAGACUUCGUAUAUAUCUGCCUCUUUCUUAGAGGGAGUAGGAGUGGUGACGGCUCUUUCGUUGGUCCAUUGAUAGUGAUUCUGAGCCAUGUCCUCAAUCAAAGCAUAAGCCUCCGUGUAGUUUUUGAUCAUUAGAGCUCCACCUGCAGCUGCAUCAACAGACAUCUUAGUGGUAUAAGACAAGCCAUUAUAAAACGUGUGGACUAUAAGCCACUUCUCUAGGCCGUGGUGGGGACAAAGUCUAAGCAUUUCCUUGAAACGCUCCCACGCCUCAUAGAGAGAUUCCCCAUCUUUUUGAUUGAAACGCGUAAUUUGGUCUCUAAGCUUAGCUGUUUUGGAUGGGGGAAAGAAUCGGGCGAGGAAUGCUCGCCUCAUAUCGUCCCAUGAAGUAAUGGAACUGACUUCUAGGGAAUGGAACCAAGCGCUAGCUCUACCCCUUAAGGAAAAGGGAAAGAGAUGAAGUCUUACGGCUUCUUGGUUCUCUUUUAUGGUGCCACUGAGUCUAAGGAAGGAAGAAAUAUGGAGAUUUGGAUCCUCAGUGGGUGAUCCAGAAAACUGGUUUUGCUGCACUAAAUUGAGUAGUGCAGGCUUGAUUUUGAAGUUAUUACCCGCAACCGUUGGGUACACGAUAAUAGCUUGUGGCUCUUCCGUUGAAGGAGUAGCAUACUCUUUGAGAGUACGUUCAGCCAUAGCGGUAUUAUUUUGUGCCUCUUUCUUUUUCUUAUGCAAAAACCUUUCGAUCUCAGGAAUAAAUUCUCCGAGACUUUUACUUCUUCGCAUAAGAAACCGAGAACCCAAGAAGUUAGUGGUAAAAACAAAAAGAAAGAAAAAUAGAAGAGAAGAGGAAGAGAAAAGAGAAGAGAGUUCUAAUCACUAAGAAAGAGUUAAUUAAAUUAGUUUACUCCCAUGCAGCGGCGCCAAAAACUUGAUGAGAUAAAACCGCAAGUGCACGGUCUUACCGAAGUAGUAAUAAAGAGUAUCGUUCCGACAGGGAGUAGUUUAAUUUAGUUAACCUUUAGAGAUGAUUAGAAGAGAGAAGAGGUUGUAAGUUGGGGGUUUUUAAACGGUUAAAAACAAUAUAAUAAAAGAGCCUUGGGAUCGUUGGUUUCAUCUAAAUAACAAGUCAUUCUCAAACCGAAACCAUAAGCUUAUAAUGUUAUGUUAGACCUAAUUUCUCAAGACAGUUUCUCUUAAGUUCCUCUAGCAACCAAGCCUAUUUCGCUGACUUGAUUACUAUUGGAUUUUGCUUCCUCUAACAACCAAGCCUAUUUCGCUGACUUGAUUGUUAUUAGUUCCCGUGAAGAUCGAAACUAUAUGUCUCAAAGAUUGCAAAGCCUAUUUCGCUGACUUUGCAAUCCUUGUCUGAAUUCACUUGUUCGAAUAUCAAAGCUCCACUUUCGUUUUAUGAAUUGAUAUUUGGAAUAAUGGACGAACAAUUAUCAAACCCUCCACUUUCGUUUCCACAGUUUGAUAAUGGUUAAUCCAUGUUAAGACGGUGAAUUCAGAUAAGAAAUUAGGGUUACAUAAGAUUAAGGCUUAGGGCUUGGUUUGAUUAGGAUUAUGUCAUUUAGACUUAUCCAACAAUCCCAAGACAAGAAGAAGUCUACUCACUCAUGUUCAUCGUAGACAUGGGGGAGAAGAGAGAAAGCAUGAAAGUAAAAGACAAAGAAAUAAAGGAAAAGAACUUUAUUUAGAAAAGCAAAUGUCACUUAUUGUAUUCCAAGUAAAGAUGAAUAUUAGUGAUGGCUAGCUACUCUAUUUAUAGUACACAAUUGACUUAAAAUCUAAGCAAGUAUAUUCCUAGAAUAUUCCUCGGUAGAUUGUGCGCCAAAAUAGAAUAGCUUGGAGUCAAAGCAAAAGCAGCAAAAGGCAUCUGGAGGGUGGCACGGCCGUGCCAAGGCUAGCACGGGCCGUGCCAAGCUUCUGACUUGUGGGAGAUAUAUUUUGCUUCCCAAUCUUCAUGUUUUUGUGUCCAAUCUGCUCCAAAUCCCUUUCUUUUGCUCCAAGACUCUCUCCAUCAAAUAUUCUUUCCUGAAAUAUAAUAAAUUGCAUUUUAAAGUAAACUAUCCUAAAAAGGAAAUAAUACUAAUAUAAAAUUAUAUAAAAUCUAAACUAAAAAGCAUAUUACAAUAACAUGUAAAUGACUCAUCAGACUCCCAUAAUGAGUUCGAUACAAAAUGGUUUACAUCUUAAAACCAGAGGUGAGUUGAUACAGUUGCUGUUUUAAAUCAUCAAGUUGUACAUCUUGGGCUUUGCCAUGAUCAGUGAGGAGUACUAUUUCUUGCUGGGAAGAUUUCGAUUCCUUGAUCUUCUUGAUGGCAAUUUGAGCCUCUGACUUCAUUAAACCUUCUUUAGCCAAAAGUUGGGCCUUCUGAUCCUCUAACUGCUCAAUUUUGGCCUUAUACUGGGUAAUUGAUGAAUCAAUGUCUGCCACUUGAGAUUGGAUUAGAGGGGUUUCUUGUCGAAAAGCCUCGAGCUUGGUUUUGAAUUCAGCAAUUUCAUCCAAAAGCUGAUCAUAUCGAAGGGUUUGUUCUUCAAGUUUAACCUUACCAUCUUUUCUUCGAAGACACCCUUGCUUGAUGUUAUCCAAAAGAGGCUCUAGAGCUUUGAAUUUUUUUUAGAAUUUCAAGCCUAAAGGGAGGUCUAUGAGUUUGUGUGAUAGUUCCCUUAUUUCGAGAAUAACAUUCUCGUCUUGCUCUAUGACCUCAAAUAGAUCAGCCCUUAAAACUUUGCUUCAAAACUCUGCGAAGAGAUUUUCGGUCGAAGCUUGAGAAGGAUCCCCAGUAGACACAUUAGAGGAUUUUCCGGUGCUCCUAGAUAGGAGAAUGUCUUUGGCUAAAAGGUCAAAAGCAUCCAAAGGAUUGGCUUCCUCAAGUUGACCUAAGGUUAUUGGAUCCAAGGUUGGAUCAAUUUGAAGUGGUUCAGCGUUACCUAUCGAAUCUGGGGCGCAAGUGAUUGAAAGAUUUUCAGCGAUGUGACCUUCUCUAGGAGUUACGAUAAAUUGAUCCGCAUCGAGCUCCGCUUCCACGUCGCUACCCCCUUCAGGUGCUUCACCUUGACGACCACUUGAUUCUACCGCAAUCUGAUUAGAAGAAGUGAUCUCCACAUCAGGUGUAGGAAUACUGGUCUCAACACCUUCAUCCUCUUCAGCAAUAGGCGAAGCCUCUGCUUGACCAACUUGAGCGUGUUGGGGUAUAUCGAUUUGGAUAGUCUGCAAGAGAAACACUGUUGUGAGAAACGCAUUUCGAUACUCAUAGCUAAAAUAAGAAAACAAAGGGUUUAUGAAAAACACCUUUAAAGCGUUGUCACCAAUGCAAGAAUGAGCACUGUUGGGAUUCGAAUCUUUGCGAGUUUUCAUCCUUUUUGGGCUAGGAUGGCCUAAGGAUUCUUCCACUGCAUCUAUCUCGAUGGCCGGAGAAUCAUGUUUUCUCUUCCUACGACCCUCUUUCAGUUUGAGAGGUUCAGAUACAGCAGGUCUUUCAGCAGCAUUGGGAGAAAUUUCAACCUACAAGGAAGUUUAAACUCAAAGAUCCCCUACGAAAAGUAUGGUCGAGACGACUCAAGAAAUAACUUAUCUCAUCCUCGGUGGUGCGGGAUUGCUCUCCUUUGGAAGGUUUUUCAGAUUUCUUCUUUUUGUCCGUUUUUGAAGAUUUAUUUUUCUGAGAAGUUUUGUCAGAUUUUGAUUUGGAUGUCUUUUGAGAGGUAUCUUCUUCCGGGUAUUCUACUUCCCCUGAAGCCAAAGGUAGAGGUACGAGCCAUAAAACACAAAACAAAUAAGUAUCCUCUUUUAUUUAAUAUAAUAGAUUCGAAAUUUGGAUGGUUUCUACAAAAGAAAAUCGAAAGGUUCCGUACCUAACCCUAUUUCGGAUAAAAUUCGAAUAUGAGGAUGAUUUAAGUGCAGAUGCCAUCUAAAAGUGUACAAGUUGUGCUUGGUCGCGGUUACUCUGUCUUUUUCCCUCUUUAUAAUUUUUUUUUUUCAUUCCCAUUAGACUAUCACAAAAUAACCAUUUGGGAUAGGGUGGCCUAAAGGCCAAUGCCAAUGGACUAGUUGGCAAAACGGGAAACUUCGUUUUAAAGUGAAGUGCAAAAAGGUAUUUACUGGGGGUAAAAGGAGGAAAAGACAUUGAGGGAAUUUUGUCAUGGAUCUUAUCCCUUAACGUUUUAGCCGCAUAAUAAACUGUCCUUUUUAGAUGGAGAGGAUCAUAUACAAUUUGAAAGAAGUUUUGAAAAGCUUGAAUUUCUCGAAUAUGCGUACCUUUGUUUUUCUUCGAUUUCCUCUGCACAGUAUGAAAAGCAAGGAUCAAUUCAGGAAGCAAAGUAACAGGAUCUAUACGAUCGGUUUGGCGCUUGAAAUAGCACUGCCACCAUCGAUAGAAUGUUUCUAUGCAUGCAAAAGAUGAUGUAUAUGGCUUUAGUUCGAAAAUAAGCUUUUGCCGCUGAGCCCGACGCAAGGUAGACCUCCAGACAUGCUCUAUAAGAGGUUGCCUCAAAUCAUCUAAACACUUGUACAAUGAAUUUGGCUUAAUUUGAACUAAGCCAAAUUGUCUGGCCACAUGGUUAAGUUGAUAGCCGUACACUCCAUACGGGCUUCCAGCAGUCACCCUACUGGACAGAAAGGUGGGAGUGAGGUAAGCUUCCCAGAUGGCAUUAAUAUCUACCUCAUCUUCAGUAGAAUCAGUUGGGAACUUUGCCGUAAACCAUGUAGGCCCAUGAGAUCUAGUGGUAAAGGGAGCCAUCGAAGGUGUGAAAGAUGUGCAACCUAGAAAGGCAUUGUAAGCCACUGCAAACAAAUCUGGAGAACUCCUAUUGUCGUACUGGAGCAUGGCCAAACCUAAACCUUCGACUGACCUAUUAUCAUAGGCUUUCGAAAGAGCAGGGGGACAGGUGUACUGCUAAUUUUGUUCUGAAAUUGGCUAAAAGCCACAAUUGAAACAACCAGAUGGGGCCAGGAAUAAUAAGGCUGCUACCAGGUUGGAAAUCUUUUAUGCUGGAUACUGCGUGGUUCAAACUCUCAUAUAAAGAUCCUAAGAUGAGCUUACUCAAGCAAAUAUCUCUCCCUUCAUGCAAUUGGAUUGCUAAGGUUGUAAACUUCUUAGGGAUCUGAAUCGAUCUUGAGCAGAAAAUAUAUAUAGACAACCAAUAAGUCAGAAAAGCGAUAUGCUCUUGAUCAGACGCUGUAGUACUAGAAGUGUUAUAAUGGUCAAUGAUGAAAUUGCCAUAAGCAGGUCUCGAAAAAUCGAAAGAUAUCUCCGAUGAAUGGGUGUCAGGAUCGAAAGUUUGGCCUAUAGGUUUCAAACCAACUAGACCGGCAACGUCUAGUAAGGUAGGUGUAAACCUAUUUCCAGAAAUGAAGGGCAACAAUGAUCAUCUCAUUAUGAUAUUUAGGUCCCUGACGGGAUAGCUGAAUGAGAUCAAAAAUUCCCAUUUCUUUCCAGAAGGAACUUUUGAUUUUUUCCACUUUAUCCAGCCAAUCAAGAUAUUUCUCAUUGUUUUCUAUCUUGGGUUCGGUUCUAAACUUGGAUUUCAAAAAGCUUAGGUCAUAUGGACCUUUUGAGAAAAUGAGAGGCAGUUGUUCCUCGCUACAAGGAAAAACAGUGUUAAGUUUUUUCUGAUCGUCGGAGUCAUCCGGCAAAGGCCUUAGGUAUGCAUGCGAUGAAUUUGGGCAUGAGAUGAUUACCUGGGAUUUCCAUAUUUUGUCUUCAGCUUCUUUAACAUCCGGUUCUUCCAUAAAUUGAGGAUUUCCGAGAAGAUUGACAUUUGGUUCAUGCUGUUUUGUUGAUUGAGAAGAAGAACCUUCAGCGCACGUCAUGAAGUUAUAAAUUUUUGGUUAAAAGAGCGAUGAACAGUGUUGAAUCGUAAGGAAGAAGGAGGAUACGGUGAAAAGAGUAAAAAUACUAAAAGGAGGCAAAGUGAGAGUAAAAGUAUGACUUAGGGUUAUAUAUAGCCUUUGAUGUUUGACAAAUGUCAACCAUCGCAUGGAACAGUUGUUUUUUGAUAGUUCCCAAUAACAAACAUGGCCCACUAAGCUAUGAUGGAGACAGUUUAAAAGAUAAAACCUUUAAAGUGCCAUUUUUUUCAAAAGAGUGACGUCACGCGGAAGAGUCAUACUUUAUCGAAAAUUUUCAGAAACGUCAAGUUUCUCUUGAUCGAAAAAGAGUUUAAACAUAACGUUUCUGGGGGGCAAUUUGUUAGCCGAUAUUUGUGAAAAUGCUAUCAUUUAAUGCAGUCAAAGGUUUUGACCUGAAGAAAUGGAUUUAGCUUUGUGAAGGAAUUUAUCGAAAAUAUAUCCUCGGCAGGAGUCGAAGAAACCGGUUCUAAUUCGAUGGAUAAAGGCAGUUAUCGAAGCGCCUUCAGAUUGUGGAUGAGAUCAAGCAGUUAGCAACGGCUAGUUUCGAUUUUGAAAUCGAACAGAUAUGAUUAAGUAGUUAUAGGACUAUUUGUGUAAAUAGUAGUUUUUCUUAGGAAAAACGGGUCACAAUUCAAUCAUACUAAAAACUUACACUCAAUACUGUCCGUAUGGAAGCGACAAACGAGUCACAAGUUGCAAAGUAUGAAUAUGUGCACCAAUUUUCAUUAAGUCUUUACAAAUUCAAUACAGUUCUUUAAACACCUUUGCAAUUUACUUAACCUUUUUCGAAGUAUUUUCUUCUACUGCUAUUCUUUAUAGAUUUUCGAUUGAAUUCAACACGGAUUGGAUUCAGUUAUUUACACUUUGUUCUUGUCUUUUACUUUAUCAAAAUACUUUACGAACAAGUAUUACAUUCAUUUCAUACCAUAAAAAGCACAAUAUGCUCCUAAGAUUUACUGGUUGAUCUUGCAAGUAAACAUCAUUGAAACCAGCGAUUGUUUAUCAAAAAUCAAUGUAAACAGUUUCAGAGAUUCGUUACAGCAUAACAUCAAUAGAUGAAAAAAAAAAAACUUGCAAGAAGUUGCAUAUAAUGAAUCUAUUGUUCAAUGACCAAUAAUAGCAUGACUGAUGUAUUCUCGCACACCCACUCCACCAUGAGGCAACUUUGUCAAUUUUUCUUUUUCUUUCUCUCAGAUCAUUUGAACUAUGCCUAUGUCUGACUUUGUGAUUAAAAAAAUUAACUUAUAAUCAAAUGUGGUUCGACAUCUUUUUUUUUAUUUUAUCAUAGAAUAUGUGUGAUUCACAUCUUAAAAUUUCAAAAAUAAAAACUAUAAUUGUUCAAUUACCGAUAUAAUUAAAAUGAGGAAUGUUAAAAAACAUCAAUAUAUUUCUCAGUCAUUUGAUAAGCAAUAAAAAGAAAGACUCAAGAAAAAACUUCAAAAUAACAUACCAUUUUAUCCCGUUGGGUUGUUUUAUUGUCGCCAUACCAACUCCCAUAUUUGUUGCUUAGUCGCUUUCUUAUUUUGGCUAUAUGGUUUUUUGUUUUGAUCGCUGUUAAAGCUCAAUUAUUUUUCCUGCUAAAGUAUCAUUUUUGUAUCUCUUUAUCUCUUAUUCGGGCACAUCUUGUGUUUGGAUUUGAGUUCUUUUAAAAUAUAUUUGUUGAUUAAAAAAACAACAUAUGAUUCCUCUUGUAGAAGUCGCAAUAUAUAGAGAAAAAAAUCCACAUGAAUAAAUUUAUGUUAGAUUAAUAUAAGUUAUCAUCACUAUUAUUCAGGUACAUCUUGUGCUUGGAUUUGAGUUCUUUUAGUACAUCUUUGCCAAUUUAAAAAAAAAAAAAUACAACAUGUGAUUCCUCUUGUAGAAGACACAAAAUAUAUAAAUAAAGAAAUUCACAUGUAACGGUUUGUGUUGGACUAAUAUAAGUUGUCAUCACUCAAUUACAUGACAAAUCCAUAUGCAAUGAUAUAUAUGUUAAAGAGUAUUAUAAGUUGCCAUCACUCAAUUCAAUACAGAAGAAGUAGAAAAUUACAUCACCUGACCAUGAGAUUAUUUUGGUACAAAUUUGGCCUUCAUGUGCAUUGAGUUGGAAUUCUUAGAGUCAUAGAGAAAAAUAUUAGAAACAAACACUUGAAAGAAUUAAGAAAUAACAUCAUAUCCAUAUAAGAGAAUAAACCGAGCAUUGCAAAUGAAAGAGGAUAAGUAGAGAAAAUUACAUUAUCUAACCAUAUGAUUCUUUUGGUACAAAUCUAAACGUAUUCUACUUUAAUUUCCUUUUUAUUUCCUUCAUAUGGAUUGAGUUUGAAUUGUUAGAGUCAUAGAAUUUAAAUUGGCCAUAACAACAUAACAAUAAAAAGAAUGGCAAUAAGGUUGAAAGUGUGCAAGUAAAAGAGUUAAAAAUAUAGUGAUUUCAUAGUCUAAUGAUAAUCAUCAUGAGUAGUAGAAAAAGCCUUAAAAAUAAAUAUGAAUACGGUAAAAAGAGUUACUCAAAUCAAUAGGCAGUAAGAAGCUUAUGAAUGAACGAUGGAUGCUUAAGAAAAUUUGUUAAAAAGGGGAAAUGUGGGGUAAGUGGUGGUUACAAAUGGUGAAAGGGAAUGUGAAAAAUUAUGGACUAAAUUCAUUCAAUUCGUAGGUUAUCAAUAUAAAACAAUGAGUAGUGGAAAGAGCUACACAAAUUAAUUGGAAGUUACAUAAUAAUUUUUUCAAAAUAGAUUAUAAAUAAAAAAUGAGUAGUGGAAGGAGUCACAAAUUAAUUGAAAGUUACAUAACAAAGAAGUCAAAAAUAAAGGAAAAAAGAGUCAUAUCAUAUGGCAUAAGUAUGUCAGAUUAAUUGAAAAGUGGAGGCUUUGGUGAGGUGACACAUAAAUCUUGCUCUAUAUUUUCUUCAAUCUUCUAAAUCUUCCACAUCUUCAGUUUGGUCUGUUUGGUCCUUAUGACCUGAUUCGUUGUCAGAGUGCAAUCUGAAGAAAUCCGCAAGUGUUGAUUUAGCUUACAUACUUACAUGGUUAAAUGCAUUAGACAAUGAUACAUCUUACAUUAUCCUUCUAUUCUUCUUCUGCAAAUAUGGUGUUUUAAUGGUUAGAGAUCCAAUUGAGGAAGAACAUUCAGUGUCAAUGUUGUCACGUCCAUUUUGCUAUCCAAACAAAAAGGAAUGGAAUGUAACUUGAGAAAACAAUUAACUUUUAUUCAAUGUUUGAAAUAAAUAAAAAAACGCAGAUAAACAACAUAUUAAAUUUAAGAUAGAAUUUAAUACACACAUUUUCUAAAUUUGAGGUGAGGUCAUCCAACUUCAGUCGUGUCAAUUGUUCUGCAACUUCAUCAAACAAUACAAAUAUUGUUGAGUUCGUAGAGUGGUUGACCUGGAGCUCCAAACGGUACCUAUAGAGAUUAUUUAAUCAUUACUUCAAGCCACAUGUAUUGAAUUUUGGGGAAAAAAAUAAUCACUUCAAAUGACCUCACAUAGUCUUUGGAUAGUCGACUUUUUUCUUACAAUGCCCACAAUUGAAGUCUGUCUCAGUGGCAGACACAAUUUUUCUACAAUGAGAGCAAGAAACAUAAAACAAUCCAUUUUUUAGUAGAAUGUCAUCAACUGUUGCAACACAGUUAUAGACAGCAGCACCUUGCAAGUAAAGUUGAAAGUAUGACACACAUUGCGAUAAAACAAAAAUUAAGGUUUAGAGAAUAUUUAACCAAGUGUUGACCUGAUUUACUUCCGAAACUGCCAUUGAUAAAAGCUCAGAUAUAGUCUUCAAAUCAACAGUAGUAAAAGCCAAAUCUUCAAUUUCUUUCACAACACUGGUUUUUCCCAUACAACGAUGCAACAACAACACAUAAUUAGAAAACAUGCAACAUAAUAUAAACUUAAGCAUUUAAACAUCAGUAAAGCGACACACUUGGAUGAACAAAUAAGAUCAGCAACUUCAGGGGUGUCUGUCUAUGUUGAUAUAAAUUGUUGUGGAUCUUGAAGACGAAACAUAAAACUCACCUACAACAAUACAUCACAUAUUCAACGGUUGAAGAGAGGGUCAGUUGGAUAUUAAAUGAUAUGGUAUGAUUUGUUACCUUGGUACUGUUUCACCAAAGUCGAGGUAAAAAUUGCCACAUUUGGCUUAGGAGCAGCAUGCAUUUGAUCUUUUAGUUUUUGAUUAAACAUUGAAGCGAAUCAUAGUCAUCCCAUAGUGAUACCUUCAAGAUAUUCCCACUGCCAAAAUUUUCAAAGGAUUAUAAAGUUUGUUAACUAAUUUUUCCGGUAAACUUAAUAACAAAAUGAGAAUUAAAUUAUGGGAAAAAAUUAUGUUGUACCUUCCAUCUCCCAAAUGAAGUGUCAGCAUGUCAACUCUCCCGUUGACAGUUGUUUUCUCCUCAAUUGGACCUACAUCAAUUAUAAAUCUAAUCACAUCUGUUUCGCAUAUAAAUGUUACAUGUUUUACACAAUAUAAUAGAUGUGCAUGACAUUUAAUAUAUUUUGAUAAACCAACCUGCUAACACCUCUUUCCCACAACAUUUGGGCAGAUCAUUGAAAUUAAAAAAUUCAAAGAUAUGGCGAGGGAUUGUGUUGUCUUCCGAGCCCUCCUCAGUCACAACUGUGCCACCAUAGAAAUGAAGCAUCGAGGAAUUUUUUCCGGCCACAACAUAUUUCUCCUUGUUUUUUGAGACCUCAAAGCGCGAAAUGACAUAUACCUUGCCUUCUUGCAAGACUCUCCUCAAUGAAGGUGAGAACCUCAUUGGUAUUGUAGCAUGGAUGCAAUUUUCCUAGAAAACAUUUCUAAAUAGGAAUUAGUCUAAGAUUAUUUGUGAAGGAACAACAAUAUAAUAAGAGCCAUGACAAACACCUUCUCAUCAAUUAGCACCAUAUCUGUACUAAUCAUUUCUUUUUUCUUUGUUAUAUUCAGUGUGUUCCACAUGCGUGCUAUCCUAACUUUGAUCCUGGCAUCAGGGGCAGCAUUGGAGAGUUCGUUGAGAAAGGUAUGCACACCACUGUCGUUGACUUUUCCGACCCUUCAAAAGUAAAGAACAUGAAAUUAGAUUAGACCAGAACAGUUAGCUUACAUGGCAGAGGAAAACUACAAGAAAGUGGUUUACAUGGUUUUGGUGAUAUCAAUGGCAGACAUGGGAGGGAAGCCUAGAGAUUAUGAGCGAAUCAAUGAAGAUAUAUGCGACAGAAUGAGUAGAAAAUGAAUGACACCAGUGCUGAUUAUAUAUUUGUUAGGAAAAUAUGUUAUUGAAAUGGUCUAAACCGCAACAUAUUUUUUAGGCUUUAUGAGAAAGAAUGUAAAGAGACACACCCAAAUUGUAAUUGUAUCCCUAGGCUUUAUGUUGUUACGGAUGCUAUUUUAUAUAAUCAUUGAAAUGGUCUAUACUGAUUAUUAUUUAUUUUUAUUUUUAGUCAUAAAUAAAAAUAUUGUGAACCUUCUUCAUUGUGACCAUUAUUUUUGUAUGAACCGGUAUACUAAAUCUGUAACUUAAGAAUAAAGAAUUGGAAAACAUUGCAUGAUGACUAAUUAACCUCUAUAAGGAGUUACAAUAAGAAAUAAUUGACUGGCACACAAUUUUGGUAAAAAGAAGUUACACAUAUAAUUGCCAGCCGUGUGUAAUAAAAGUAAUAAGUAAGAGGUGUAACUGAUCAUCACUACAACAUAAUCAUUCAAGUGUUGGCAAUCAUCAUUAAUAAAAAAAAUAAGCAAAUGAUUUUUGGUAAAUGGGGUUACACAUAGAUUGCCAUAAUAGAUUCAUUGUAUACAAAAUAAAUAUAUAACAUAUAAAUAUAAAAAAAUCUCGAUGAUAAAAUUUUUGGCAUCUUAAUAUAAAACAAUUUCAUUUAUCCAUAAAAAAUAAAUAUAAAUAUACAAAAAUAUCGAUGAUAAAAUUUUAGGGGUUUUAACAUUGACCAAUUUCAGUUGGCAAAUAUAAAAAUAAAAAAUAUAGACCAACUUUAGACUAAAAUUUAGGGGUCUCCCAUAUGACCGUGAAAAUUUACUUUUAUGGAAAUUUAGUAUCUAAUCUAAUAUAGACCUAAACAUAUAUUCUGGCCUAAAUAUUUUGCACAAUCGUAACCGGCAAUGUUGGGAAAAUUUAAAAAGGCAAGGGAAGUUUAAAAAUUAGAAAAGGGGCAUUGGUUAGGUGACACAUAAGUAAAGUGUAGUUUAGAAUGAGAGAGAAUGCAUACAAAGAGAUAAUUAGAAAGGGGGCAUUGGUAAGGUGACACAUAGGAAAAAUGUAGUUUAGAAUACAUGUAUAGACUAGGUUUAUAACCCGUGCGUUGCACGGGUUUAUUUAGAAUAUAUAAGGAUGAGUUAAGUAUGUUUUUUUUUUUGUUGGUCAAGUAGCAUAGUGGCUAGAGCUCACACAAUUUAAUUGUGGAGAAGUGGAGUGUCCGGGGUUCGAACCCCGGCUCCUGCAUAUAAUAUGCAAUAUCCCUACCAACUGAGCUAACCUCACGGGGAUUAAGUAUGUUUUUUAUCUCUAUAAAAUAUACUAACUUUUUGUUUUAGUUCUUCUAAAUUUUUCCUUCGACUUAUAAAAUUUUUAAUCACCACUUUUAGCCCUUAUUUUUAUGUCAACUCAUGCGUAAAUUUUGUAUUUUUUAAUUAAAUUGUGCAUUAAUGUGUAGAAUAUUGUAAAAAAACUCAAUUAAAAAAAGAAUUUUUUCACAAAACAUGAAUUAAUUAAGAAUUUUUAACGCAAAAAAAAAUAUAAAAAUUCAUAUUUAAUUCAUGUGUUGUUCAAAAAUUCUAAUUUUUUUUAGGAAGACAUUCUUAUAAUAUUAUAAACUUUUAUUCAAAAAUAUGAAUUUUACCUAUAAGUUUGCUUAAAAGGUGAGACCAAAAGUGAAGAUGAAAAACUUUUGAGGGACUAAAAGUCAAAUAAAACUUUUAGACAGACUAAAACAAAAAAUUGCUACAUUUAUAAGGACCAAAAACAUAUUUAACCCUAUAAGAAUUUGAAGAGUAGUGCUAUGGAUCUGAAAAAUUUGUAUAAUAGAAUAAUUUGAAUAUAUCUUCUCGUACAAAAAACAAUAAAUAGUCUAAGAUAUGUGUGAAAAGUAAGAAAGAUAAACAAAUACCUUAUUAUAAAAUUGAAGAGGGGUUGGAGAAAGUGAUGAUAACUCAAACAAAAAUUUAUAUAUAACAAAAAUAUUUAGCACAAUAGUAAAAUUAAAAUAAAAUAUUUAUGAUUUGGAUAGUGUAUAUACUUUAAUAAGAGUUUUAAAGAGGUGAUUGACUCAGUUUAUGAUUUUUUAUUUGAGACUAAAACUUUGCUAAAUAUCGCUUUAUUUUUGCAAUAUCAACUUUAUUUUCUACUAAUUGAAAAUGAAGACAAAAUGUGAUUUUUUUUUUCCAUGCAUGUAUGCUAACACUAUAGGGUAAGCUAUGGUGGUGAAUCAGUCCUUUUAAUAGCCUAACAUAUGGUUGUGAAUAUGUAUCAACCAAUCCAAUAAAUUGUAACCGAUUAGUUAUAACAAAAAUGACCUUAUGUUGUAUUGAAUUCAAGCUAAUGGAAGGUUCAACGUGAAUGGGCCGACAUUAAAAAAUGAAGCGUAAUGCUGGAUAUAGUGAAUGGAAUUUUCGUGAAAUAUAGCGAAGGUGCAUUUGCUGUUUAAUUUCCUCACUUUCCUCUCAUAUUUUCCACUAAAAAAGGAAGUUGAAUGUUUGACUGUUAAUUAAAACACAAUGUGUUAAUUCGGGACAGUCGCUAUGCAUAUCCUUCGCUGGAUAUAACACUACACAAAAAUGAAUUAGAGUAGUAGUUAAGUAGUUAAGAGAGGUGUUCAACUGUAUAUGAUAGCAGAAAUAGUACCAUUGAGGAAACACUCUGAGAUUUACUUGGCGUACAAAACAUCAGGCCCAACCUUUCAGAAGACAACAUAAAAACCAAGACGAUUACACUUGGAUCAACAGAACCUAAUAAAGAUAACAACAUCAACUAUAAAAACAUGGAGUCGAACCUUUUUUUUUUUUGGAGAAAAACAUUUAGUUAAAAAAAAAAACUGAGUUUGUUACAUUCCGAUUUGCAUAAGAAAAAUUAUGUUAUCAAAUUAAACAAUACUACCCAAAGCUAUAUAAGUUGAAGAUAUAUUAAUAAGAAUUUCCUGAAUUAAGAACCACACUUAGGUAUAUGCUGUCUAUCAUCAUUGCUAUGAAAUUUUCCUUAACAUCAGCGCUUCAAAUAUAGUUAACAAAAUGUGCUAAAUGUUGAGAAGGCAAUAAACACACAACACAAACGGGUAGAAAUUCAUUUAACAAUUUUUUAUGUUUACUCUAAAUAUCAUGGUCACCAAACACUAAUAGGAACAAUAUUUAUUGAAUGACAUGAUUAAAGGUGCCUCAUACCAGAUACAAAUGAUUGACUACUAAGAAAACAAAAGGAUAUAAACCACGUAAAAACAAAUUACAAAUAGGCUGAAUACUUCAAAUAAACUCUAAAUAAAGGAAGAUGAAUCAGAAAUAAUAUGAUUGAACGGGAACAAACAUAGGUAAACGAAAAGUAGUAUUUGAUGAACCUAAAGAGGUGAACCAAUGGACAAAUAAUUGAGCAAUGAAAAAACUUCUCUAGGUGGAGAUGUGCAUAAAAGAGUAGAAAAUGAAUGUGGGGUAAGUGGUGUUUAUAAAGGGUGAAAGGGAAUGUGAAAAAUUAUGCACUAAAUUUGUUUAAUUUGUAGGAAUGAGUUACACAAAUUAAUUGGUAGUUACAUAAUAAUUUAUUCAAUUUGUAGGUUAUAAAUAAAAGAUGAGUAGUGGAAGGAGUCACGCAAAUGAAUUAAUAGGAAGUUACAUAAUAAAGAUGUAAAAAAUGAAGAAAAAGAGAAAGCCACUUGGUGAAUGCUUAGAAAAUUAGUUAGAAAAGGGGGCAUUGGUGUGGUGACAUGUAAGCAAAGUGUAGUUUAGAAUACAUGUAUAUAGAGAUAGAGAUAGAGAUAGAGAUAGAGAUAGAUAGAUAGAUAGAUAGAUUAGAUAUAGAUAGAUAGAUAGAUAUAGAUUAACAUGUGAGUCUUCUUGACUCUUAGCUAUAUGCACAAGCUAAGUCUUCUUGAGUCUUCAUUAAUUGCAAUUACUACUAUGUCCUUGGAUCUUCAUUGCUUUGAACUUUCUUUCCUCCUUACAUACAAUUUCAUUUACAGUGUUUUUUUUCCCUUUCCCUGCUUUACUUAACAAAUCAUCACUUAUUUGCGACUUGUGGUAAAUAUUAACUUUCAAAUAUCUUUAAAAAAUAUCAUAAAAAAAUAUUAAGAAGAUAUUAUAGGAAAUAAUUGAUUGAAGUGGCCUCAAAUAAUAAUAAUUCACAACAUUAGUUUUCUCUGAAACUAUAUUUGACUGAGGAUGUGUUAUGACUUUGUUUUGGUAGGUGGCACACUCUAAUUGACCAAUGGUAUAUACCAUUGGUACUUUAAUGGUACACAAGUGGAAUCCGCAAUAAUAUCAUCUUUUCUUAGAAAGUGUGUGUUGUUAGGAAACAUGACAUCCAUGAAAAGAAGGAGAGAAAACUAACAAACUCUUUGUAUUGAUGGAAAUGAAAUAUUACAAAUGAGUGAAAGUAACCCUCUAAUAGGAUGAUUACAAGUUAUUUAUAUUACUCUCUACUACAACUAAUAUGCCACUAAUCUAUAUCUCUAAUAUAUGUUUUGAAAUAUCAUUUACGUUCUCAAACCUUCGUUUAGUAAAUGCUAUAAUUUUCAGUAAUGAUAUACUCAUCAGUUAUCACAUUUAGAAAGGGUUAUCAACAUUAUAUAGAUAAGAAAGGUUAUCAACAUACUCUCAGAUAUAUUUAUUUUUAAUUUUAACACAGGUGAUAAGAAAAAUGACAUAUGCUACAUUUAUUUUUAGUAUAUGAGAGGACUUUAACGAGAAAUUGCAUAUUUGAAUCACUUUCCUAAAGUAAAUAUUAACCACUGUCCACUGCUAAGCUUUGCUCUCCAGCUUUCAAAUUUUGUUUCUUACCUAACCAUUGAAAAACAGUACUGUUAUUCAUUAAUUCACAUACUAUAUGCACUUCCAGCCACUCAAAUUUAAGGUUUGGGGUUGGUUACGUAAAGUAAAUGUAUUAGCACGCUAAACGUCUAUAGUAUUCUAUUGGAAUAUCUUGCAUUUUUUUAUUUUUGACUAAAAUUGAUUAUUAUUUGCUUGCGAAAAAGAUUAAUGAGAUAACAAAAAACGAAAAUAUUUUGUUAUAUUUUUUGAUUUGGAAAGACGAAGUCUUUUGCCCCCGUAUCCGUGAAGGAUCAAAAUCAUGUAGUUCAAGGUAAAAAAAUCGAGUGAUUUGUUCGAUGUUUUUUAAUCGUUUUUGAAAAGGUUUUAAAAAAUAAAAGCCAAAAGGCAAAAUGAAAAGUUGUUUAGUGUUUUUUCAGUUUUAAGAAAAAAGUUUAAAUAUGUUUAAAAUGGAUUAAACAUACCUAAUAUGAGAAAGUGAAGUUUUUGAGUCCUAAGUACCAUUGAAUCCAAUAUUGACAAGUCUAUUUUUGAAAUUGAGUAGUUGUGAUCAGCAUUAUUGGAUCCAUACAGAACUUUUCAAAAUAUGGAUCAAUCAUUUUGAGUGCCAAAGACAUCAAAGUCUAUGCUUUUCAACUACAUUUUUAUAUGUGAAUCAACCAUAAUUUUUGUAUCAACUACAUGAAUCAACCAUAAUUUUCAACGUGACUUGAAUUAAUUAUCUAUUCAAUUGAAUUAACCACAUUUUUAUACAUGAUUAACUAGGUGUCGUAAGUGUAUGACAAAAUAUGUGCAUGAGGACUGAUAUCUUCUUUGGAAUAUAGAAGUUUACGGUCUUCAUAUUGUCAAUGGCCAUAGAGUCAAGAGGAGGAAAGUGAGGUUUUAUUUCUAGGCGAGUUUUAGCAUGGGGCAGUUGUCAAAUUGCUCCAUCUUAGAUCAAUUUUGUUUUAUUUACUAUUAGUUGUACAUCCUGAAUUUUUAUAUUCCAAUUUAUAACAAUAUUCAUUUAUAAUAUAUCAGUUUUAAUUUUAAUUUAACGGAGACUAAAAUAUUUUGAAGGGACAAAAAUGUCAUUAUUUAUAAGAACUAAAAACAAAUUUAGUUAUAUUUAUAAGCACUAAAAAUAUAUUUAACCCUAAUUAAUAUUAAAAAGUUUUGUGGAUGGGAUUAAUAUUAAGAUACAAACUAAAUUUAUUUCUUUAUAAAUAAUGUAGUAAAUAUAUAUUUACGCCAUAUUUUUUUUAGCCCAAAUUUAAACAUGUCUAUGUUUUCAAAUUUAAAAAAAAAAAUGUUUUCAAAUUAAAAAAUUAUUGAGAAUGAGCUGGACCUAUUAAAUUUUUAAACGGAAGAUUAAAAAAUAAUGUAUUUACAAAUAAAUUAAUUUGAGUCAAAUUAUAAUUGAGUAAGGCUAUAAAUUAGAAUUUUUUUUUCUUCUAAGAAACAUGAUCAUUAGAGUUUUAAAUAAUUUUGAAAUAAUGGUCCAUAAACCACUAAUGAUCUUUGCCGACAAACAAGCAUUAUUACUACUAUUCUCUCAAAAAAAAGCAUUAGGGUUAAUUAAGUUUUUGGUCUCUAUUAAUAUCUACAGUUUUGUUUUUAGUCCCUAUAAAAAUAAAUCACAUUUUUUAGUCCCUACAAAAUUUUCCGUUAGUGUUUUUAGUCCCUGUUAAAUUAAAAUUUGUUUAAUUAUGCUUAAAAUUUUAAAUUUUUUAAUGAUUUUUUACAUACUUGUUUAAAACAUUAUAAAAGGUUCCGCUACCAUAAAUUAGCUCAAAAUUUUAUUUUUAGGUCCAAAUUUUCGUUAGUUUUAUCUUGAAUUUUUGGCGUUUUAAAAAAAUUAUAUUUAAUUCAUUACAUGUUAAAAAAUUCUAAUUUUUUAUAUAAGAGAUUAUUAUAAUGUUCUUAACAUGUCUAUUAAAAAUCAUUUAAAAAUAUAAAAGUUUAAGUAUAAUUAAACAAAUUUCAAUUUAACAGGGACCAACACAUACUUUUAGUCCUUGUAAAAUUAAAAUUUGCUUAAUUGUGCUUAAACUUUUAAAUUUGUAACAUAUUUUUCACAUACUUACUUAGAAUAUUAUACAAAGUUCCUCCGCAAAAAAAGUAAUUUAAAAUUUUAUUAUUAGGUCCAAAUUUUCAUUAAUAUAAUUUUGAAAAUUUGGCUUUUAGAAAAAUUCAUAUUUAAUUCAUUACAUGUUAAAAAACUAAAUUUUUUUUACAAAAGAGUGUCUUACGAUGUUAUGAACAUGUCUGUAAAAAAUCUUUCAAAAAUUUAGAAGUUUAAGCAUAAUUAAACAAAUUUUAAUUUAACAGGGACUAAAAACACUAACAGAAAAUUUUGUAGGGACUAAAAAGUGUGAUUUAUUUUUAUAGGGACUAAAAACAAAACUACAGAUAUUUAUAGGGACCAAAAACUUAAUUAACCCAAAGCAUUAUUACUAUUACUAUUCAUUCACAUGUGAGUUUUAUUGAGUCUUACCUUUACCAUAUGUACUGCAAACCAUCCAAAAACAGUACUGUUGUCGGUUCAUUCAUAUGCUAAAUCCUCUUCAGUCUUAACUCCUUUCCCAUUUCUCUAAUACGACGUCCUUACUUAACAAGGACCACUCCUUGUUAAGGACACUCAUUGAAAGAAGAAAAAAUGAGUCCCCGUUAAGGAACAAACAAUUAUAUAAAGAUUCUCCCUCUUCUAAGCAACUAACAGAUCCUACGUUUAAAAGAAUAAUGAAAUAUGUAUUAUUUGGUCCCACUUACAGAAGUAAUAUUUUUCAGCAAUCAUAUAUUAAACAGGUAAUACUACAUUUAUAAACACAUUCUCAAUAAUAUUACAUUAUUUUUUUAAUUUUCACACAGGUGAUUAGAAAACUGAUAAUAUGAUGGUAAAGGAGUAAAAGUGUACAUAAAGAUUCCGAUUGCUUUAAUUGAGUGUGCAACUUUUUCUUUUUCUUUAAACAAUGUGAGCUUUGCUUUCCAGCUUUCAAAUUUAGUUUCAUACCCAACAAAUAAGUCUUCUUGAGUCUACCUUUGCUGUAUGCACAAUCAACCAUUCAAUUAUUUCUAUCAUUCAAUCUUCAUAGUUCUUAAUUUCCUUCAAAAUUUCAUCUAAAACUUUUAUCCUUGCUGGUUUACUAUAACCAAUCAGAGAUGGCUGCAGUUUUGAUUGGAGGUGCAUUUCUGGCUGCUACUCUUCAAACCUUAACGGACAAACUAGCUUCAAUCGAGUUUCGUGAUUAUAUCACAAAAACAGAGUUGAAUGAAUCAUUGAUAGAUGAGAUGGAAACAAGUCUACUUACUCUUGAGGUUGUACUAGAUGAUGCAGAGGAGAAGCAGAUCCUCAAACCCAGAAUCAAACAAUGGUUGGAUCGGUUAAAAGAUGCAAUCUAUGAUGCUGAGGAUUUGUUCAAUCAAAUCAGCUACAAUGCCCUACGAUGCAAGAUGGAGAAGAAACAAGCGAUCAAUUCUGAAAUGGAUCAGAAUAUUACAGAUCAGUUUCGGAACUUGCUUUCAACUACAAACUCAAAUGAAGAGAUCAAUUCUGAAAUGAAGAAGAUUUAUAAAAGGCUGCAAACUUUUGUCCAGCAGAGCACCGCCAUCGGCUUGCAACACACUGUAAGUGGUAGAGUUUCUCAUAGACUGCCUUCAAGUUCAGUGGUAAAUGAAUCUGUCAUGGUGGGUAGGAAGGAUGACAAAGAGACAAUAAUGAACAUGUUGCUGUCACAGAGAGACACAACCCAUAAUGCUAUAGGUGUUGUUGCAAUUUUGGGCAUGGGAGGUUUAGGAAAAACUACCCUUGCUCAACUUGUUUACAAUGAUAAAGAAGUUCAACAACAUUUUGAUAUGAGGGCGUGGGCUUGUGUGUCCGAGGAUUUUGAUAUUAUGAGAGUAACCAAGUCUCUCCUUGAAUCUGUCACUUCCACAACUUGGGAUAGCAAUAAUCUUGAUGUCCUUCGAGUUGAGUUAAAGAAACAUUCAAGGGAGAAAAGAUUUUUGUUUGUAUUGGAUGAUCUGUGGAAUGACAGUUAUGAUGAUUGGGAUGAGCUAGUAAGUCCCUUCAUUGAUGGAAAACCUGGAAGCAUGGUGAUUAUAACAACGCGCCAAGAAAAAGUAGCUGAGGUGGCACACACAUUUCCUAUACAUGAACUAAAACUUCUAUCAAAUGAAGAUUGUUGGUCGUUACUCUCAAAGCAUGCAUUGAGAGUUGGUGAGUUUCACCGUACUAGAAACUCAACCUUUGAAGAAAUAGGCAGGAAGAUUGCAAGAAAGUGUGGAGGAUUGCCAAUAGCUGCUAAAACAAUAGGAGGACUUCUAGGUUCGAAGGUAGAUAUAAUAGAGUGGACAACAAUUUUGAAUAGCAAUGUAUGGAACUUACCAAAUGAUAAAAUUCUUCCUACUUUGCAUUUGAGUUAUCAAUGUCUUCCCUCUCAUUUGAAAAUAUGUUUUGCAUAUUGUUCUAUUUUUCCAAAGGGUCACACACAUGACAGGAAGAAAUUGGUUUUGCUGUGGAUGGCAGAAGGCUUUCUUGAUUAUUCACAUGGGGAGAAAACGAUGGAAGAAUUAGGUGAUGAUUGCUUUGCUGAAUUAUUGUCCAGAUCCUUAAUUCAACAAUCAAAUGAUAAUGGUCGUGGAGAAAAGUUUUUCAUGCAUGACCUUGUCAAUGAUUUGGCUACAGUCGUAUCUGGAAAAAGUUGUUGCAGGUUUGAAUGUGGUAAUAUCUCUGAAAAUGUUCGUCAUGUUUCAUAUAUUCAAGAAGAGUAUGACAUCGUAACAAAGUUUAAGCCUUUCCACAAUUUGAAAUGCUUGCGAACCUUUCUACCUAUUCACGUUUGGAGGUGCAACAAUUACUUAUCCUUCAAGGUGGUUGAUGAUUUGAUACCAUCACUCAAAAGGUUGCGCGUGUUAUCUCUAUCAAAGUAUAAAAACAUCACCAAGCUACCUGAUACAAUUGGCAAGUUAGUGCAAUUGCGAUAUCUAGAUCUCUCAUUCACUGAAAUUGAAAGCUUGCCUGAUGCAACAUGUAACCUUUACAAUUUGCAGACCUUGAUUUUAUCAAGUUGUGAGGGUCUCACUAAAUUGCCAGUACAUAUUGGAAAUUUAGUACAAUUGCAGUAUCUAGAUCUCUCCUUCACUGAAAUCGAAAGCUUGCCGGAUGCAACAUGCAACCUUUACAAUUUGAAGACCUUGAUUUUAUCAAGUUGUGAGAGUCUCACUGAAUUGCCGCUACAUAUUGGAAAUUUAGUCAGUUUACGUCACCUUGAUAUAAGUGAGACUAACAUAAGUAAGUUGCCUAUGGAAAUGCUGAAACUAACAAACCUUCAAACUCUAACCCUUUUUUUAGUGGGUAAGCCCUAUGUAGGGUUAAGUAUCAAAGAGCUAAGUAGAUUCACAAACCUACGGCGAAAACUUAUUAUUAAGAACUUGGAAAAUAUUGUUGAUGCCACAGAGGCAUGUGAUGCCAACCUUAAAAGCAAAGACCAAAUUGAGGAGUUAGAGAUGAUAUGGGGAAAACAAAGUGAAGAUUCACAAAAAGUGAAAGUAUUGCUAGAUAUGUUGCAACCACCAAUAAAUUUGAAGAGUCUGAAUAUUUGCUUGUAUGGUGGGACAAGCUUUUCGAGUUGGUUAGGAAAUUCUUCGUUUUGUAACUUGGUGUCCCUCGUAAUCACUGAUUGUGAAUAUUGUGCGAUACUUCCACCACUUGGGCAACUACCUUCUCUCAAGGACCUAGAAAUAUUUGGAAUGAAGAUGUUGGAGACAAUUGGCCCGGAGUUCUAUUAUGUCCAGAUUGAAGAAGGCUCUGAAUCUUUCUUCCAACCAUUUCCAUCCCUUGAGCGCAUAAAAUUUAACAACAUGCCAAAUUGGAAUCAAUGGCUUCCCUUUGAAGGAAUAAAUUUUGUUUUUCCUCGACUUAGAACUAUGGAGUUAGAUGAUUGUCCUGAACUAAAGGGGCAUUUGCCUAGUGACCUUCCUUGCAUAGAAGAAAUUAUGAUAAAAGGUUGUGCGAAUCUAUUGGAUACACCACCUACUUUGGAUUGGUUGCCGUCAGUAAAAAAAAUUAAUAUCAAUGGUCUUGGGAGUGAUGCUUCAAGUAUGAUGUUCCCUUUUUACUCUCUUCAAAAAUUGACCAUAGACGGUUUUUCAUCUCCGAUGUCUUUCCCAAUAGGCAGUCUUCCAAACACCUUGAAAUUUCUCAUAAUUAGUAACUGUGAGAAUCUAGAGUUCCUUCCUCAUGAAUACUUGGACAAUUCCACAUAUCUUGAGGAAUUAACAAUAUCUUAUAGCUGUAAUUCAAUGAUAUCAUUUACCUUGGGAUCUCUCCCUAUCCUCAAGAGUAUGUUUUUUGAGGGUUGUAAAAAUCUGAAAUCGAUAUCAAUUGCAGAAGACGCGUCAGAGAAGAGUCUCUCAUUUCUUAGAAGCAUUAAAAUAUGGGACUGUAAUGAACUUGAAUCAUUUCCCUCAGGUGGAUUGGCUACUCCAAACCUUGUUUAUAUUGCAUUGUGGAAGUGUGAGAAGCUUCAUUCACUGCCAGAAGCAAUGACCGAUCUUACUGGCCUUAAAGAAAUGGAAAUUGAUAAUCUACCAAAUGUUCAAUCUUUUGUCAUAGAUGAUUUGCCUAGCAGUUUACAGGAACUGACUGUUGGCUCUGUUGGAGGGAUUAUGUGGAAAACUGAGCCAACUUGGGAACAUCUCACUUGUCUUUCAGUGUUGCGAAUAAGCGGUAAUGAUAUGGUGAACUCGCUAAUGGCGUCAUUGCUACCUGCAUCUCUUCUGAGACUACGCGUUUGUGGUCUUACUGAUACAAACUUGGAUGGGAAGUGGUUUUUACAUCUCAGUUCUCUCCGAAACCUUGAGAUUGUUAACGCUCCCAAACUCGAGUCGUUGCCAAACGAAGGAUUGCCUACCUCUAUUUCUGUACUAAGUUUAACUCGCUGUCCAUUACUUGAAGCAGGGUUGCAGAGCAAGCAAGGGAAAGAGUGGCAUAAGAUUCUUCACAUACCUGCCAUAAUUAUUGAUGACAAAUUAAUCACAUGAGUUUCAUAUCUUGGUGAGUCUCUGAAAUACUUCUUUUUGUUUCUUUCUUAUUAUGUAAGGGUCAAUUAAUAUUAUUAAUUCAAUAAUAACAUCAAAAUACAAAAUUAUAACUCUAACUGAAUUUUUUUAAUCAUAGUAUUAAAUUCUGUAUCACCCCUGCUUCUGCACAAGAACUGUUUUAUUGACCAGGAACAGAUGUAAAUGAGAAAUAACAGCUGACCACAAAUAAGUUAGAUACUUUUUUUGUUUGUGAGUUGUGAUGUCAUAUAUAUUUGAAUGAGUUGGUUUUGUGUUCAUAGAAUAUCAUUUAUGCAUUAUCCAACUGUCUUUACUUAAUAUUGCUUCCUUGUGUUGGUUCCUUGUGAUUAUUCUUCUACCCUUUGCUUUGUAUGGCAGAUAAAGAUGCUUAAGAAAGUUAUUUGAUUCUAAAUUAUGUUUUGAUUUUGGGACUUUAUGUUUUGUUGUUUGCCAGUUCAUCAACCAGAUUUGGUGACUUAGUUUUUAUUUUCAAUUUAUUUUAUCUCUGCCCUGUUUGCAGAUCGACCAAGGGCAUCAAGUGAGAUUGAUGGCUUGCAACAAGAUGGCAGCAGUGGAAUCUAAGGUACAAAUUUAGAUAUUAGUACAUGCAUGUUCUAAUUCUCUUAUUUCUUUCCAUCAAUAACAUGGUAUUUCUUUUUUUAUCUUCUUUCUUGUUUGUUAUUGGUCCUUCAAUAAAUCUUGUUUACUCAAUUUCAAAUCUGCAACCAAAUUACUUUCACAUCAGUAUUGUGUUUUCCCCCUCCCCAGUUUAAAUUUUACAAGUUCUUGUUCAGAAGUUGUCCCUUGUGUAGAUUUAUUUGUUGUUAGUAUUUAUUCUAGUCUCUCUUCAAGUAUUUUGCAGGAUUUAGAAAAUGAGGUACAAAUAUUCUUUGUGAAAAUAAGUGUUUUUGAUAUCAAUUGUGUUAAAGAUGCUGCUCAAAUUGCUAAUGUUAAUAGCUUUGGAUUAUCAAAAUUAAUUUAAUGAGUUUUUUCUGUUGUUCCUCUUUGAGUAUCUUCAAUUACUUUCUUAUCUUUGUGAAACACUUCAUAAUUGUGAAAAGCUUGAGUAUCUUUUGUUAAUGCUUAUUUGAUUUUUUCAGGAGUGUGGGGUUCGUAGAUUUGUAUUGGCUGCAUUUUGUUAAAACAAGAGUUCUAACAAGAUGUCGGACAAGAUGUCUUGACAUGUUGGUGCGACAUCAUAGCGUGUCUUGUUUUGCUUUCUUGGAGACUGUAUUUUAAACGUGAGAUUCAUGAAGAUUCUCUGAAGAUUUGAUUCAUGUGGAGUUGACCAAGAAGCAUGUGGUUUCUAGAAGCAAUAAUAGGUAGUUUUGCUUUGACGUUUUCUUAAGUGUGAUGUUGUAACAUUUAAGGAAACAAUAUAUUUUCUUCAGAACUUUGUGUUGAAAAUCGUGUGGUUCAGCGGAUUGUUUGGCACGAGUUAUGCACCAAGCUCAUUCUGCACUCAAGCUAUAUAAAGGAAGAAUCAAGACCUAAUUCACCAUUGAAGCCGUAGUUCAAAAAGUGUCAUUUUUAGGGUUUUAGUUUGUCCUUGUUAUUUGUGAGCCACUCUUGUAUCACGCGUUGAUGCAUACAGUUGGACUGUAGUUGAGUUGUAAACUAUGAAUCACUCAAAGCUUCUAAGCACAAGUUGAAUCUCUGUUAGGAGUGUGUCUCCAUCACAGUUGUUAUUAUUGAGUCAAUCAUUGGGACUGUGGUUGAGAGGAAGGGAUAGAGGGAUCUCAUAUCUAGGAGAGUCUUAAAUUGAAGAUAGUUUUUAUGUAUGCUUCAAAUUAAUAUUAUCAUAGUGAAUUUCCUUCCUAGCUUGGUAGCCCCUACAUGUAGGUGACGUUGCACCGAACUGGGUUAACAAACAACUUGUGCAUUUUACUUCCUGCUUUUAUUAUUCACGAUUGUUGUUUGUUAUAUGUGUUGUCAUGACGUUCUGACGUCAUUCUUGACAUCUCGCUUGUCCUAAGAUCGUGUAUAACAUUUUUAGUGCGUGCUAGAAUUUCAAUUGGCAUCAGAGCAGACACCCUAUUCUGUUUCUGGGUGAGCUCCAGGGAAAAUAUUUUCUGGUACAAUGGAAAAGUAAGGAGGACAAGUUAACAGACCACUUGUUUUGGAUGAGUCCAACUAUGACUAUUGGAAAGUGCGCAUGGUGGCAUUCCUUAAGUCUAUUGACAAUAUGACUUGGAAAUCUGUUGUAAAAGGUUGGGAUCAUCCUCUAGUUAAUGAUAAUGAUGGUAAGGACACAACUGAGAUGAAACCUGAAGAGGAAUGGUCAAAGGAGGAAGAUGAGCUUGCUCUUGGAAACUCCAAAGCCUUGAACAAAUUUUUUAAUGGAGUAGACAAAUAUAUGUUUAGAUUGAUAAAUAUUUGUACCGUGGCCAAGGAUGCUUGUGACAUCUUGAGAACUACACAUGAAGGUAUAUCUAAGGUUAAGAUGUCAAAAUUGCAGCUACUUACCACUAAAUUUGAAAACUUUAAGAAGAAAGAUGAUGAAUCCAUUCAAGACUUUCACAUGAUCCUGGAUAUUGCAAAUGCUUCUGGUGCUCUGGAGAAAAGAUGACUGAAGAGAAGCUUGUCGUAAAAAUUCUUAGGUCUCUUCCCAAGAAGUUUGAUAUGAAAGUAACUGCCAUCGAAGAAGCCCAAGAUAUUAAGAACAUGAAAGUUGAAGAACUUAUUGAGUCACUUCAAACUUCGCUUAAUUACUGUUUUCGCCCCCUAAGUUUUCAAAUGUUGUGAUUUUGGCCCCCUAAAAAAACAACUCUUUCCAAGCCCUCUAUGUUUACUUUCUAUUGCAAUUUUAGCCCCCCAAUUUUGACCCAGUAAACGUACACGUGGGCGCCACAUGUGUAAUUUUUUUUUUGUUUUUUUAAUUUAAAAAAUAUAUAUAUUAAUUUUUUUUUAUUUUACACAUUUACAUGUGGCAUUUUUAUUUAUUUAAAAAAAAAAUUACACACGUGGCGCCCAUGUGUGCGCCACGUAUGUAUUGACUGGGUCAAAAUUAGGCUAGGGGGCUAAAAUUGGAACAGAAAGUAAACAUAAAGGGCUUGGAAAAAAUUGUUUUUUUUAGGGGGAAAAAUCACAACAUUUGGAAACUUAGGGGGCAAAACAGUAAUUAAGCCUUCAAACUUUCGAAAUGGCUAUCAGUGAUAAGUCUGAAAAGAGAAAAACAAAAGCGUUGCUUUUGUGUCUAAUACCAGUGAUGAUCAAACUCAAGGUGACCUUUUUUUUUUUUUUUGAAAACUCGGUAUCCGAUCCAAGAAUCGACUAAUCCGAGGGGACCAAUCCCACCGUCCACUUGCGGGGGCCCCGUUUAAAGCCAGAGCAAGCUCUGUAUGGACUUAGCCCACCGAAAUUGGCACUAGAGGGAAUCAAACCUGAGCCCUCUGGAGGAGCAAACUCCAAGAUCCCAAGCCAACCCCAAAUGGGUUAAACUCAAGGUGACCUUGAAACUGAUGAAGGAAUAUCUCAUGAGAUGGUGCUUCUUGGAAGACAAUUUAACAAUAUCCUGAGCAAAAUGGAUAGAAAAAGCAGACCUAAUGUCAAGAACAUCUCGUAUAACAUUAGCAAAAACUUGCUUCAACAGAUUUUCUUGAUUACAUCAAAAACACCAAGCCAAAUGUCUCACUCUUGAGGUAGUCAUACAAACUGUUGCGAAUCUGAUGAAAAUCACACCAAUAACAACUUGAUGUGUGGAGCAAGGGAUAAUCAAGCAACCAAAACAAAGUGUAUGGGACAAUUAAAUACAAGCCAAAAGUAGAAAACAACGGCGAGAAGAACACAAAGAAGAGAAGAACACAAUAAUUUGUUGACCCAGUUCGGUCCAAAUUGACCUAGUCUUAGGGAGAGAGCAGCCCUCCGAUCCACUAUAUGAUGAGUAACGUUACAAAAGAGAAAUGAACGGGUUACAAGAAUAAGUCUCCCUCCUAAUUCUACCCAAAGUCCAGCCUCUUCCUGUAACCAAGAGACUCGAUCCUAAUAGUGUUUCCCAAGGUGAAUCAACCCACAAACCCUAGUGUUUGUUCCAAAGAGACAAACUCUAUAAAAACCCUAGUUUUGUUAUUGCCUUUCUAAACCCUUGUUCCAGCCCCCUUUAUCUCUCUCAAAGUUUGCUCCGAUACAAGGUCUAUAUUUAUAGUAAAAGUAUCGCUUAAAAUUUGGAACAAAUUUGCACUCAAAAAUAUGUUUCUGUUUUUCGCUGCCAGCGCACCAUCGUGCCACGAUGAGGGAUGGCAAUUAGACCCAGAUUCUAUGGGCACUCGCAAAAAAUACCCGCUAUGGGUAGGGUAAAACCCCGCUUUCAUGGGUCCGAGCUUGGGUAUGGGUAAUUACCCGCAAAUUUAUAUGGGUAUGGGCACGAGUAUGGGCACUGUACUACCCAGCCCCGCAACCCGCAUCUAUGUAUUUAUAUAAUAUUAUAAAUAAUUUAUUUAUUUUUGGUGUACAAUUAAUUAAUAAAUUUAACUAUUUAAGCCUAACCUUAAACCUAAAUCAAAUUAAUAAAAACUUUAGUAACAAUUUAUUAUGAUUUUAACAUGCAACUAGAACUUUUUAACGUAUAACUGAUGUAAGGUAUCUAUUUUUUUUUUCUUUCCAGGAAUAAUUUGGAUGUUUUUUUAUUUGGUUAAAUAUUACGAUUCAUAUUAUUUCGUAAGUUGAUUUAAAAAAAUUUGCAUCAUAGUUUUAUUUCAAGUGUGGUGAUUUUUAUUAUCUUUUCAUGGCUAAAGUGCGGGUAAUAGGUGAGGGUAUGAGCACUUAAGUACCCAUAGGGUAUGGGGAAGGGCACUAAAGUUGUUGCCCACGAGGGUAUGGGCACGGAUACAGACAUUUUUUACAAACGCGGGUAUGGAGAUGGAUACUGUAGUACCCUAUCCAUUGGGUACCCAUUGCCAUCCCUACACGAUGCGAUCCCAUCGUGCCACGAUUUUUCCAGUGCCUUGCCUCAAAACUGAAACCUCCAUCGUGCCACGUUGCCUUGCGAUCGUGCCACGAUUCCGCAUAAAUCUGAUUUUCAGUUAACUCUUACACAAACAACCAUGCUCAAUCUUCAGGCUGUACUAGAUGAUGCAAAGGAGAAGCAGAUCAGUAAUCCCCAUGUCAAACAGUGGCUUGAUAACUUGAAAGAUGUUUUCUUUGAUGCUGAAGAUUUGCUCCAAACACUUGACAUACGUGAUUGUAGGUGUUUGGAUUCCAUUUUUAUUUUAGAAAGUCCUUCAUGUCGGUCGUCAAGCCUCCAGUCACUUAAAAUCAAAUCCCAUAAAGCAAUUGGAUUGUUUAAAGUCAAGCUUAAGACGCUCACUGCUCUUGAACAGUGGGCUUUGAAUUGUGGAGAGUUGUCAUUUUGUGAAGGAGUUUGCCUACCACUCUUUCAAGAUUGGUAAUUGAAAAGGAUGGUGAUAUAGUUAACACCUUGGUAAAAGAGCCGUUGCUACCCAUCUCCCUUGUGUCUCUGAAUAUUGGUGAUCUCUAUAACAUGAAGUCCUUUGAUGGAAAUGGGCUUCAACACCUCUCCUUUCUCGAAAUCUUCACUUUCGUAAUUGUCAACAACUUGAGCCAUUUCCUGAAAAUUGCGUUCCUUCCUCGCUGAAAUCACUUGAAAUUUGGAGUUGUGAAAGACUUGAAUCAUUACCGGAAGACUGCCUCCCUGAUUCUCUGAAGCGUCUAAGCAUCGUAUUUUUCCCUUUGUUAAAAGAAAGGUAUAAAAGGAAGGAACAUUGGUCCAAAAUUUCUCUCAUUCCUGUCAUAAAAAUAAAUGGCGAAAUCACAAUAUGAGCCAUGUUAAAGUACUGAUGAGAGAGAAGAGUUGCAUUCUUAUUUCAGGUACGUUUUUCAUUUACUUGCCUCGUCGAAAAUGAUUUAUCAUUUGUGUGUGCACAGUCCAAAGAGAUAUUAAUAACCAUAACAUAGUCCACUUCCAUAAUGAUGAUCUUUGAGGUUUUUAAGGUUCAUAUGAUGAUUAACACACUGAUCAAAACUGGACUCCACAUCAUUUAAUUACUUACGUCAUAGACUGUUCGACUAUUUGUUAAUAAAUUAUUGUAAGGAUUGCAAGAAAUCAAAUCUUAUACACAUAUCUUGAAUAAAUUUACACUGCCAGUUUUCUGCAUAAAUCAGUUUCUUUGUUAAUCAGCUGGAAUAACUCAUAAAAAUCAGUUUUCUGUAUUUUUUUAAGUUUGUUCUCUUGUUCAUCAAUAAACUCCUAUCUAGCAGUUACUAACUAGUCCCUUGCUGAUACUGUGCAACUACUUUUUUCUAAAUCACCAUCUUUUGAUUUGUAUACAUUCCCUGCCAAACAAUUUCACUUCCUGGUUUAUUCAUUCUGUGCAAACGGUUCGCCAAUUUCAAUUUUAUUAAUUGAAUUGCCAACUCCUACCUAUCAGUUACUAGUUCAUUAUGUUCAAACUGUUAGCAAAAGUCAGUUUGUGUUUCCUUAUCGUCGACUGUAUGAGCCGGUCAGACCGAGUAGAGUGUAGUAGGGUUUGCAAUAUUCUUAAUUCGUAGUUAUGUGUAAGUGGAUGCUCAUAACAUUCAUCGUUUGAAAUAUUUUGUUCUACUGUUUUGUUUGUUGGUAUGUAGUAAUAUAAUAAAGAUUGAUGCUCUUGAUUCUACUUUUCAACUUGUCUUAGCUGCAACUAUUAAUUCCAAGAAUCACAACAAUGAAGUCCUAUCAGAUUUACUCAUUUCUUUUUUGUCUGCAUUCUUUACCACAGAAAAAGAAAAAAAUUGACCCUUUAGUAACUUUCUGCUUCACGACCCUUUGCUUCAUUUGCUGCUUCAUAACUUAAAAUUUGUAGAUAACAAAAAUAUAUCCUACUUUCCUUAAAAAAAGAAAAAGAAGAAAUCAUGCUAGUAAAUUUUGAAGAUGUAAGCUAUUAAGGACAAUUUCAAGAGCAAAUUACACAUCAAAAUGUCUUGCUUAACAUCCGUACAAUUAAUCAAAUAUUUGUUACAUGUACUAACAUAUUGUUUUAAACUUUUUGUAAAAUAAAAUAUUGCUCUAAACUUUUUCAAUUUUUAAAUAUGAUCAUUCAAAGAUAUUAAAUGAAAAUAAUUGAAAGAAGUGGCCCCUACUCAAAUAAAUUAUUCACAAAAUUAUUAUUAUUGGACACCAUAUUUGACUAUGUCAUUGGAUGUUUGUUUAAUAUGUCCCUUGGAUUGCUCAAAGGCCUCAAAAUAUAUUUUACUUUAACAGUGAGGAUAAGGGGAAUUGUCUCUUCUACUUCAGAAAAAAUAUAUUGAAAUGGUACAUGGUUGAAACUUCAAAGAUGUAAGUUGCAUUUUACGCGUGCAACAUUUCCUUGUAUAUUAUUUUGUCAGAUGUAGAUCCAUUAACCAUUAUGAGCCAACAAACAAGUAUUAACCAUUCAUGACUCUUUCUUUGCUCCUUGCUUGCAAUUUGAUCUGAUCCAUAAACUAUUAUACACGAGUCUUACUUGCAAUUAUUGUUAUCCCCCAAUCUUCAUAGCUCUUAAUUUCCAUCAAAAUUCUGCUAUUAGCUACAAGUUCCUUACUUGCUAAUUUGCUCUAACAAUAUCCGAUAGAAGAUAUGGCUGCAAUAGGAAGUGCUUUUCUCUCUGCAACUAUUCAGACCUUGGUUGAGAAACUUGCUUCAACAGAGUUUCGUGAUUACAUCAAAAACACCAAGUUGAAUGUCUCACUCUUGAGGCAGCUGAAAACAACACUGCUCACUCUUCAAGUUGUGCUGGAUGAUGCGGAGGAGAAGCAGAUCAACAAUCCUGCUGUCAAACUAUGGCUUGAUGACUUGAAAGAUGCUGUCUUUGAUGCUGAGGACUUGUUCAGCGAAAUCAGUUAUGAUUCCCUUCGAUGCAAGGUGGAGAAUGCACAAGCUCAAAACAAAAGUUAUCAGGUGAUGAACUUCCUUUCAUCUCCUUUUAAUAGCUUCUACAGAGAGAUCAAUUCUCAAAUGAAGAUCAUGUGUGAAAGCUUGCAAUUGUUUGCACAGAAUAAAGAUAUACUUGGUCUGCAAACUAAAAACGCAAGGGUUUCACAUAGAACUCCUUCAAGUUCAGUGGUAAAUGAAUCUGUCAUGGUGGGUAGAAAGGAUGAUAAAGAGACAAUAAUGAACAUGUUGCUUUCAAAGAGAGAAACAACCGACAAUAAUAUAGGUGUUGUUGCAAUUUUAGGCAUGGGAGGUUUAGGAAAAACUACCCUUGCCCAACUUGUUUACAAUGAUAAAGAAGUUCAACACCAUUUUGAUUUGAAGGCAUGGGUUUGUGUGUCUGAGGAUUUUGAUAUUAUGAGAGUAACAAAGUCUCUCCUUGAAUCUGUCACUUCGACAACUUCGGAUAGCAAUGAUCUUGGUGUCCUUCAAGUUGAGUUAAAGAAAAACUCGAGGGAGAAAAGAUUUUUGUUUGUGUUGGAUGAUCUGUGGAAUGACAAUUAUAAUGAUUGGAUUGCACUAGUAAGUCCCUUCAUUGAUGGAAAACCUGGAAGCAUGGUGAUUAUAACAACGCGCCAAGAAAAAGUAGCUGAGGUGGCACACACAUUUCCUAUACAUAAAUUAGAACUUCUGUCAAAUGAAGAUUGUUGGACUUUACUCUCAAAGCAUGCAUUGGGCAAUGAUAAGUUUCCCCAUAGUACAAACACAACCCUUGAAGCAAUUGGCCUGAAGAUUGCAAGGAAGUGUGGAGGAUUGCCAAUAGCUGCUAAAACACUAGGAGGACUUCUACGUUCAAAGGUAGAAAUAACAGAGUGGACUUCAAUUUUGAACAGCGACAUAUGGAACUUAUCAAAUGAUAAUAUUCUUCCUGCUUUGCAUUUGAGUUAUCAAUAUCUUCCCUGUCAUUUGAAAAGAUGUUUUGCAUAUUGUUCAAUUUUUCCAAAGGAUUACCCACUUGAUAGGAAGCAAUUGGUUUUGUUGUGGAUGGCAGAAGGCUUCCUUGAUUGUUCUCAUGGGGGAAAAGCGAUGGAGGAAUUAGGUGAUGAUUGCUUUGCUGAAUUGUUAUCGAGAUCGUUAAUUCAACAAUUAAGCAAUGAUGCUCGUGGAGAAAAGUUUGUCAUGCAUGACCUUGUCAACGAUUUGGCUACAGUCAUAUCUGGACAAAGUUGUUUCAGACUUGGAUGUGGUGACAUCCCUGAAAAGGUUCGUCAUGUUUCAUAUAAUCAAGAACUGUAUGACAUUUUCAUGAAGUUUGCGAAAUUAUUCAACUUCAAAGUCUUGCGAAGCUUCCUAUCUAUUUACCCCACAACGUCGUAUGAUAAAUACUUAUCCUUGAAGGUGGUUGAUGAUUUGCUACCAUCACAAAAAAGGUUGCGUCUGUUAUCACUAUCAGGGUAUGCAAACAUCACCAAGCUACCAGAUUCAAUUGGGAAUUUGGUGUUGUUGCGGUAUCUAGAUAUCUCCUUCACUGGAAUCGAAAGCUUACCUGAUACAAUAUGUAACCUUUACAAUUUACAGACCUUGAAUUUAUCAAAUUGCUGGAGUCUCACUGAAUUACCAAUACAUAUUGGAAAUUUAGUCAGUUUACGUCACCUUGAUAUAAGUGGGACUAACAUUAAUGAGUUACCUUUGGAAAUUGGGGGACUAGAAAACCUUCAAACUCUCACCCUUUUUUUAGUUGGUAAGCGCCACAUAGGGUUAAGUAUUAAAGAGCUAAGGAAAUUCCCAAACCUACAAGGAAAACUUACCAUCAAGAACCUGUAUAAUGUUGUUGAUGCCUGGGAGGCACGUGAUGCCAACUUGAAAAGCAAAGAGAAAAUUGAGGAGUUAGAGCUGAUAUGGGGAAAGCAAAGUGAAGACUCGCAAAAAGUGAAAGUUGUGCUCGAUAUGUUGCAACCUCCAAUAAAUCUGAAGAGCUUGAAUAUUUGCUUGUAUGGUGGGACAAGCUUUCCGAGUUGGUUGGGAAAUUCUUCGUUUUCUAACAUGGUAUCCCUCUGUAUCAGUAAUUGUGAAUAUUGUGUGACACUUCCACCCAUAGGUCAAUUACCUUCUCUCAAGGACCUAAAAAUAUGUGGUAUGAACAUGUUGGAGACAAUUGGUCCGGAGUUCUAUUAUGUCCAGGGAGAAGAAGGUUCUUGUUCUUCCUUCCAGCCAUUUCCAACCCUUGAGCGUAUAAAAUUCGACAACAUGCCAAAUUGGAAUGAAUGGCUUCCCUAUGAAGGCAUAAAAUUUGCUUUUCCUCGACUUAGAGCUAUGGAGUUACGUAAUUGUCGAGAACUAAGGGGACAUUUGCCUAGCAACCUUCCUUGCAUAAAAGAAAUUGUAAUAAAAGGUUGUUCUCAUCUAUUGGAAACAGAGCCAAACACUUUGCAUUGGUUGUCGUCAGUAAAGAAAAUUAAUAUCGAUGGGUUUGGUGAAAGGACCCAAUUGUCAUUGCUUGAGAGUGAUUCUCCGUGUAUGAUGGAAGAUGUAGUGAUUCGAAAGUGUGCUAAGCUAUUAGCUAUGCCAAAAAUGAUUCCAAGAAGCACUUGUCUUCAACACUUGAAACUCUAUUCUCUUUCAUCUAUCGCCGCAUUACCCUCAAGUGGUCUACCCACUUCAUUGCAAUCAAUUGAAAUUGAAUUUUGUUUGAAUUUAUCCUUCCUACCUCCUGAAACGUGGAGCAAUUACACAUCACUUGUGAGACUUUAUUUAAGUCAUAGCUGUGAUGCACUUACAUCCUUUCCACUUGAUGGUUUCCCUGCGCUCAAAUCACUUACCAUAGAUGGUUGUAGUAGUCUGGAUUCCAUUAAUGUUUUAGAAAUGUCUUCACCUCGGUCCUCGAGCCUCCAAUAUCUUGAGAUCAGAUCCCAUGAUUCAAUUGAAUUGUUUAAAGUCAAGCUUCAGAUGAACGCGCUCACCGCCCUUGAGAAGUUGUUUCUGAAAUGUCGAGGACUGUUGUCAUUUUGUGAAGGAGUUUGUCUACCUCCCAAAUUACAAAAGAUUGUUAUUUUUUCCAAAAAAAUAACACCGCCGGUUACGGAAUGGGGUCUCCAAGAUCUAACCACUCUUUCCGAAUUGAUGAUUAAAGAGGCAGGUGAUAUAGUUAACAACUUGGUGACGGAGUCGUUGCUACCCAUCUCCCUUGUGUCUCUGGAUCUCUAUAAGAUGAAGUCCUUUGAUGGAAAUGGGCUUCGACACCUCUCCUCUCUCCAACGUCUCGAUUUCUGUCAAUGUCGACAGCUUCAGUCAUUGCCAGAAAACUGCCUCCCUUCCUCGCUGAAAACACUUCGAUUUGUGGAUUGUUAUGAGCUUGAGUCAUUGCCAGAAAACUGUCUCCCUUCCUCGCUGGAAAGCCUUGACUUUCAAAGUUGUAAUCAUCUGGAGUCAUUACCAGAAAACUGCCUCCCUUUGUCGCUGAAAUCACUUCGAUUUGCGAAUUGUGAAAAGCUUGAGUCAUUUCCAGACAACUGCCUCCCGUCCUCGCUGAAAUCACUUAGAUUGAGUGAUUGUAAAAUGCUUGAUUCAUUACCAGAAGACAGCCUCCCUUCAUCUCUUAUCACUCUGUACAUUAUGGGAUGCCCAUUGUUAGAAGAAAGGUAUAAAAGGAAGGAACAUUGGUCCAAAAUUUCUCACAUCCCUGUCAUCACAAUAAACAACCA